CCGACGUCCAAGGCUGCGUUGGCACGGCGAUUCCGGUAUGGAGCUGUUGUUGAUGUGGUGUUCCAAAGCACGUCAAUGUUGCAGAGCGAGUCCAACCCGAUGCACCUGCACGGACAUGACAUGUUCGUGCUGGCACAGGGGAGCGGCAACUAUGACAUGCAAAGGGAUGUGGCGAAGUACAACCUAGUUAAUCCUCCACUUGUGAACACCGUGCUUGUACCACGGCUUGGAUGGGUGGCUGUCCGAUUUAUUGCGGACAAUCCAGGUACGAACAUGAGUUUUACUUUCUUUGUUUUUUGCCAAAGAAGAUACAAUUAUGUAGAACAUAACAACUCUUUCUGUUUUGGCAUUUGUUCGAUGAAUAACUGCCCUACGAUACACUAGCUAGGUUUUUGUCAAGGAAGAUAUGACUGGUGUCCUCAACAAAAAUCUCAGUUCCUUUUGGACCUGGGACUAAAGCUCUGACUCUAAAUUUCGUAGUCCCUAGUCCCCGGUCUAAAUUUCAUAGUCCAUGGAGACACCUUUAGUCCCGGUUGGUGUUACAAACCCGAACUAAAGCCUCCAAGAUCUUUAGUCCCAGUUAGUAUUACCAACCAGAACUAAAGAUAUGCCUUUAUUCCCGGGUGAAAGACUCGUGACUAAAGGUUGGGACCUUUAGUCCCUAAUGAUUAGUCUUGGUUGGGAAAAUCAAGAUCUAUAAGGUUUCCAACUUGGACUACCUCUGCCAGUGUACUGUUACGUAGAACAUAACAACUCUUUCUAUUUCAGCAUUUGUUUGAUGAAUAACUCUCCUACGAUAUACUAUGUUUAAUGUUUGGUUGUGUAUAAGUAAUCAAAAUGCAACAUGUCAAUGCAAUAAUUUUAUUUUUUAUGUCUAUCACGUGUCAGGCCUCAAGUCUGUAUUAAAAGUUAUUCUAUAAAUGUUUGUAGUGCUUUUUUGUGCAUCUCUGCUAGAUCCUUUUGUUCUAUUGGGAUGUCGUUAUGAUCACAUCAUUUGUUUUAACUAAUUGUUUCAAGAACCAAUCCAUCAAUGCCCCUUUACUUUGCCGACAUAUAAAAAUUGAAGUGAUUUAGAAGAGUUAUCACCUCAUGGUCCGAUUUUUCAAGUUUCAAUGCAGCAUAUUUUGAGAGUACAAGUUUAGGAAUCUUCAAAGAGAAUAAAUGUAAAGUAAUAAAGGAGUAGACUUAUUAUCCAUAUAAUCUUAUUGACACGAAGUUCGUAAGGGGGUGUUUGGAUCCCGGACUAAACUUUAGCCCCUGUCACAUCGAAUGUUUGACACUAAUUAGAAGUAUUAAACAUAGGCUAAUUACAUAACCAAUUUCACGACCCCUAGGCUAAAUCGCGAGACGAAUCCAUUAAGCCUAAUUAGUCCAUGAUUUGACAAUAUGGUGCUACAGUAAAUAUUUGCUAAUGAUGGAUUAAUUCGGCUUAAUAGAUUCGUCUCGCGAUUUAGCCUAGGGGUUCUGCAAUUAGUUUUGUAAUUAGCUCAUGUUUCGUCCUCCUAAUUAGCAUCCGAAUAUCCGAUGUGACAUUGACUAAAUUUUAGCUUCAGGAUCCAAACACCCUCUAAGUAAUAUAUCUGCACCAUUUUAUAGAAGAAAUAUGUUGUGGUUAUUGCUCUAGUACAAAAUUUACUAACUUAUCACUUAUACUAUGGAUUUGUUUAGAAACACACUCAUAUAUUUUAGUUGUAGUUGGGGUGAAGUAGAAACCCAAGAUCUGAUGCUCUCCUUUAUGGUGUGCAGGUAUAUGGUACAUGCAUUGCCACUACGAGUUCCAUCUAUCAAUGGGCAUGAUAGCAUUGUUCAUCGUGGAGGACGGACCAACAGCGAACACAUCGCUCCCUUCACCGCCAGUGGAUUUUUGGACAGAUGGCAAUGAUAAUAAUGUCAUGGCAUAUGCAUAGUACUUUGGAACGAGGAAAAUGAACUACCACAUGUAGAUGGUAUCUAGACGAUAACUCCAGGCAUGACGGGCCUUACAGUAAAAGAAAUAAACGUAUGAGCUAUUAGAAGAUCUAUUCACUUGCAUUCAUACUCGUUUUAAUAUAUUUUUCAUAGUUCUUUAAAAUUUUAGUUCACGUAAUUUUCUUGGAAUUUUGCGGUAUUGUUUCUCUAUUUAUUUGGCUUCAACCGAUAUACUGUGUAACUUCAAGAAAUAGAGAAAACCAUAUAAAUUUUUGAAAAACUAUGUAAGGAAUCGGUGCUCAUAUAGCCUAAGAGAGAGAAGGGGUGAAUUAGGCAACUUAAAAACUUAACCUAUACCUUGCAUUACUUCGGAUGAAUAUGAACUAGAUCAUACUAUCUAUCAAAAUGUGCAUCUAUAGUUGACUUAGUAUGAAAAUUUUGCACCCAUAAAAAGUUUCGCAAUCUAGAGGUAUGAACUACUCUAAUAAAGUAAAGGUACUCAAUUUGCAAGUAUGAAAUACGGAACAUAAAGGAGUGGAUUGGAAAUGAUGUAAACUCCGGCAUGUUGGAGCUCCAACAAGGAGAUGCUCCAGGUCACCAUGUCUCUCUCGGUCAAGGAUUUUGCUCACCACAAAGACUAGUCAAGCCGGAUGAUAAACUUGCAACAAAGAUGAGGCUAAACAGUCCCUCUCUUUCAAUCAUGUUGGCACUGUCUCCACUAUGGAUCACCUCAUGCCCACGCACACAAUCAUAACCACCGCUCCACACCAAGCAGAGGGUAGAAAAUUUGCCGGCGAGCUACAAAAGCUCCAAGGUGCUGGAGCACCAAGCUUAAAAUGGUGGUCCAGUCCUUAAACUAAUCACAAGAUAGCAACAUCUUGUUCUCUCUCACUGUAGGCCUAAUUAGCGGUAAUCACUCUCUAAGUUAAAUGGGACGAACUCAAACUUGUCUCAACAUACUUCACUGUUUAAUAUUUUUCGUUUUCUUUUUCCAUUUUAAAGCAUCCUUCUAAAGUAACAUGCAAAUAAAUUAUCUUACAUACACCAAUAUAUUUUUAAAUAUAGUAGACAACAUUUAAAUUGUCGUGUAGGAUUUUAAAGAAUUUUUUAAUGGAUUUAGUAUUUUCUAUCAUUGAAAGUUCCUAUUGAAAGUAAUUCCAAAUUGAACUGUGUAUACCACCAAUAAUAUUUGAAAAUUUGCACAAAAAACAUUAUUUAUGCUCCUAUGUUCCAUUAUAGCUCAUGUCCUAAAGAUAGAUGAACAAUUAAAUUAUCUUAUAGGGACAAUUCAAACUUCUAUCUCCAAAUUACCACAUAAUAAUUAUAAUUUAAAUUUAGUCAAAAAAAUUCUACAAAUUGACGUGUCAGGGUAUUUUUGGUCCAUAAGCUUGCUAUAAAAAAAUUGAAUGAUUUUAAUAAAGUGAGACUAUAUGUUGUUCACAUAUGGACACAUCUCUCACAUAGUUUCCUUUAACUCAAGUCAAACUUUGAAAUUUGAAUACCUCGUAAUAUUUUUAAACCUGUAUGCCUCUCAAAUUUUUGGUACAACCAUUUUUUGAAUAAUAUUACAAAAUAUUAAGUUACAUUUGCAAUUGUUAUGAAAAAACACGUUUUUCUAUUCUCUAUUUAGGUGGAACAAAAUAAGACAUAUGAAAAUGAUCCAAGAAAUGGCAAUUAGAAUACAAACAAAUGCCAUUACAUGAAAUGUUGUGAUUUUAGAAAAAUGCAGAAAAAGGAAUAAUCAAAUUUGGAGUUCUUAUAAGGAAAAAAUACCAAUUGGAAAUUUUAAUUCCGAAUUAAAAAGGAAAAGUACCUCUGUUCUUCAUUAUUGGGGCACCGUACAAACCAACACAUAAAAAAGAUUUUCUUACCAAUUAUUACGACCGCAGGAUGCCUGUUGUAGUGGUAAAGUUUGUUGCGUUUGCAAACCUACAACCGUGGUUCGAGCUCCCGUGUGCUUCCACAAUUUUAUCUGAAUUGGCUAUGCAGCAACGCAACUAAAUCUAUACUCAUUUUGAAAAAAAUCCCUCAAUUUUCAUGAAAUCAACUGGCAGUCCAAAUUCUGAAGAGAGAGAACUCGUGUGGAAAAAAAAUCCCUCAACUUUCAUGGAAUCAACCAUUUUGAAAAAAAUCCCUCAAUUUUUAUGGAAUCAACUGGCUGGCAGUCCAAAUUCUGAAGAGAGAGAACUCGUGUGGAAAAAAAAUCCCUCAACUUUCAUGGAAUCAACCAUUUUGAAAAAAAUCCCUCAAUUUUUAUGGAAUUAACUGGCAGUCACGGCCGCCUCCCGCGCCACCUCCAUCUGCUCCACCCCCGCCACCUCAACACCAUCUUCCCAUCCCCUUCCUAUCUGGACCCCGAAACCCCCACCCCAGAGCGGUUCCCCGUCCGAGCUCCGCCGGACGAGCAGGUCGCGGCGUGGGUCACGCGCCUCCACCUGGGCCGGGUUUCACCGCGUCCGACCUCGCCGCAGCCAUCUCCACGGAGCCUGACCCGGACCUCGCGCGCGCGCUCUGUCGCUGAGCCGGGCUGUGCUCGGGGUUCCACCAUGCACCCGAAUCCUACUUCGCGGGGCCCUGUUUGCCCGACCUCCGUCUCUUCAACGCCUGCCUCCGCUUCUGUUGUGACCGCCGCAGCCUAUUCCCGCUCGCCUUCGACAUGUUCAACAAGAUGCGCGCAAUGCCCGCGGUCACCGGAUGCCGCCCUGAUGUCGAGAUCUACAUGCUCCUCCUCAGCGCCAUCGUGCGCUGCCCGCCGGCGUCGAUGGUCAACCUCAUCGCCGUCCGGUCCCUCUCCUGCCAGAUGAAGGCCUUCAGCGUUGUCCGGACACCUUCCUGCUGAACCUCAUCAUCAAGGCCUAUGCGCGGUGCGUGGAGGUGGACGACGCGCUCAAGGUGUUCCGCCGUGAAAUGCCACUAUAUGGCUGCGAGCCAAACGAGUUCACCUAUGACUACAUUGUCAAGGCCAUGUUUCAGGGCUGGGCAGACAAGGGCAUGGUGUAUUUUGCAGAGAAGAGGGAGAAGGGAUUUGUGCCAUCCGGAGGCGUGUAUAUGAUCGCUGUGUGGGCGUUGGCAUUGGAACGGAGGUUCUAGGAAUUGAGGCGGGUGCUGCUGGAUAUGUUGGAUUGCAAGAGGAAGCCGGAUAUGAUCACAUACAGGACACUGCUGGCAGAGAUGUCCCGGGCUGGGCAAACUGAGCAGGCGUUUGAGGUGCUGGAGGAGCUGAAAGGGAGGAAGCGAGGGCCAUUGGACCAGAGGAUGUACUCAGAAUUGCUUGAUGGGUUGCAUUGGAUUUCCUAGCCUCAUAAGGACAACCGAACUGUCCAUGACAAGGGUUCUGAUGAUUGAAAUGACGUGUUGUGGUGAUAAUAUAUGCUCCUCCAGAAUCAAUGCAUCAUAUGCAAGGGAACCUGCUGAUAAUAGCCUUUUUCAUCAUAUUGCGUCUGAACCAAGUUAAAACCACUGGUUCAUCCUGUGGGGCGUGGGCUGCAGGCUUCUCGCCAUCCUGUUGUGAACUGCAACUUUUGUUUUAAAAAAAGUGAACUGCAACUGUUGCUGCUUGUCCGCAUCCUGUUGAUGCUUAUUUUUCUUGUUGCAAUUGUAUUCUGAUGAUUUAAAACUUCAAGUAUUGCUCAAAACAUUUAACAAUUCGAGAGCAUAAAUGAUUUUAUGACUGACCCUUAUUACUAGAAACUAGAUGCUGCUUUUACUUUUGUCGUUAUAACAUAGUUCAUCUAACAUCUCAGGGAUACAUUGUUCUGAAUCGGCCGUGGGCAUUUGUCCAGUGGCUCCAGAAGGCAGACAUAAAGGAAGAGUAAGUUUACUGUAAGUUUAGUUGAUAAUCAGUGAUCAUUCUCCAGACUCAAUAGUUCAAUUAACUUUAUACUAUGUGCAGGUAUAUCUUGAUGGCAGAGCCUGAUCAUAUUAUUGUCAAGCCUAUCCCAAACUUGUCAAGGGAUGGUCGCGCAGCAGCUUUCCCUUUCCUCUAUAUUGAGCUGGAGAAAAAUGAGAAAGUGUUGCGUAAGUUCUUCCCUGUGGACGAGGGGCCAAUGAAUAAGAUUGAUCCUAUAGGAAAUUCUCCUGUGAUAAUUGAGAAGGUGAGAUUUUUUUUCUUCUAAGAAUCUACUCAGAUUUCCGUCACUAACAGUUUCUCCCUGAUUUACUAGGAAUCUCUUGCAAGGAUGGCACCUACAUGGGUGAAUGUUUCAAUUGUAAUGAAAAAAGAUCCUGAUGCAGAUAAAACUUUUGGUUGGGUUUUUGAAAUGUAACGUCCUGCCCAAUAAUUUCUUUUUCCUCAGGAUGUCUAAACUUCGAUCUGGGUGUGUUUUCUUUGGAGACGAGAUGGGAUAGGUUGGUCUGUCCUAGUUUUUUUUGGAUGGAAUCGUCCCACCGCCACCUAAUCGGAGCUCGCCUCGGCUCAAUCGAGCACAGGCGCCGCCGAAUCGGGCCUCGCCGCCGCUGAAUCGGAGCUCCCCGCAACCGAAUCGGGCGUCGCCGCCGCUGAAUCAUGCCUUGCCACUGCCAGAUCGGUCACUUCGCCAGAUCAGGGGUCAGAGCAGGUGCCGCGCUGCUACUGCUCGGCUCAUCGGGACCGAGUCCGCCGCCAUUCGCUGGGGCUGCGAUGCUGCUCGGCUCAUCAGGGUGGAGGUCAGGGCCGAGGCUGGGCUGCUGCUCCACUCGCGCCAGGCUCUCCGCUCGUCGAUGCGCUACUGUUCGGAUUUGAGAGAGGAGCAAGCUGCUUGCUUGACCGGUGAAGAAUUGAGCAAGAGAGAGAAAGGGGCAGGCUGUUGGUUUGCUUAUUGCGUGAAGAAAUCAUAGGGGGAAAUAGAAGGGCCGGCGGCGGCAGUGGAUAAAGUGAAGAAAGGAUAGAAGGGAAGAAAUAACGGGAGACUAACACAUGGGUACCAAUCAUAAGGGUAUAAUAGAUUUUUCAUAAUAAAAUUAUCUGUUUCUAGAGUUGGAUCCAUGCUUCUUGCCAAACAUGUAGAUAACUCCAUUAUUUUUGUGGAGUUGGUAGGGUGGAGUUGAAGUGGAGUGCUGCCAAACACCCCCUAAUUAAACCAUUUAAAAGGUAGUAAUAGCCCAUCCAAAUAAGGUUUAACCCAGGAUGUGCAUUAUGGAAAAAUUUGAGCACGCCGUCUCCUAUUUGAUGAAAUACGGUGCAUGUGAAAAGAUAUUACAUGGUCAGAAGGACUAAAGAACUCCGUCGGUGGCCAUCGCAGGCUGAUUUAACUCUCUUGUUUCAGCAAAAAAAUAUUUUAAUUUAAUAGGUAUUUGAGUUGAAGGAAAUAAUUAAGUCAAAAUUCUUUUGGUUUUCUUUUAAAUGUGUAGACAUCCAAUAGGUGGAAUAAAAAUUUAUUGAUGGAAAUAAAAAAUAUCAUUAGUUUGAAAAGCAUAAUUGAUCUUUUUACCAUACCAACACAUGGGGAUUUUACUAGUACUAAAUAAAAUCCCAAAUGGAGGCGUAGCUUGGUGGUAAGGAGUGCUUUGCUAUGGUUGUAAGUCUUGGUUUCGAACCCUGUCCGCCACUUUUUUUGUUAAAUAGCAGGAUGACGUGCUCUGAAAAGGUCAUGAAAAAUCCAUCAUGGAUUAGGCGUAUUACGCGUGUUUUUUUGUUUAAAUAGCAGGAUGACGUGCUCGCGUGUGGAAGCCUCCCGAGGCUGCAAAAAAAGUAUGCUAAUAGUUACCUUUUAGUACAGGUUAUUUUACUCGGUACUAAAAGGGUACCGGUUUGUACAACCGGUUUUAAAAUAUUCUCAUGACUUUAGUACCGAAUACAUACCACCCGGUACUAAAAACGUCCUCGUGUCUUUAGUACCGGAUCGUAAUUAAUACCACCCGAUUAUUUGACCCGGUACUAAAGAGAUGUAGCAUCACUGGUUGUACAACCGUUACUAAAGGAAGAUUUGGCACCGGUACUAAAAGUGGCAUCCCCAGUGGUGGUACUCCAAGAUUCCUCAGUGGUGGUACUCCAAGAUGCUGGAUUCAAGAUCGAUCGAACAAAUUAUUGUGUAAAAUACAUUCAUAAAGAACCGACCGAGGGCAUCUUUGUUUAAAUAAGUCUACGGGCGUGCUCCUGACACUAAUUAGGUCACUACAAUUGCUUAAUGCCAAAUUAUUAAACAUCAAGUUGUACUGGUGAUCGGAUCUGGUCAGACAGAAGUAAACUGUUAUUUCCAAAAAGAAUUUCUAACGAAUAAAAUGACAGAAUUGCCGGUUGGUGUACUGGCAUGCAAUUAAAUGUUGUGUCAUCAACUUCAACUCUGACAACUAUCACGUAGUCAUGUAGCAUGUGAGACAAUUAUUAUCUUAUUCUUCGUAAAAAACACCUACCUUGGUGGCUUUUUUACCGGAUCAUAUUUAAUACCUCUCGGCACAAAGGGGAUGUAGCAAUACCAUUUCUACAAUCAGUACUAAAGUUUGGCACCGGUACAAAAAGCGGAAUUCUCGAUGGUGGUACUCGAAGAUUCCCCAGUGAUGGUACUCCAAGAUGCUAGAUUCAAAUAAAUUACUAUCUUAUUCUUCAUAUAAAACACCUACCAACGGCUCGGCAAUAAAUCCAUGUCUAUAUACUUAGAAAAAUUAGAUUAAGUAUUUCAAUUCAUUUUAUUAUAGUUCAAAUACCAAUCCAUGUGUAAUAUUUUGUAGAUGGAUCGAAAAUGGAUGUACAACGCAAACAAACGUUCCAUGGAGUAUAUUAAGGCUUGCGUGGUUUUCUCAAUAAUGCAGAAUCCAAUAAACCACCGUCUGGUUUCAUUUGUUAUCCGUGCAAAAAUUGCAAAACUGAGAAGGAUUACUCAUCCAGCAAGACUAUUCACGCCCACAUAUACAAUUCUGGAUUCAUGACAAACUAUUUGGUUUGGACCAAGCACGGGGAAAGAGGAGUUAUGAUAGAUGAUGAUGAAGAAGAAGAAGAUGACAACAUUCCUAACUGGAUUCAAGGAAGUACCUUUGUAGAUGCUCUAAUGGGCGAGGCUGAAGAAGAGAUGGGCGAGGCAGAAGGUCCGCUCGAUGAGCUAGGUCAGGUGUUGCAAGAUGCAAAGGAAGACUGCAAGAAUGUGAAGGAGUCAAAAUUGUUGGAGCGUAUGUUAGAUGAUCAUAAGAAAUUGUUGUACCCAGAUUGCAAACAGGAGUAGAAAAGUUGGGUAGCACACUGGAAAUGCUGCAAUGUAAGGCAAGAAAUGGAGUUUCUGACAAGGGUUUUGAUGAGUUAAAGAAAAUCAUAAAGAACAUGCUUCCCAAGGGAAAUGAAUUGCCGUCCUCAACAUACGAAGCAAAAAAGGUUGUCUUCCCUCUGGGCUUGGAGGUACAAAAGAUACAUGCGUAUCCUAAUGACUCUAUCCCCUAUCGAGGCAAGGAAUAUGAGAAAUUGGAGGCUUGUCCUGUGUGCAAAGCGCUGCAUUAAAGAUCAGGCGAGAUGACCCUGGUGAUGUUAAAGGGAGGCCAUCAAGAAGAAAGUUCCUACGAAGGUAAUGUGGUAUUUCCGUGUAGUACCACGGUUGAAGCACUUGUUCAAGAACAAGGCACAUGCAAAGUUGAUGUGUCGGCACAAAGAAGAAUGUAAGCAAGAUCAAAUGAUCAGACACCCCCUAAUGGGUCCCAGUGGAGAACAGUUGAUAGAGAAUUUCUUGAGUUUGAAAAGCAUGCAAGGAACAUACAAUUUGGUUUAAGUACAGAUGGAUUCAAUCCAUUCUGAGAGUUCAGUAGUGGUCAUAGCACUUGGCCUAUGACCUUAUGUAUGUUCAAUCUUCCGCCAUGGUUGUGCAUGAAGUAGAAGUUCAUUAUGAUGCUGAUAAUUAUCCAUGGUCCAAAACAAUCUGGCAACGACAUUGAUGUUUACCUAAGACCGUUGGUUGAUGAACUUCUACUGUUAUGGAAGGAAGGUGUAUAUGUGUGGGAUGAGGACAAAAAGGAGACAUUUAAUCUACGAGCAUUGUUGUUCGUAACCAUCAAUGAUUGGCCGGCGCUUGGUAAUCUAUCCGGAUAGUCAAACCAGAGAUUCUGAGCCUACACACACUGUUUAGAUGAUACUUGCAGCAUGUAUUUGAAGCACUACAAGAAGGUUUGAUGAUCAGCCAAAGUGCCACAUUGUUCUUCCAGGGAAAAGAAAAAUCAUUGGAGUUGAGGACAAGACUGACAUAUCAGAAGAUUAUGAUUAGUUCAACGAUCUUUCUCUAUUUUCAGUUGAGGUUGACCCAAGCGUCCUAUUAGGCAAAGAGGAUGCUCCGUACUUACACCGCGAUCACAACCAUGGGACGUUCGUCAAGAGGAGGGUUAUUAACAUUCCAUUGAUGAUGAUGCGUAAUGUAUUUGAACAAUUAUCAACAAAGGCAUUAAUGUAACUAUGAAUGAUUAGAUCUUGUUUUUCCAAAUACAAUUCUCAUGUCUUGUUUAACUUUCUUGUCCGGCUAAAAUAUCGUUUAACUAAUUUUUGCAUGGUUAAAAUAUUAAAUAUUUCAAAUUUUUAAGCACCAUUAAAAAUUAAACAAUAAAUUUACGUACAAUUAAACAAGAUCAUGAUUAAGUCAUGGGAAAGAUGCUAAGAACACUAGAGGCACUAUUUUUCUAAAUUUUUGCAUGGUCAAAAAAUCUUUUUUUCAAAUUUUAAAGGUAAUAUAAGUAUUAUGACCAUUAUAACCUAUUGCUAAGUUAAAAUUAAUAACUUUACCAUAUUUGAUAUUUGACCGCAUCUGACAUUUUUAUAGUGCAUAUCUAAUAAACAUGAAGCUACCAAAAUUGUUGUUACAAUUUUAUGAAUGUUAUUUAAUUUACUAUGCAAUAAAUUAAUAUAAUAGCAAUUGUAAAAGAAAGAAAAAAUAAAAAGAUGGCAGGGCAACUAAAACAGGGGCAUGCAACCCCUCUAGUACCAGUGCAUAACAACAACCGAUAUUAGAGGGGCAUUUUUAUUUCACGCACGGGGAAACCGGUACUAGAGGCCCCCUCUAGUACUAGUUGUAGUUUGCACCCUCUAGUACCAGGUGUAAACUACAACUGAUACUAGAGGGGGGUGUUAAGGAGCACCGCAGGCUUCUUCCUUCCCAACACUUACCCAUUUCUCCCUCGCACGUUGAUCCGCCUCCUUUGUCGAUCUGAUGUCGCUAGCCCUCGUCGAUCCGCCACCCCCGGCCCCAUCACCAUUCCUGCCGCUGUCAGUGUCGCCGCCAUUUGCCCCUGGCCCCGUCGUCGCCUUCUUGUGUCGUCGCCGCCCCCGGCCUCCGUCACAGCACCCGGCCCCUUCGCCGGCCCCCAGCCCCGUCGUCGCCUUACGGCCCGUCGCCAUCGGCUACUGAGAAUGAAAAAUGGAAAGAGGAUUGUAAAGAAGCAAGGAGGAAGAAACAGAAUCUGGAGCCACCACUGGAUAAGCGUAAGCUUUGGUCUUUCAUCUGAAAAAUGGAGGCGGAGCAAAGGAAAAAAACUAGAGAAACCUCCUCUAUCUGAUUUGACAGGCAGAUAACAAAGCAGGCAGCUCAUAAGAGGAAGAAAAGUGGGAAAUCUAUUUCUCAACUCAGAGAGCAAUCCAACCAAUCGGUUGCCCCGCUUGUGGUGCUUUCUGACUGGAGAAGAACCUGUUGGAAUUCAGUAGAGAUACUAAUCUGACAAUAGCACAACUUUGAGGGGAGGAUGAGAUCCCAAAGCUCUUUGUGCCCAUCAAAUGGAACAAUGAGUAUAGUAAAGAGCUCGUGUUUCCGCAGUUGGUGAAAUAUCUCCCAAUGAAGAUGUACAAGUUGCACCAAUGGUACAUGGAGGCUACAGCAAAUGGUUUGAUCAGGAUGGAAGUUCGGGUUGGUGAUGACAUCAUAAUGGUGGAACUAUUGGAACUGUAUAUGCUAUUCAAUCAAGACCCACUAGACAAGUUAGUGAUCAGUUGCUUGGUCCUAUAAUCUUUAGUACAUUCCUCUAACUUCAAAAUCACCGCUCUAGUCAAUUUGUGAUGUCUUAGCUCCUAUUCGAUUUUGUAUCGUGCAGGAUGGUGAUGCAAUAUUAUCGUAGGAAGGGAUACCAUGAUGUAGGAUUCAUGGACCCCUCAAUUAUACACUAGAAUACUCUAAGGGAUAAGCUAGAUGAGACUACGAAGAAUAUAUUUAAGUUCCUCGACAAGCAUUGGGACAAGAAGUGCAUAUUACUACCGUAGAAUUUCGAGUGAGCGUUUUUCCCAUCUCUUCCUUUUCCGAACUAGAACUUAAAAAUAAUACUAACUAGCUUCACUUUGGAUGUACAGAUACUAUUGGGUACUCAUUGUUAUUGUGCCCUUUUGGAGCAUUGUGUAUGUCUUUGACUCUUUGAGGAAAACAAAAGGAAAAUACGUUGACAUCAUGAACGCUGUGAACAAAUGUUGGGCUGGAUUCUAUCGAACUCACAUGGGUGACUUCAAGGAGAAACUUGAUUGGAAGACAGAUUUCUCAAUAUGUGUUGAAUUUUCACAUCUCGUGACAGUUCCUUUAACACAACAAAUAUUACAUAACUUUUUUUUCCAUAUAUACUGUGUUUGAGACAGCUGGAGGGUACUAAUUUAUGUGGAUACUACAUUUGUGACUGCAUCCACGCCUUCAUCAGUCAAGACGGCCAUAUCAGCGAACACCAAUUAACCAUACGUAUAUUCUUCAACAAUAAAUUAGUUCAUGUGUAUAUUCUUCUAAAAUCAAUCCAUGUGUAUAUACUUAGAGAAAUUAGAUCAAGUAUUUCAGUUCAUAUGCUUAUACUUAGAAAACCAUUCCAUAUGUAUAUACUUAGAAAAAUUCGAUUAAGUAUUUCAAUCCAUUUGCUUGUACUUCAAAAAACCAAUCCAAGUGUAUAUACUUAGAAAAAUUAGAUUAAGUAUUUCAAUUCAUUUGCUUGUACUUCAAAAAAUUUCAAUUGUUCAAAAAAUUUAGAUUAAGUAUUUCUAAUUCAUUUGCCAAUGACACAGAUGAUUGCUAGGAAGGAAAGACUCGUCGAUACCGAAGUUUUCAGGGCAAUACAAGAACAAUUAUGUGGAGUUUUUCUAGAAGAGGUCGCAAAUCCUGAGGGGAGUUUCGCCAUGAUGGAUCUCAGCUAGUGCACAAACCGGACUCGAGUUCAGAAUAGUAAAUACGAUAUGUGUAUGCACAAUAUGUGUAUAUAUAAAUAUGUAUAAUAUUAUUCAUAUAUGUGUAUGCACAAUAUGUAUAUAUAUAUAAUAUUAUCUCAAACGUUAUAUUAAAGAUAAAUAGAACUUACAUAUAUUAGCGUAUUAGAACCAGUAUACAUAAUGGAAACAAAUACAAAAUAGGAAUAUACAAUAAAGGAACGUAAAAUAAGAAAAGAAAGGGAAAACACAUUAGUACUAGUUACCAACCGGUACGAAUGAGCCCCCCCCCUCCCCCCGCGUGGGAAGCCCUUUAGUACCAUUUGAUGUCCCCAACAAGUACUAAAGGGUCCCCCUCUAGUACCGAUUGGCCAGUACCGGUUGCGCAACCGGUACUAGAGGGGUUACUGACCGGUACUAGACGUCAUUUUUCCAGUAGUGACUUCCAAGCCUGACCCUGCCACAUGGUGGGAGGAAAUUAAAGGAGUGUUGCCGAGGGUGCUGAACCAGCUGACAUUGUAGUGGUUGUGCCGGGUAAUACAAACCAAUCAUAAAAAUAAUUAUUUCUAUUUUAAUUGGUGACGCCUAAUGCGUAACUAUGUCACAAUACCCACAUUUGGAGACAGCUAUAGAUGCUAAUUAGUUGUGACAAACCUUGGCGUCUCUUAAUUUUCGUCUACAACAUGAGUCAUAACAGUGAUGUAAAAGUCCCCGUCUCAAAUAUUUCAGAUCAUUGAGGGGGUUUAAGUACAAUCCAUGUUUCUUAUUGAGAUAUCAGAGAAUUGGUUCUGUUAAUCCACAUCAUUACUGCCAAUCGAUAUGAGCGAUCAGGGAAUUAGUACUUCUCCAAUGGCCAUUUAGAGACAUGUUCCUUACAAUCAACGUCUCUGAUAUUGUGCAUACAGACAGUUAUUGUUACUAUACAUGACUCUUGUUUAUUGUGGUAAAGCACGCGAAUUCAUGUAUCCAUCAAUCGUACGUUACAUGCAUCACAGCUAAGCAUGCAUAUAUCGUCAUAGGCAUCACAGACAUGCAGGAUAGGGACAUACGUAGACAUCGAUCGCAAGCUCAUGGUUAAGUUCCAUAGACAACCACAUAAUAUCGAAGUGUUGACAACCACACUAGGUAGUUCAAUAACACUCAGAAUGCGUAAAAGGAAAAUACACUUUGUAUGUGGGAAUACGAAAAGACGAUAGCCAGAAGUAACUUUUAGAUCCAUUGCUAGGAUGGUUGUGUAGACUUGUCGAAUCCUUUCCAUUUGACUACUCACAUGCAUCAUUUGGACUUCGGAUCAAAAAGUUUUGCAUGCUGUCAGAUUCAAAGGGGCUGCUAUAGUAUCGCCCUACAUUAUCCAACUCAAGGCUGCUGCGGUGACCUGAGUCCUAUUUGUUUUCCUCUUUUCUUCUUUUGUUGUUUUUUCCCUAGCCAACCCCAUUUCUUUUUCCCAAACCCUACACCCUCGUUUUCCCCAGUGCCGCCACUCUCCUUCUGCCCGUGAUCCAAAGGGGAGAGAGGGAGAGCAAGAGAAGAGAGAAGAGGAGCCGUUGUCCGUCAUCGUCUUUCCUCUAAAAAAUUUGUUGGACUUCCUUUCCUCUCCCCAUUUUCCCCAAUUGAUUUUCCUUUCCUCGCUGAUCAUGGUAGUGCCGUCACUAGUAGAGAACUGACCUUCCAUCAACCCUCUUUUGUCGCGGUUAAUAUUUGGCCCAUGACUAAAGGUUGACCACCCAGGUCUAAAACUCAGCCACUACCAGGGGGCUCGCCAACCCAGACUAAAGAACCCCUUUAGUCCCGAUUGUAAAGACCAGUGGCCCUAAGGGGCCUUUUCUCCCGGUUGGAAACACCAAUCGGGACUAAUUUAGUCCGGGUUGGUAUUUCCAACCGGGAGAAAAGGCUCCUCCCCUCGUUCCGCGUGCCCCCCUCCACCUCCUCUCUCUUCAUCUCAGACUCUCAAACUUAUCUCCCCCAGGCCCCGGUGCGCCGCUCCCUCCACCUCCACUCUCUCGGACUCUCACGCGCCUUAUCUCCCCCCUCCCCUCCCUCUCCCGCAUGCCCGCCCCCCUCCCCUCCCCUCCCUCUCCCGCUGCCCCCCCUCCACUCCCUCCUGGCACCGCCGCCCCCUCCCUGCUACCCUUCCCCUCCCACCUCUGCUCGCCCAUCACUGGUAGUGAGGAGCGGCAGUGGGGCGAGGUGCAGGGCAGCGCAGUGGCACGCAGAGGAGCAGCAUCUGGCGGCAGCGGGAGUGCAUGGUACAUGCUCUCUCUCUCUCCUCUCCCCCCAUCUCCCUCCCUCUCCCUCUUUUUUUUUGCACAGGUGGCGCACGGGUAGUGGCGGCACCAAGGCAGUGGGAUGAGGUGGUGGGGCCGAGGCAACGGGAUGCGGUGGCGGGGCAGUGGGGCAGCGGGAUGCGGCGGCGGUGUGCGGGAAGCGGCGGCGGCGGCGGCAGUGGGGUAGCGGGAUGCGCGGGCCGAGGCGAGCGGGCAGUGGGGCUGAGGCAGUGGCACGGCCCAGGCGGUGGCGCGGCCGUGGCGAGCGGGCUGGGGGGAGCUUUUUAUUAUUUUCAAAAAAUUUUAGUCCCGGGACUAAAGGACCCCCCUUUUGUCAAGAAAAUUAUAUCCCGGAUGGUUUUUACAGAGAUUUGGCCCCUACCAACCAAGACUAAAGGUGAGUUUUCCACCAAUGUGUCAUGUGGGUUGCAAUUUAGGUGCAAUCGAUGGGGCUGGCAUGAAGUUCAUCGCUAGGGAGAGGAAAACGACCAGGAGUCAUUGUUGGGAUCGCUGCCGUCACCGUUGCCUUGCUGUUUUCAAGGCGAAACCCUAGGUGAGGCAUCCACCGCUGUAAUCCAUGUUUUCCCUAUAGUUUCAGAUGUUCUAGUACAUGUGUGUAGCGUUACUCGACACCAUUAAGGGCUAGGGUAAAGUUUUACUCUCGAUGUUUCCAGCACAUAGUCAAUCUGUGCAGUUUCUAGUAAUGUUCGUUUUACGUCCUUUUAGUAGCUUCAAAAAAAUAAUAAACCUAUAUAUGAGUAUUAGACAUUUUCCAUAGCUUUCCAUAGCCGCAAAGAACUUUGCAAUCAGAGUUAAGAUCAGGGAGAUAUCAGAGUUUGAUUCUGACUAUGACUCGUAACUGUGCGUAGAAUCUGUUCUCUUCAAGGUUAGGAAAACCUAACAAUUGGAUUGGACUUUUUGGUAGUUGGAGAAGUUUUAGAAAAUUUCAUAAGGUUUUCAUCUUGGUUAAGUAUACCUUCAUAUGAAUUUUGGAGCUCCAGAUGUACCUAUUUUACUAGGACUGUUCCGUGGAUGUGUGGGUAGAACUGAAGUCAUGCAUUGCAUUGCAUUGCACCAUUCGCAUUUCAUUAUGAAGUACUAUUGUGAAGUAUUUAUUUAACUUACUACUCGAAGUUAUGUGGUGCACUUUUAUAAUAAUGAUUCUUAAAUUGUUUCUUAAUAUAUUGUGAUUUAAAUGACUUGGUUGAAAUAGUUUGCUUGCUGAGAUUUUCCAUAAACCUCAUACGCUUUUCCUCUCCACAGGUUCUUGAGUUUGGAGAGUGCUUGGUUGGAUGGGAGUAGCAACACGUGUGCACACACUUCUUCAUGUAUAUGUUUUGGACACAUGUGUUGUAAUAUAGAAUGUUUGGUUGUGAUGUCUUUACUUAGCUUAUAAUCUCUUUGAUCCAGUUUCUAAGAUUUUUAUCUAAAUGAUUUAAGUUGCUUCCGUGUGCUCUGUUCUAUUAUCUUUGUUGCUGUUUUUAUGUGUGUGCCUGUAAUAGUUGUAGUGUAGUGUGGUAAUGCUCCAGAAUGUUGCUGAUGUUCUAGAGUGUUACAAAUUCAAAUACUUGAAGAUUUACAUAAAGUGACAGCACAAUGCAAUUGUAUCUUUUCAAAAAGCUGAAUUGGAAUAAUGAAAUUCUACAUUCUUGUUGAUGAUAUCCUGCAUACCUAAAUAGUAUUACUAACUCUUGUCAUUAUAACCUUAAAGCCCAUACAAGCUUAACAUAAGAAUAAAUGGGCCACACACAAUCCUAAAAGUACGGAGGCUAUGAAUCAAAAUGUCAUAUCAAAUUAAGAACACAAACAGUUCAUUCAUAAAAUAACUAGGCACCUGUCAUGAAUGAUAACUCAUUACAAUGACGUUUUAUUCUUUUACGAAGUAUCACAAGCAACCUCUCAACUCCGUGCUAUAUAAAUAUUACAUGUGCGAGUUCCUUAGAAACAACGGGAGGUAAUAAACGAUCCCCAAAUGUGUACGCUAUUAUUCAUAACAUAAUUAUUCAUAACAUCUAUAAUGAUAAUACAUCUUACUCUUCAUUAUAUUCAUUAUUUCAUUGCAGCUGCUUAUCAUUGAAAAAAAGAGUACCAAGCUCGAUGACAAAGAUAUUGAUACUAUUGGUGUAGACAUAGCGAGAUUCAUCCAAUGCGAGAUUUGUCACGACAGAGGUGCAAAAUUUGACCCCGAUGGCGUGUUGGCGACGGAUGAGUGCAAAUCUCUACGUAAUUGGGUAUAGUAGGGAUAUUUAGAGAUGCCAAAGAACAUUUAUAUUCUAAUGCCUGUUGAACCUUAAAUAAUUAUAUUUAUAUGUUAUUAUUAACUACUGUGGAAUAUUUAAUAUUUUGAAAACUUAUAUAUCAUUUAUGGUUGUUUUUCAUCAUAUGUGGUUGGAGAUACAUAUUUCAAUUUGGCGAGCAAUAUCAUUACAAAAUUGACAGGAGGCAAUAAAAAAUUAGUGGGAAUUUUCAGAUAUUCGAAUGGGCAAAGAUCAUGUGCCGGCGGGCAUCAUAAACCAAUCUGUACUGGUGGGCAUCAUAAGUCGCUAGCCAGUGCAAAUCCGUAUGAGUUGGCGGUUGCGCAGUCACCAACUCAAAUAUUUUCUGGCAUAGUAUUGGCUUUUGUAUAUUAGUACUUUGUUAACGUAAUAUACGGCAAAUAAAACAAGGCUCUACAUUACUUCUAAAAGCCCAGAACAGUACUCAAUGAAGAUUUCCUAGACUCACAAACUGUUCCCAAAAUCACCCAAAUAAUCCUGAAGCAUGCGAAUGUUGCCUGAGUCGGAGGGAGGUGUGAAGAUUUAGUGAAAGAGUGAUAAGAAACUAAUCAUGCAUGGCUGCAGUGAAGCUAAGUCAACCGUGUAAGGCCUUGAUCAAGUUGGUACCCAUUCUGAAUUGUAUACGUACUUCAAUAAUAAAAUCCAUUGGGGAUUGUCACGUGACGAAAUAGAGCAGGAGCAAGUGUGAUAAAAAGAAUUACCUUAAGUCUCUGUAAGGAAAAUGAUAAAUAAAUCAUGAGUGUCUCAGAUCCUUGGCACCCUCGAUAGUGUUAACGCAGUGAUCGUUUGCCUCUAUUCUAUAUAUACUAGUACUUAGAGGUACACUGCAGAGCAAAUUGAGCAAAACAAAGCUGCACACCAUGAAGAGGCGGAGCCUUGCUUUGGCAGCAACCGCUGCUGUCAUCUUCUUCUUCUUCAUGACGGCAUUCCCAGCGUGCGCAGCCGUCGUCGAGCACACCUUCGUUGUAAGCAUGCUGCUCCUCCAUGGUUUUGAUCCUCAUUAUUAACCCGUUCUUAUUUUUGACAAUGAAACCACAAUGUUUAUAUAUUUCUAUACAUUUUGAUUUGUUGAAAUAUGUACAUAUGUAGGUGAGCCACAUGAAUAUGACGCACUUGUGCAAGGAAACACGGGUUAUGGUAGUGAAUGGGCAGCUCCCUGGGCCAGCAAUAGAGGUCACGGAGGGAGACUCGGUGGUCGUUCAUGUAGUCAACAAGUCACCCUACAACAUGACAAUCCAUUGGUAAUCAAUUAAGUACUGGUCAAUUACUCAAAUGAUUAUUCCUUUGCUCCAACGAAAAAAAUCCUACCAAUUAAACCUGAAAGUGUAGAAUUUUAACAACUUAUAUGUGGAUCCUAUUGGUGGGUCUCGAGUAAACCAUGUAUUGAUUUAAGUCCUACUGAUGUUGUUUGUAAAAAUUGGUUUGUUUUGGAGCCUUCUUUUUGUAGGCAUGGAGUAAAGCAACAGCUCAACUGCUGGGCUGAUGGCGUGCCGAUGAUUACCCAGCGCCCCAUCCUUCCAAAUAAUAACUUCACCUACCGGUUCGAUGUUUCGGGGCAGGAAGGUACCCUGUGGUGGCAUGCUCAUGUUCCCUUAAUCCGUGCAACAGUGCAUGGCAUCUUGAUCAUCAGGCCAGGGCAUGGGGCCGUCUCCUAUCCAUUUCCUAAGCCUCAUAAGGAGAUCCCCAUAAUCAUAGGUUUGUGCGUGUUCAGCAUUUGAGAGAGUUUUACUAUAAACGUCCAGUUUUCAUAACGUUUUUGUAUUGGACAUCGUUUGGACAAAGAUUUGAAUCAAACGGUCCUGUUAUUUAGAAAAAUGAGCUAUUUUCCAUGCGUCAUGCAUAUGGUUGCACAGAACUAGCAGACGUGCCACAUCUUUUACGCAAUGCUCUGGCUGAACUAUUGUUGUUUUGUUCCUGUUGAUUGCAGGGGAGUGGUGGAGUGAAGACAUUGCACAGGUGGACACAACCGUCUCUUACAACAGUGCGUCCACAAUCAAUGGCAAGCUUGGAGAUCUCUACAACUGCUCUGGUAACCAAAUUGCUACAUUAAUAUAUGGCCACAUCGACACAAACAUCUUUUAUUAAUUCUGUAGUCCUCACGGAUUCAACUUUGAAGGCGCCAUGGAACAGGGCUAUAUGAUGGAGGUGGAGCCCGGCGAGAUCUACCUCCUCCGAGUAAUCAACGCUGCGCUCCUCUCUGAAUACUACCUCAAGAUAGCUGGGCACAAGUUCACUGUGGUUGCUGCUGAUGCCAACUACGUCAGCCCUUAUACGACGGACAUCAUUGCAAUUGCUCCAGGCCAGACAUUCGACGCCCUUGUGGUUGCCGAUGCGUCUCCUGGCAGAUACUACAUGGUCGCCCUGCCCAACCAGCCUCCAAAGCCUGACUUUCAGAGCCCGGUCUUGCCCUCUAGAGGCAUACUGCAGUAUAGCAACGUAGCAGGAGGAAGUCAGUCCGGUGAUGUUCCAAUGUCACCGGAGAUGCCUGAUAACCACAACAAUAUGCUAUCAUUCUACUUCCAUGGCAACCUUACCAACUUGCACCACCCAAGACACCAGCCAGUGCCAGAGCGAAUCGAUGAACGCAUAUUCAUAACGCUUGGCCUUGGCUCUGUUUGUCGGAAUGGACGCCAGUCUUGCAAGAGAGGUGACAAUAGCUUGGAGAGCCUCAUUGUGGCAACAAUGAAUAGCAUGUCCUUCCUGCUCCCCAAUGUAUCGACAGCACUGCUAGAAGCCCGCUAUUACAACACCAGCAACAUGGACUGGCUCCAAGAACUCCCUGACGUGCCACCGCGGGUGUUCAAUUUCACUGACCAUUCCUUGAUCCCAGCAGGACCCAAGGAGGAAAAGCUAGAGCCGUCGUCCAGGGCUGCAUUGGCACGGCGAUUCCGUUAUGGAGCUGUUGUUGAGGUCGUGUUCCAGAGCACGGCAUUGAUGCAGAGCGACUCCAACCCGAUGCACCUGCACGGACAUAACAUGUUCGUGCUGGCACAGGGGCACGGCAACUAUGACAUGGCAAGGGAUCUGGCAAGGUACAACCUGGUUAAUCCCCCAGUUGUGAAUACUGUGCUCGUGCCACGGCUUGGAUGGGUGGCUGUCCGAUUUGUCGCUGACAAUCCAGGUGCGUACAUGAUUUAUUUAUUUUGCCAAGGAAGAUACAGUUAUGCAGUACAUGAUUACUCUAUCUUUUUCCGGCAUAAGAUGUGUGAAUAACUAUCCUACCCUAUAUGAUGUUCAAAUUUUGACUUGCAUGCACGAGGGUUAAAAGGUUCAAAAGCCACGUGCCAAUGCAAUAACUUUGUUUACUUUCACCAUUUGUCAUGGCUCAAGUCUUAAUUGCUACUCAAGAGUUCUUUAAUAACUAUUAGAGUGCCAUCUUAGUGCAAGUCCAAAAUUCAACUUCUUUUCCUGUCCAUCUUAGUUCUUUAAUAAUCUGCUAGAUGCCCUUUGUUUUAUUGGUUUCAACCAAACGUUCUAUGGACCAAUCCAAACUUUUCCAACAUGCCUUCUCUUUAAUACAUAUUCAGAACAACAUUAAAAUUGAAAUAUAGAGAAAUUGUAUACAAGCGUAAACACCACAUGGUCCAAUCUAAAAUUUCCUUUUACACCCGUUUUGAGAGUAUGAGUUGAGAAAAUUCUAAAAACUUACUUCAGAAUAAAUGGAAAGGAAGAAAGGGGUAUGCUUAGUAUCAACAAUAAAAAUUCACCUGAACUUCAUAAGUAUUCUACAACUUUUCUAGAAGAAAAUAUUUUAUGAUUCUUGCUCCUGUACAAAAUUAUUUACUUAUUACAAUUAACCUAUGGAUUUCUUUAGACAUGAACUUUAUUUUUCAGUUGUAGCUAGGGUAACCCAAGAUCUAAUUCUUUCGUUUUUGUGUAUAGGGAUAUGGUACAUGCAUUGCCACUAUGAGUUCCAUCUAACAAUGGGCAUGGUAGCAUUGUUCAUUGUCGAGGACGGACAAACAACGAACACAUCGCUCCCUUCACCGCCAGCGGACAUUCAGGCAUAUGGCAAUGCAAAUAAUCUCAUGCCAGACAAAUACUACCUUCAGAAUGAGGAAAGAUGACUCCGGUUAUUAUGAGCCUUCCAAUAAAAGAAACAAACUUUUGAGCUAUGCGAAGUAUUAUUGAGAAAAAAAAAAUUGAAAAUGUAGCUGACCCAUUGUUUCAUUAGGAUGUUUUCAGGAUGCGUCCGAACUUGCUAUAAUAUUUUUUUCCACGGUCUCUUUAAACUUUGAGUUCACCAGAUUUUCUUAGACUUUUCUGGUAUUGUUUCUAUUUAUUUGGUUUCAAAAUUUUUGAAAUACUAAAUCAAGAAGGAUUUGGAUCUAUCCUUAACACAAGAAACCUCUUGAUUUGGGAAUUCGAUCCACACGUGGGAAGUAAAUUAUUGCUGCUAAAAAAACGAAAAAGACUAAAGGGUUUAUGGUGGUUUAAAAGUACUCGUGGGUACUCGUCGGUACUUCAAGGUACUUUCUUUGUUUCCACUGUCCCAUUGAAAAAAUAAAAAUAAAUUUAAGGACUAUUUUUUGAUGCUUCAUCCCACCAAUUUGGUACUUCUCAUUAGGUACUUCAAAGAUACUUUAUUUGUUUCCACCGUUAGAUUUCUCGGGAUGGAGGGCUCUUAUUUUUUCCAAUCAUUCUAAAAUUUCUCAAGAAGAAAGUAUUUAACUGGAAGAAGGUAACAAUGUGGCCCUACAGUGAUGGGUAGUCCUCCGUACUGUUUGGGUAGGGUUUCAUGGUUUCACACUACUAUUAGAACUGGUGGUGAAAACAAGUAUUACUGCCAGUUCCAAACCUACUACCGCCACCUCCUAAUAUGAGGCGUUGGUGAUGGCUUUGUAACUCGGACUCGAAUUUUUUUAUCAUCCUGAUUUUGACCAACUCUCACGUCCGCUCCUCUCUCUCUCUCUCACUCUAAUCGGUCGCCCCCACCCCUCUCUCUACCCCCCUCCUCCGCUUCUCUUUCUCACUCUUAUCUGCUCCCCCCCCGGCACCUACUCUCUCUCCCUCCGCCCGCCUCUCUCUUCCACUUUUAUCAUGUCACUCCCUACACUUCCCUCCACCGAUAGCUACCGAUCAGGCUUGCUCUGCCACCCCUCCCACCCCCCUCCGCUCGUCCUCAAUGGCAGUGAGGAGUGGUGGCGGGGUGAGGCGCGAAGGCAGUGCUAGGGUGGGGUACCGGUGAGGGGAAGCAGUGGUGGCGCAGGGGAGCAGUGGCACGGGUGUAGCAGCGGCAGCGUUGGGGUGGAGAAAUGGCAGGAGCAGAUCCAGCGGCGGCGGUGGCUCAGCGGCUGUGGCGGAUCCCCUCUCCCUUCCCCAGCCGGAUCCCCUCUCCUCUCUCUUCUGGUUGGAUCCCCUCUCCCUCCCUUGAAUCUGUCAGGCGGUGAUGAGUCCUGAACUCUUGGUAAGCCUGACUCCCUCUCUUUCUAUGUGUGUGUGGGGGGGAGGGGGUGGGUGGCUUUUGCGGCAGCGGUGGUGUCUGGGCAUCCGUCGGGGUGUGGUGCGGGGCCAAGCCUGCCGAUGGCCGGCAGUGAGCGUCGUGGCGACGACCGACGGGACAUGGGGCCCAAUUUUUUUUCGUUUUUUGUUUUUGAAAAAGGUUAUCACCGCCAGUUGAUGCCCUCCCCUAUCACCACCGACCCUAAUCCGACGGGAGGCUAGGCCAGCGGUGAUGGGGGGUUGGGGGCCAGCGGUAAUAGUGAUAUGUGUAGUAGUAUUAGGUUACCAUGCUACUGCAGAUAGAGGGAUGGCCAGGGCCCAAGAAAUUAACCUUGAAAAUACAGCUAUAUCAAAGGCCAUCGAGGGCCCAAGAAACCAUAGUGAAAGCAGCAGCCACAGAGCAACUAGGCACGGCAGUGAUGUUGUUAGUAUGUAUUUUGUGUGUAGCCUGUUAGAGCAUGAUGUUAGAUUCAAUUAGCCUUUAGGCUAUACAGGAAUCUAAUUUUGCAUGCUAGAGAUUAUGGUUGUAGAAGAGAAGGGAGUACAGUUGCAGGUGGAGUUAUACAGUUGGAAUUGCAUGGAUAGCACUUAUUCUUUAGGCAUUGGGAUUUUGUGAAAGUCAAAAUGGAAUUAGCAAAACUAGGCUGAAGCGUUCAUGCAUCGGCUAGCUCAUGAAGAGCAGCAAAGGUGACAAGUCAAGUAUUGUGUACAUGGAACUUCAUGUGCGUCGGCUACAAGGUCGCGGUGUAUUAAUGGGAUACUCAUCAAGAUGGAGUUUGAUAAAAGAAAUGUGUUGAGUAUAUGUACGAGUCCAAUUAUGAUGCUAGUUUUGUAUUAGUGGUACAUUGUAGAGUUCAUAUUAAUCUUUUUAACUUGGUCUUCCACAUAAAUAAAAGAAUCAGACUGCUAUUGUAACCAUGGCAGCAUAUUGAUAUGUUUGCAGGAGGAACUGGCCCAAUGCCGGGACCUUAAGUAGGCGAGAUGUUGGUUUUGGUUGAACCUCUUCAAUAGAUGUCACAUUCUCAUGUCAUCUUAGAUCUUGCAAGUUCGUCUUGAUAGGUCUUUCGUUAGUGGUGGUUAGCAGACGACAUGUCGCUACGACAACUAACACUAAGGAAGAAGUAUCAGAGCAACGGUCAGAAAAUAUGGUGACACAAGGAGCCUGUGAGCAAGAGAGAGAAUAGGGAGGUGGGCUGCUGGUGGGCUUGAUUUUUGUCACACCUGGUUUUAAAGGCAAAACCAGAUGAUUAUCAUAUGUGUGCUAGGAUCAAGUUUCACACAUACGAUAACUUCAGUAAAUAUCAAAUACAAUAUUAUAAUGUAAAGAGAGAGGAUUACAUAGAUUACACAACCAGAAAUGAGAUGAAAAUCUCUAAUAUAAGCAGCGGAUCUCCAACAACUGCACAUGCAGUUGAUUGGGGAAAACAUACGCCUAGCAAUUCUUCAAAAUCUUCAAUAGAUUUUUCUUGUACUGAACAAUUGAUAUAGCAAGUGUGAAUACACUUAUGGUUGGCACUCAGCAUGUGUGGGGAAUUGUGUAGUGUAAAGCCAUUCAAGGAUAGGCUAAAGUUUUAAUAGCAGUUCAGCUUUUUAUUUGGUUGGUCAAAUUUUAUUAGUAAUUACUACAUGUAAGUUUGUACCACCCACAUUAACGUGAACAUGAACACAGAUAACAUAAAUAAAUAAUAGCAAUUUAAUUUUGUUUUUCGAUAAUUUAAUCAUGUGAGGGUCCAGGCCACUCUUGACCGUGAGCACAACUAAUAUAUCAGUUUUACACUCUACAGAGGUUGUACACUUUCACCACAAGUCGCGUAAAAGUUCAGAAAAACUUUGUACCCAACCAUGUUGUGCAAAAGUAGUCACUUAUCACACUACCAAGGUGUGAUUUUAUAGGGACGCUACGAGGCCAUUACAACGAUUCCCUAAAAAGUGAUAACUUGCUAAGAUUUCCUCAUAAGGGGAUGAACCCUCCCCCAAGUGGUGCGAACACCCCUUGGCUGGACAAGCCAUCGCACAAUCUAUGAGCCCCUCUUGCCCUUCCGAUAAGACUAUCACAAACUAGGGUCUCUAAUUAAUUAGCCAAGACAACAGCCAUAUAGUUCUCAUGGUUGUACUGUUUUUCUGGGUGGUUCUCCAUGUUCCUAUUAAACCUAAUGGUCUUGUAUUAAAGAAAGGUAUAACAUCCAAAAAUCAAGAUUGAUAAUUGAGUUCAUUAAUACCACCACAUCCCUGUUGAGCAACUAAGCAUGUACUACCCAACAUUAUGUAAGCACAGGUUGAUCGAGGUGUAUGGAAUAAAACUAGGCAAUCUUUAAUUAAGUCCCAUCAUGUUUAUGACUUAAGGUGCAUGGCAUAAAUGUUAUUGAACAUGAAAGUAAAUGUUCUUAGCAUCAAGCUGCGGUCAAGGACACGACUUGCCUUCUUGCACUUGCUCCGGCUGCUCAUAGUCUUCAAGGUCUUGAGCUUCAAAUCCAUCGAGCAGCAAUCCUUCUAACGCGAUCAAACGAGCACAUACAAGCAAAUAAAAGAAAUAAAAUAAGAAACCGUAUACCAAAAAGUGUAAAUAGAGAAAAAAUAGCACAAAAAGUUAAUCUGCAAGGGCUAAAUAUGCAAAAUGCAUCAUAUCUUCUUCCUUUGGUUUGAUCCACCAAUGACCGCAUACUUGCCGCCGACGGUGGCCGGGACCGGGGAAAGGGGAGCGCGCAACUGCAGCUAGGCCUCGGCGGUGGUGCAGCGCAUGCCAGGGGCGCAUGUGGUGGUGGAGCGGCGGCAGCACGUAGGGGCUUCGAUGUGGGGCAGGCCGGCGGCGCGGCUAGGCGAGGGGUGCGAGGUGUACAUGCUCUGAAAAUUUUGAGGCAUUAUGUCCUUGGAACUAAAUUUUAGAUUUAUACUGACCAUAAGAGUCUCAAGUAUAUCUUCACUCCAAAGGACCUUAAUCUGAGAUAGCGACGUUGGUUAGAGCUCAUCAAAGAUUAUGAUUUGGAAAUUCACUAUCACCCUAGUAAAGCCAAUUUGGUUGCAGAUGCCUUGAGUCGGAAAGGUUGCGUUAAUCUAGCCUUAACAUUUCAAUUGCCUGAAGAGUUGAUGAAGGAAUUUGAGAAGCUUUACUUGACUAUAGUUGCUCAUACUGAAGGAGUAACUAUGGAAGUGGAGUCGACUUUAGAGCAAGAGAUAUGAAAAGGACAGCUUGAGGAUGCCAAGAUCAAGGAUAUUAAGAAGUUGGUGAAGGAAGGAAAAGCCUUGGAUUUCACAAAGGAUGCGCAGGGAACUUUAUGGAUCGAAGGGAGAAUUUGUGUACCGGAUGUGGGAAAUCUCCGAGAAACGAUUUUGAGAGAAGCUCAUGAUUCAGCUUAUUCUAUACACCCCGGAAGCACUAAGAUGUAUCAGGAUCUCAACAAAGGUAUUGGUGGCCCGGAAUGAAGAGAGACGUAGCUGUCCGUGUAGCUCUUUGUGACAUAUGCCAAAGGGUCAAAGCUGAACACCAGAGGCCAGAUAGAUUGCUUCACCCGUUAAAGGUGCCCGAAUGGAAGUGGGAAGAAAUCGGUAUGGACUUUAUAGUCGGAUUGCCCCAUACCCAAGCUGGUUAUGACUCAAUUUGGGUGAUUGUGGACAGGUUGAUGAAGGUAGCACACUUUAUACCUGUGAAGACCACCCAUUCAGGGGCAAGAUUAGCAGAGUUGUAUAUGUCGAGGAUUGUGUGUUUGCACGGGGUUCCCAAGAAGAUAGUGUCCGAUAGAGGUACUCAGUUCACGUCUCGUUUCUGGCAGAAAUUGCAUAAAUCUCCGGGUACAAGAUUAAAUUUCAGUUCAACUUAUCAUCCUCAGAUAGAUGGGCUGACUGAGAGCACAAAUAAGAUUCUGGAGGAUAUGUUGAGAGCAUGCGCAUUAAAGCAUGGAGGCAGUUGAGACAAGAGUUUGCCCUAUGUAGAGUUCUCUUAUAAUAACAGCUAUCAAGCCGGUCUCAAGAUGUCACCGUUUGAAGCUUUAUACGGGACAAAAUGCAGAACCCCUCUUUAUUGGAAUGAGAUGGGAGAGAAUCAAUUGUUUGGGCCAAAAAUCAUUCAAGAAGCAGAAAGGCAGGUUCAAAUCAUUAGGGAGAAUUUAAGGACAGCCCAAUCUCGGCAGAAGAGCUAUGCUAACACCAAGAGAAGUGAAUUGACCUUUAAGGAAGGUGAUUAUGGGUAUUUCAAAGUCUCGCCCAUCAGGGGUAUGUGCAGGUUCAAGGUUAGGUUGUCACCUCGCUUCAUUGGACCUUUCAAAAUUCCUGAGAGAGUGGGACAGGUAGCUUACCGAUUGGAGUUACCUAAUCAGCUAUCAAAUGUUCAUGAUGUGUUCCAUAUCUCACAACUCAACAAGUGCCUUAGAGUUCCAGAGGAACAGUUGUCAAUGGAGGAAUUGAAUGUUCAGGAUGAUCUCACUUAUACGGAACAUCCUGUCAGGAUCUUGGAUACCUUUGAAAGGGUUACCAGGAACCGGGUGAUCAAGAUGUGCAAGGUGUAAUGGAGACACCAUACAGAGGACGAGGCAACUUGGGAAAGAGAGGACGAGCUAAAGAAGGAAUUUUCCCAUUUCUUUGCAGAAUCAUCUGAAUCUUGAGAACGAGAUUCUUCCUAAGGGGGUAGGAUUUGUAACACCCAAAAUCGCUAACCUUGCAUUUUACUAAAAUUUGAUAGAAACAAUUUUGCAUGUUUAAGGCAUAUCAGGUUGUUUUGCAUUUUUCUAGGCAUUUAAGCAUUUUCUAAAACAACUUAAUGAAACAUAGGAAUUUAUUUGCGCAUCCAUGCCGCUGCAUAGUUUUCAUCUUGUUUGCUUGGUUUCGAGUUUGUGUUUUGCUUUUGGUGGCUGAUCUCCUAUUCUGUUAAAUUGGCUAGCUGUUUUCAGUUUCAGUGUUUCUGUCAGUCGGCAGUUCUUCAGUUUCAUCUCCGGUUCUGUUUCUGUCUUGUUCAAUUCAGCUGGCGAGUUUUCAGAUUGGCAACAUUAGCUAGCGGCAGUCCAACCCGCAGCCUAGGCUGAUUCUCGCUUUCCGGUUCAGCACCAAGCAGCCGCAGCUGCUGGCCUUCGACCUGUUUUUGCUUCCCUCGCGCCAGCUCUUUCGGCCCAGCAGGCUUGGCCCGUUUAUCCUUGCACGGGCCCAGCUUCCAGCAGUGGCCUGCUCCUUUUUGCCGGCCUGCUCGCACGCUCUCCCACCCUCUCUCGUUGAGCCGUGGGGCCCACGCAUCAUCCCCCUCCUUCCGCCCAGCUCCUGCACGCACACAAGCACUGGAUCCGACUCGGACCAAGCUCGAGUCCAAGCUAGACACGCCCUCUGCCGCGUCCGCCUCCGGUUUGGCCCGCACGCCAAGGCUUACAAAAGCGGCUGCCUCCUCUUUUCCGCUCCCAAAAAACCCUAACCAUCUCGCGUCUCCCCAUGCGUCGCCAUCCAAGCUUCUUUGCGCCGCCGUCCGCCCGUGCUCGAUCUACGCCACCGUCGCCUCUCGUCGCCGCUGACUCCGCACGAAGGUCCGCAAGGGGUUGACGAGACCGCCCAUGGAGUUUUUGUGCUCGCCUGUGCCUUUUCCUGCUCGCCCAAGCUCGCAGGAGCUACGCCAUUGCCGCUGGGCUUUGCGCCGCCACCACCACAGCGAAAGCCACCCCAGCGGCAUCCUAAACGAGUCCACCGCAAGCUUCUCUACCUCCUAGUCAGCUUCGUGUCCAAAACUCGCGCCAGAUGCGCUUUGCCGGCCGCACGCCAGCGACUCGCCGCCGCUAGCGGCGCCGCACACGUCGCCAGCCGUCAGAUGAUGAUCCGACAGCUCAACCAUGUCUCUUUUGCAAAUGAGCCCCUAUAGUUUUCUCUUUUUACACAUGAGUUCUUCCGCAGUUCAAAAAUAUUUAGAUUUUAGUCCUGUUUUUUCUGUUUUAGACCCUGAGCUUCUGCACAAUAGCACCCUCAGUCCAUAGCUGCUCUUUUACAUGUUAAACCUUCGAUUUAUACGUGUAAUUGUGUUUAGGCCCUCGUUUUCUUGCAGGCAAGCCCCUAAAAGUUUGGUUUCCUCACAGAUAGGCCCUUGCAGCUUGUUUUAAGUGUACCUUUUCCAUCCUAGCUCCGUUUUUAGCGUUCUUUUUGUCCACGCAUUCUUUUCGACACAUAGAAGAGUUUUGUAACCUUGUUUUCUUCUGUUUUCAUUGAUUGGUGUACUCUUUUCUCAGUUUAUGCUUUUGUUUGCUUGUAUGUGCUUAUGUGACGCGUGUAGAAGGAUAGCUGUUCGAGGGGUAUGAGGAGCAAGCUUUCGAAGAGUACGAGCAGUAGGAACAAGUUCAAGAAGGCAUGUCAUGUCCUUGAUCACAACUUUAAGUCCCAUUACACCUUUACUUUCAUGUUCAACACAACUUUCGCUACGCACUUGAUAGUAUAAUCAUGAUGAGUCCCAAUUAAGGUUUUCCUAGUUUUAUACCAUGUACCUUGACCAACCGGGUUUACUUUGCUUUACAUGGGCUAAGGUGGUUCUGAUGAAAUCAAUGAUUAAACUUGUUUUAUUUAUGCUAUACCUUUCACUAAUACAAGACCACAAUGCUUAAAUUGAACAUGGAGCGACCACCUAGGAAAAACGUACAACCACAUGGACUAUCAUGGGUUUGGUCUUGGCUAAAUAAUUGGAAACUGUAGUAUGGGGUAAUCUUAUCGAAAGGGCAAGAGGGUUAUGCUCUGGUUAAUGGGGUAUAGCACCGGUCCUCUUAGGAAGUGGGCUUAGCUAAGACACUGUACCCAAUAGGGAGGGUUAUGCUCUACUUCGACCUAAAACAUUAGCAGGUUACCACUUGCUAGCGAAUCUUUGUAAAUGCCUCGUAGCGUCUAUAUGCAAUCACACCUCAAAAGUGUGGUAUGGUGCCUUGCAGACACCACAUGGUUGGUUCAAAGUCUUUAAACUUUUACGCGACUUGUGGGUUAAGAUGUGCAACCUCUACAUAGUGUAAAACUGAUCGAUCAGCCGUGCUCACAGUUAAGAGCGGCCUAGACCCUCACAUGAUAAAAUUAUCAAAAUUAUCAAAAGAUGGACUUAAAUCGCUGUUGUUUAUUUAUGGUUAUACUGUUAUAUCUCAUUUAUGCUUCUGCUUAAUUAUGGGUGGUAUAAACUUUCAUUUAGUUAAUUGCUAAUAAACUCUGACCAACUAAUUAAAAGCUGAUGCUGAUUAAACCUUAGCCAUACCUUGGUUAGCCUUACACUACACUAUUCUCCAUGACUUGUUGAUUACCGACCAUAAGUGUACUCACCCUUGCAAAACCACUUUUCAGACCAAGUGAAUCCUGAGGAGUAUCUGCAAGACUUUGAGAAGUUCUAGGCGUACGUUUCUUCAGUCAGCUGCCUGUGGUGUCGUCGCUACCUUUGGAGUUUCGCUGCGUAAUAAUUAGACUUUAUGGUUUAUUUGAGACUUUCGGUCACGUAAUAAUGGUUAAUACUCUCUUUAUUCAUUUUGGCGCUAUCUUUGAUAUUCACUUAUGUCGUACAUGUGUGUAACUUGAUCCUAGCGCACAUAUAUUCAAUGCACGUGGUUUUGUCCUUAAAACCGGGUGUGACAACCGGGGAAGGGGAGCGUGCGGCUGCAGCUGUGCCUCGGUGGUGGUGCAUCGACAGCGUGUAGGGGCUUUGGUGUGGGGCAGGCCGACAGCGUGGCCAGGCGAGGGGCAUGAGGUGGCGGUUCGGGCACGGGCGGUGCACAGGAUGGCGGCGGGUAGCAGCACGGCGCAGCUCGGCGGUGGGCGGGGCGGCCAUGGCCAUGGAGUUGACCGGAACAUUAAAAUAAAGAGAGAGAGAAAAGGGGAAACACCGGGAUGACCUCCAAACUUGCACGAAAGUGUCAAAACGGAUUGAGGAUGAUGAGAUGAAUGCGUUGGUGCGCUCACCUUCCAUCGAGGACUAACGGUUUCGCUGGAAUUCUCGCAGGAAAGUCUGCCGGAUUUUAACAGAUGCGUAUCUUUGGCAUCGAACUGCGGGAGCUAGGGUUGUCGAAAAGAGAUGGGGUUUGUGGCGUUGGAAACAGAACAUCAAGGAGAUCACCAAAAAGUAUUUAUAGCCCCAAUUGGAGUCUGAAUUUAUUUUCCUCUUUUUCUAAUUUCAGGAAUUAAUUUCGGAUUUGAAAACAAUUCUAGAAAAUCCUGAAAUCAUAAUUCAAUCACGAAAAAUACUCUGAAAGCUCUGAAAAUUUCAUAAAACUUCCUAGAGAUGAUAUGGGACACGAGGAAUGCAAAUAAAUACUUGGCCCUCCUGGAAAGACUUGUAGAACCGUCCAACAAAUUGGAUUAAGCUCUAGGAAACUGAGAAUAAAUUCCAUAAAAAUAUGGAAAAUUCUUGGAGGAACCUAAUCAUCAUCUAAUCGUAUUUUUAAACUAUUUCACACUCAAGGAAUAAGAAAUGCAACCAGCAUGAAUGCAAUAGACUUAAACCUAUGUUUCAUUAAGUUAAUUUUAGAAAAGGAUUUUUAAUGCCUAAUAAAUUCAUAGAGAAACCUUAAGGCCUUAAACGAACUGAAAGAAAUUCUAGAGAAAUUAUAAUUAAUUUUUUAUUAACUGCAAUAGAUGAAAAAUUAGGGUUUUACAAACCUACCCCCUUAAAAUGAAUCUCGUCCUCGGGAUUCGGAUGGGUUGGCAAAGAGUUGAGGAAAUUCUUCCUUCAACUCAUCUUCUCGUUCCCAUGUAGCUUCAUCUUCUGAAUGAUGACUCCAUUGUACCUUGCACAUCCUAAUUACCUUGUGUCCUUGUAACCCAUGCUAAAGUAUCCAAGAUCUUGAUCGGAUAUUCAGUGUAAGUGAGAUCAUCCUUUACAUUUAAAUCCUCCAUGGGUAAUUGUUCUUCUGGAACUCUGAGGCACUUCUGUUGCUAAGAGAUUUGGAACACAUCAUGCACAUCUGAGAGUUGAGUGGGUAACUCCAACCGAUAAGCUACCUCUCCCAUUCUCUCUAGAACUUUAAAGGGUCCAAUAAAGCAAGGCGACAACUUUCCUUUAACCUUAAAUCUGCGCAAACCUCUGAUAGGUGACACUUUAAGAUACACAUAAUCACCUUCCUCAAAGGUCAAUUCUCUCCUUCUAGUAUCAGCAUAACUCUUUUGCUUGGAUUGUGCUGUCCUUAGAUUUUCUCUGAUUAUCUGCACUUGCCUUUCGGCUUCUUGGAUGAUUUCUAGCCCAAAUAAUUGACUCUCUCCUAUCUCACUCCAAUGUAGAGGAGUUCUGCACUUCCUUCCAUAUAGAGCCUCAAAGGGUGACAUCUUGAGACUCGCUUGGUAUCAGUUGUUAUAAGAAAACAUAGCAUACGGCAAACUCUUAUCCCAACUACCUCCAUGUUUUAGAGCGCAUGCUCUCAACAUAUCCUCCAUAAUCUAAUUUGUCCUCUCAAUCUGUCCAUUUGUCUGAGGAUGAUAAGCUGAGUUGAAAUUCAACUUUGUACCUCUAUUCAUGCAGAUUUAGCCAAAAAUGGGAUGUGAACUGAGUACCUCUAUCAGACUCUAUCUUCUCGGGUACCCCAUGCAAACACACAAUUCUAGACAUAUACAACUCUUCCAACUUGGACCUAGUAUAGGUGGUCCUUACCGGAAUGAAGUGAGCUACCUUAGUCAAUCGAUCUACUAUGACCCAUAUUGAAUCAUAUCCAUCUCAAGUGCGGGGUAAACAAACGAUGAAAUCCAUACUGAUUUCCUCCCACUUCCAUUUAUCCACCUUUAAUGGUUGAAGCAAUCUAGCUGGUAUUUGGUGUUCAGCCUUUACUCUCUAACAUAUAUCUUAGAAGGCAACAUAUGCAGCUACAUCCCUCUUCAUUCCAUACACCAAUACUUCUCCUUGAGAUCUUGGGACAUCUUGGUGCUGCUAGGAUGGAUAGAAUAGGCUGAGUCAUGAGCUUUCCUCAAUAUGGUGUCUCUGAUCUUUUCCACAUCCGGUACACAAAUCCUCUUUCUAAACCAUAUAGUUCCUUGAUCAUCCUCUGUAAAAUCUAGAGCUUUUCCUUCUUCCAUGAGUUCCUUAAUCUCCUUGAUCUUAGCAUCCUCAAGUUGUCCUUUCUGUAUCUCCUGCUCAAGAGUUGAUUCUACUUCCAUAGCAUAUUGGCAUGAUCAACCCUUCAGCCAUAUUGGCAUGACCCUUUCGACUCACGGCAUCUGCCACCAAGUUUGCUUUACCAGGAUGGUAAUGAAUUUCCAGAUCAUAGUCUUUGAUCAGCUCCAACCAACGGCGCCGUCUCAAGUUAAGAUCCUUUUGAUUGAAAAUGUAUUUCAAACUCUUGUGGCCAGUGUAGAUCUGGCACUUGGUUCCAAGAACAUAAUGCCUCCAAAUCUUCAAGGCAUCCACCACUGCUGCGAACUCCAAAUCUUGAGUAGGGUAAUUCUUCUCAUGUUUCCUCAACUACUUGGAGGCAUAGGCUAUAACAUGUCCUUCUUACAUAAGAACAUAGUCUAAGCCCUGUCAGAAUGCAUCACAAUAGAUGUCAAAACAUUUCAGCAGAUCUGGCAUCACUAGCACUAGAGAUGUAGUCAAUCUCUUCUGCAACUCCUCAAAGCUUUCUUGACAGGCUUCAGUCCAUUUGAAUUCCCUUCCUUUCUCUAAUAGUCAUGUGAGAGGCUUCACUAUUUUAGGGAACCCCUCAAUGAACCUGCAGUAGUAUCCUACAAGUCUAAGGAAACUCCUGAUUUCCAUGACUGUCUGCGGCAGCGUCCACUUCAGAACAUCCCUAACUUUGCCUGGAUCCACUACAAUUCCUCCAUUGGUGAUGAUAUGACCUAGAAAAGAAACCUAAGUCAGCCAGAGUUCACACUUGCUAAAUUUUGCAUACAGCUGGUUCUCCCUUAGCUUCUGAAGUACUAGCCUUAAAUGCACCUCAUGUUCUUCCCCAUUCUUAGAGUAGAUUGGGAUAUCAUCAAUGAACACCACAACGAACUUAUCCAGAUACUCCAUGAACACCUUAUUCAUCAAAUACAUGAAGUAGGCAGGUGCAUUAGUCAACCCAAAGGAUAUGAUUGUAUAUUCAUAAAGACCAUAUCUAGUGGUGAAAGCAAUCCUGGGAAUGUCAGAUGGUCUGAUCUUCAUCUAAUGAUAACCAUAAUGCAGAUCAAUCUUGGAGAAUAUCUUGGCUCCCCUCAUCUAGUCAAACAAAUCCUCAAUGUGGGGCAACAAAUACUUGUUCUUGAUGGUUACCUCAUUGAGUGAUCUGUAGUCUACACACAUCAUUUGCGUGCCAUCCUUCUUCUCUACAAAGAUAACUCAAGCCCCCCAUGGUGAUGAACUAGGGCGAAUAAACUCCUUAUCCAAUAACUCCUUUAAUUGUUUCUUAAGUUCUUGUAAUUGAUCAAUAGACAUUCUAUAUGGUCUCUUGGAAAUUGGUGUAGUACCAGGUAUAAGAUCAGUAACAAACUCCACUUCUCAGUCUGAUGGCAUGACUGGUACAUCAUUGGGGAAAAUGUCUGGGAACUCACACACCACUUGAAUGUCUUCUAUGGCAAUAUCCUUUAGUUGAUUGAUCACACACACACUUUCUGAUGGUAACCCAACCACAAAUUCAAUCAUUUAUCCUUGAGGACUUGUAAGAAGCACUGAUCUCUUGGCACACUGAAUUUCACCAUCAUAUGUACUCAACCAUACCAUUCCAAGGAUGACAUCAAUGCUAGUUGAUUCCAAAACUAUAAGGUCAACUGGAAAGUCCACCUCUUUUAUAUUUAUGUUGACCUUUGGACGUAUGUAGCUUGCUCUUACCUCACCACCAGGAGAAUCUACUAACAUGGUCUUCUUCAUGGUGUACUUUGGUAAGUUCUAUCUUGAUGUAUACUGAGAAGUAACAAAUUAAUGUGUGGCACCCGAGUCAAACAGAACUGUGGCAGGCACUGAGUUGAUAAAGAACAUGCCAAGUAGACCUCUUGAUCCUUCUGAGCACUCUCUGAACUCACAUGUUUCACCUUACCAUGUAUGUAGUCCUGUUGUCCAACAUUUUUUUGAGGUUGGUUUCCAUUUUGCACUUUCAAUCUUCGCCUAUUUCGACUCCUAGAACCAUUGCUGAAUUACCUUUGGAGAUUUUGAGUAUCCUUCCAAUGAUAGUUGUUGGCAAGGUGACCAACUUCUCCACAGCUAAAGCAUUCCUUUCCCUUGGAAGUGCAAGGGGUACUAGUCUCCAUCAAGAUGUUACUAGGUGGGAUCUGGCAAUUAUUUUGAACCUCUGGAUCGAGGUGGUUGAACACGUCCUGCUCUCUGGAGUAAAAUGAGUGGUCACAUGGUUGAGUGCAAUGGGGGCAAGUGUUACUAGUAAUUUUCUUCUAGGAAUCGAACUUCCUCUUCAUCACCACCAACUCAUGGCGCUUGUCCUCCACUAGUAUCACCUUAUCCACAAGUUGCUGAAAGUUAGGGAAAGUGUGGGCAACUAACUGAUACUAAAUAGGUGCAUUCAAACCUUCUAGAAAGUGGUCUUGCUUCUUCUCAUCAUUAUCCACCUUUUCUGGCGCAUAGCGAUAUAGCUGGAUGAAUUUAUCUUGCUACUCACACACAUACAUCCCUUCCUGCUUAAGACUGAGAAACUCCUUCUUCUUAAGCUUAAUCACACUGGUUGGAAUGUGGUGCGCUCUAAAGUUAUUCUUUAACUUUGACCAAGUGAUGGUAGAUCUGUCUACAUGGGCACCUGCGUAUGAAUCCCACCAAUCUAUAGUAGGUCCUUCUAAUCUUUUUGAAGUAUAUAGGGCCUUCUCCCUAUCAUUACAAUGGGUGAUCUCGAGCUUCUUCUUUACACUCCUGAGCCAAUCAUCAGCUUGUAGUGGAUCCGUUGAAUGAGAGAAGGUAGGAAGUUGAUGGCUCAUGAACUUCCUAUGCUUCUCCCUAGGCUGCACAGGUGACGCUAGUGAUGUCUGGUUCAGUUGAGCUUGUAAACUAGCCACAGUGUUGACCAGGUUCUACAACAACUGAGUUUGGGCGGCGAGGAGCAGCUCCAUCCCUUCUAGUGGCACUUGCUUCUGCUGAGGAUCGGGGUCAGAAUUGCUCCUUCGUUGACAGGGGUUGUGUAGGAUGAUCAACUCCAGAUUAAGACCUGGUGUUCACCAUAUGAUGGAAAAAAAUGAGACUCAGACGUUUGUAGAUAUAGAUGAAUCAAGAAGAUAGGGUGAUAUUAAUUCCAGUUUAUGAUAGAUUCUAUUCGUGCUACCAAAUCAGGUGCAAGUAUCAGGUAGAAUAUCCAAACAUAGUGAAACUUUUUUCAAAGCAUAAUAGAUGAAAUUCUGAAACUAACCGAACUGGAAUCACCUCAAUCAGAGGUCUGAAACUCGAGAUAUGAAUUAAACAAGGUGACUGCAUCCAGCAAUGCUGACGAAUUCUGAUUAUUCCACUAACACGCAAGUUUCUGUCUGUCUAUCAAUCCAAAAAUCACGAAACGUUUCCAGAAAUUAGUCUAUGAAAUUCUGGAGCUGACUCAACUAGAUUCAUGUCAAUCGGAGUUAUGUAGCACCAGAUAUAAGUCAAACAGUACAACUGUGUCGGACAGUGAUGAGAACAGAUUUUUGAGCAGCUCUAGGCUUAUGAUGGAUGGAUGGAUAGAUAGAUAAAAGAUUGUGCAAGAUUUAGUUUGAUUGAGACAAGGUAAAACUCAUCUAACAACUUUAUUACUAAAGCUGAUGUCAUUGUGGUCAUCACUCCAAAACACAUCACAGUCAUUACAUAGAACCAACUCAAGCAAGUUAACACAAUGACAAGCAUAUCAAGCACACUCACAGACAAUUCAAUUCUACUGUUUUACAACUGAUAAGAAAACCUCCUAAGUUGUCUUAAGGAUCAAAGGGCACACUGGUCCUAGAGCUAGGAGAGACAUGGCAGGCAAUCUUGUGAGGUAGAGAGUUGGCUAGACACUUCUGCGUCCAGGUCUUCUUCCAACCCCUUUGGUAGGUUCUUAUCUCUUGUUAGCUUUGUUUCUAGGAUCUCAUUUUUCCUCCUAGUUUCAUCUAGCUGCACAUGCUCUUCAGUUUUUUCUACUGCUUCAUGCUCCUAAGACUGGUGAGCAUGCGAGAUUCGUCCAAUAGCACUCUUAUGAGACAUCUUCCUUUCUGUAGCCAUCUAAUGAUAGUACAAAACGAUUCUCUAAACAAACCUAAGAUUUUAGAGCAAGGUAAGGUAGAAGUAGUAGAGUUUUAAGCAGCAAUGAUGAGGCAAAUCAUCAAUGGGUGAGGAGUAGCAUAAGAUAGCAAGAAUAGAAAAAGCAAGGCUAUUAAAGCAUUAUAAUCUUUAAAUUCGACAAUCUUCUAACUAGGCUAACGUUCUACAGUCAACACGGCUCUAAUACCACUCCUGUCACAUCCGAUUUUAAAGGCAAAACUAGAUGAUUAUCAUACGUGUGCUAGGAUCAAGUUUCACGUUUACGAUGACUUUAGUAAAUAUCAAAUACAGUAAUAUAAUGUAAAGAGAGAGGAUUACAUAGAUUACACAACCAGAAAUGAGAUAAAAAUCUCUAGUAUAAGCACCGGAUCUCCAACAACUCCACAGGCAGUUGACUAGGAAAAAUAUACGCCCAACAAUUCUUCAAAGUCUUCAACAGAUUUGUUUUGUACUGAACAAUAGAUAUAGCAAGUGUGAACACACUUAUGGUUAGCACUCAGCAAGUGUGGGGAAUUGUGUAGUGUAAGGCCAUUCAAGGAUAAGCUAAGGUUUUAAUAGCAGUUUAGCUUUUUAUUUGGUUGGUCAAAUUUUAUUACCAAUUACUACAUGUAAGUUUGUACCACCCACGUUAACCUGAACAUGAAUAGAGAUAACAUAAAUAAAUAAUAGCAAUUUAAUUAUGUCUUUCGAUAAUUUAAUCAUGUGAGGGUCCAGGCCGCUCUUGACCGUGAGUACAGCUGAUAUAUCAGUUUUACACUCUGCAGAGGUUGUACACUUUCACCACAAGUCACAUAAAAGUUCAGAAUAACUUUGGAUCCAGCCAUACUGGCAAAAGUAGGCACUUAUCACACUACCGAGGUGUGACUGCAUAGGGACGCUACGAGGCCUUUACAAAGAUUCUCUAAUAAGUGAUAACCCGCUAAGGUUUCCUCAUAAGAGGAUGAACUCUCCCCCAAGUGGUGCCAACACCCCUUGGCUGGACAAUCCAUCACACAACCUAUGAGCCCGUCUUGCCCUUUCGGUAGGACUAUCACAAACAAGAGUCUCUAAUUAAUUAGCCAAGACCAGAGCCAUAUAGUUUGUGUGGUUGUAUUGUUUUCCCGGGUGGUUCUCCAUGUUCCAAUUAAAUAUAAUGGUCUUGUAUUAAAGAAAGGUAUAAUAUAAAUGAAUCAAUAUUAAUAAUUGAGUUUAUUAAUACCAUCGUAUCCUAGUUGAGCAACUAAGCAUGUACUACCCAACAUUAUGUAAGCCUCGGUUGAUCAAGGUGUAUGGAAUAAAACUAGGCAAUCCUUAAUUAGGUCCCAUCAUGUUUAUGACUUAAGGUGCAUGGCAUAAAUGUUAUUGAAUAUGAAAGUAAAAGUUCUUAGGAUCAAGUUGUGGACAAGGACACGACUUGUUUCUUGCACUUGCUUCAGCUGCUCAUAGUCUUCAAGGUCUUGAGCUUCAAAUCCCUCGAGCGGCAGUCCUUCUAACGCGAUGACAAAAUAAAUAAAUAAGAAAUGGUACAGCAAAUAGUAUAAAUAGAGAAAAAAGCUCAAAAAGUUAAUCUAUGCGUUAAAAUGAACUCGUGGACAAAAGAAGCACUUAGAACGGGUCUAGGAUGCUAAAGAUAUGCACUAAACAAGAUGUAGGGGCUUGCUGGCGAAAUUUUAAAACUUUCAGGGGCUAAACUUGAAGAAACCGAGGGCUAAAAUAUAAUUUUGUAUAGAAACUCGAGGGCUAACGUGGAAAAGGUUAAAGACGAAUUGGACCACGUGAUCUAACUUUUGUGAGGGCCUUUUCACAAAAAUAGCAAGACUCAUACUUUUCUAUUGGUAUUUCAUUUUCCUUCAGGGUUAACGUGCAAAACGGAUCAUAUCUUCUUCCUUCGAUUCAAUCCACCGACGGCUGGACACUUGCUGGCACCGGCGAUCGGGACCAGCGAAAGGGGAGCGCGCGGCUGCAGCUGGGCCUCGGCAGUGUUGCGACGCGUGCUAGGGGUGCGCGUGGUGGUGGUGCAGCAUCGGCGCGCAGGGGCUUCGGUGUGGGGCAGGCCGGUGGCGCGGCCAGGCAAGGGGUGCGAGGUGGUGGUUCGGGCAAGGGCGACGCAAGGGAUGGCAGCGGGCUGGCCUUGGCCAUUGAGUUGACUGGAAUAAUAAAGAAAGAGAGAGAAAAUAGGGGUAAGGCUAGGAUGACCUCGAAAAUUGCACUGGAGUGGCAAAACGGAUCGAGGAUGAUGAGACAAAUGUGUUGGUGUGCUCACCUUCGGUCGAGGACUGACGGUUUCACCGGAGUUCGCGCCCAAAGGUUCGUUGGAUUUUAACAGAUGCGUAUCUUCAACGUCGAACUGCGGCAGCUAGGGUUGUUGUAAAGAGAUGGGGUUCGCAGCGUUAGCAAGAGGACGUCAAGGAGAUCACCAAAAAGUAUUUAUAGCCCCAUUUGGAGUUGGGAUUUAUUUUCCUCUUUUUUCUAAUUUCGGGAAUUAAUUUCAGAUUUGAAAACAAUUCUAGAAUAUCCUGAAAUCAUAAUUAAAUCAUGAAAAAUACUCGAAAGCUUUGAAAAAUUUAUGAAAAUUCUUGGAGAUGAUUUGGGACACGAGGAACCCAAAUAAAAUACUUGGUCCUCCUGGAAAGACUUGUAGAACUAUCCAAAAAUUGGAUUAAGCGCUAGAAAAAUGAGAAUAAAUUCUAGAAAAAUCUGGAAAAUUCUAGGAGGAACCUAAUCAUCGUCUAAACGUAUUUUUAAACUUUUUCACACUCAAGAAAUCAGAAAUGCAACCAGCAUGAAUGCAACAGACUUAAACCUAUGGUUCAUUAAGUUAAUUUUAGAAAAAAAAGAUUUUUAAUGCCUAAUAAAUUCACAGAGAAACAGAUUCUAGAGAAAUUCUAAUUAAUUUUUUUAUUAACUGCAAUAGAUGAAAAAUUAGGGUGUUACAGUUUUACAAACUACCAUGGAUUCGGAUAGUUCAGUAUCCCUGCCGGGAAUAAAACCGGCAUGGGUAGUCGAUCUCAUCCGUGUCGAGAUUGUUGUGGUGGGCCUAAAACUGUCACGGAUGAGGUUUCAGUACCAGCACGGAUGAGGUUCUCUCUAGUAGUGCGUGGGGCAGUCAGUGUAAGUGAUAACGACACGACUUUAAAUUUUUCAGAAUAAAGAGGAUUGCAAAAUAAUAAAAAAGGCAAAAUUUGAUGUUUUUUUAUAGUAACCCACGAACGUCCUCCCUGGCAUGUAUGACCUACCACAGCGUCCUUGGUUGUUAUCACGCUCCUCCAUGGCUCUGACCUAGAUGAUACAUCCAUUCUUCAUACUGUUAGUCGGCAUCGGUUAAUGAUCUGAUAUUCUUUACGCAGGCUUGAUUUGUUGGAACAUGUACACAUGCAGCUUUUCUCAUUGUAUGUAUUGCGGAUACCAACUCACCUACCAAGGACCACACCAACUUGUCUUAUUACAUCCCAAAUUUUAAAUGCCUAAGUCCCCAAUCCAACAUAAAUUGUCAAAUCCUGGGUGAGGGUGCGAAUCUUGCAAGAUGGCUGUAAUCAAGACAACCAUCUAGGGCCUUGAGAACUCAAUACCUAUUUUAAAUUUUCUGUGCAUUCCAAUAGAUGCCCUUAGAGAUUGACACCUGUUGAAAUGAAGUGACAACGAGGCAAGCUAGUGUGGUAGAAAGAAUUAUCCUAAGCCUUUGUAAGGAGAAAAAGAUAAAAAAUUCACGAGUUUCUCAGAUCAUUGGGAUCAUGUUUAUCGUCGAUACAACCAAUUUCGACACGUACCCUCAGAUCACUUCACUACUCGAUCAGAGUUCAUCACUGCUUACCCGUUCGAAGAUCCUGUUAUAUACCACUACAUAGAAAGUAUAAUGGGAAGCAAGUUGAACUAGACGAAGCUGCAAAAUAUGAAGCGCCGCAGCUUUCCCAUGGCAGCCCUUGCUGCCAUCAUCUUCUUCCUCUCUGUCGACGCAUCCUUCUCAGCGGGCAAAGCCGCCGUCAAGCACACCUUCGUUGUAAGCAUGAUUCUCUACUACUAUGGUUUUGAUGUACACAAUGAACGAUAUCAAUUUUGAACAAUUCAUCCACGGCGGUGUAUGUAUAUAUGUAGGUGAGCCAGGUGAAGAUGACACACUUGUGCAAGGAGACACUGGUCACCGUGGUGAAUGGGCAGCACCCAGGGCCAGCGAUAGAGGUCACGGAGAGGGAGACUCGGUGACUGUUCAUGUCGUCAACAAAUCACCCUACAACAUAACAAUCCACUGGUAAUCAGCUGAGUACCUACUCAAUACACAAUCACUUUUCUUCCCAAGGACACUAAAAAACCUAUUAAUGUACAUUCAAGCCGCAACGGUAAAGGUCGAAAUAAAAUAAUAAGAUGCUUUCCACUAAUUCAUGAAAAUAGAAUAUUUUAUUUUAUUUCAUCUUUUGCCAUCUUUUUCUUCUGUGUUGUCUGAUGUAGGCAUGGAGUGAAGCAGUGGCUUAACUGUUGGGCUGACGGGGUGCCGAUGAUUACCCAACUCCCUAUCCAGCCAAACCAAAAUUUCACCAACCGGUUCAACGUCAUCGGGCAGGAAGGCACCCAGUGGUGGCAUGCAUGCUCACGUCCCCUUCCUCCGGGCAUCACUACACGGCGCCCUCAUCAUCCGGCCAAGAAAUGGGGCGAGCUCAUAUCCAUUUCCAAAGCCAGACAGGGAGGUCCCGAUCAUAAUAGGUUCGUGAAUUAGUUGCAUCAUAUUCUCUAGCUGUGUUAGGAGAAUAGAAAGAAAUUGUACCUGUUUUUUAUUGCUCUUUGGAAAAUAGAAGAAUGGACUGUUCCUAUUUGAAUUGACCUGCCUUUGACUUCCGCAACGGACUAUUGGCAGCUAGACCUUGCACAGGCGGCAAGGAGGAUGAUGCAUGGUUUCUUGUUUUCUUUCGCCAAUGCUUCCACAAUCAAUGGCUAGCUUGGAGAUAUCUUCAAUUGCUCUGGUAAGAAAUUACAGCAUUGAUGUCCGUGUCAACGACAUAUUCCUUCUUUUCUGAAAAAAGUGUCUGCAUGAAGUCGAGUCUGAAGGUGUGCCGGAAGAUAGCUACCACUGGUGGAAAACUAGCCUUUAGUUCCGGUUGGUAGGGAGCAAAUCUCCCGAAAAUCCAUCCGGGAUAAAACAAUCAAGACAAAAGGGGAUCUUUAGUCCCGGGUCUUUUAACCGUGAGUAAAGCCCCUCUUUAGUCCCGGUUGGUAAAACCAACCAGGACUAAAGGGCCUGCCAUGCCAGGCGUAGGACAGGGCCCUUUAGUCCCGUUUAGCUCCGGUUGGGUUUUCCAACCGGGACUAAAGUCCUGCUUGAAAUUUCAGGCGCGCACCAUGUAGGUGCCUGCAUGGUCCUUGUAAUUUCAUGCAUCUCUACGUACCCCUUUACUUAACCUUUAGUAGUUGAGAUUUUUUUUAUAAUGAAAUCAAACUAGUAUUUAUACAAUUACUAUAUAUAUAAUUCUUAGUAUAUAUAUACAAUUCUAGCAUAGUAUACAAAUCUUAGCGUAUUAUACAAAUCAAACUAUCUACAAUCUUCCCAUCGAGGUGUUGCUCGGAGCGUCUAAAUUUCGUCCAUCGUAAUAAAAUUCUCCUUGUGGAUUUACCACCUCGUCCACCAUGAAUCCAAUGAGACCUUCACAUAUUGCCGCUACUCUUUACUUCUUCAAGAGUCCAUGUUAAAUAUUUAACAUUUAUAAUUUGGAAACAUGUGAAUUUUACACAAAUAAUUAAAUAUAAGGAGGUAGAAAAUAAUUAACUAUUUAUAGUUUUAUUUUAUGUACUUUAUUGUUGUGCGGCAACGUCUUUCCCUUCGGUCCCGCAAAACUAUGCAUGUGCUCAGAGACGUAGUAGCCACAUAGAUUAUUCCCAGGUUCCUAUCUUAUGCACUUGAGUGGGAAAAAAAUAAGUUAUGAAAUAUUCGUGUUAUAGAAUGUACAAAAUAUGCAGACUUCAUACAUACCGGGAAGUCUGUGUUCCAUGUAAGUUUUUCUUUGAAUGGACCUUUGUGUGUCCUGAUGAAUUGUCUCCAUGCGCUACGAAUUAAAAUAAUGAAUGAUAUAGUGUUAGGUGAAAAUUUAGGAAACAAAUUUUUACAUAGAGAUAAAGGUCUAGAAUUAUUACAAGCCCAGCAUGUCUUGCAUGUCUUGGUACUUCAUCGAAUCUUUCCUCAACGAAUCGAAGACAGUAACGUGGCUUAUUUCAAGGUCAAUUAUAAUAAGGAUCCAGUGGUAGCUGCGUACGUAAAUGUUCAUAUAUAUUAGAGCUAACUAACAUUAAUCAGGUAAGGAAAAAGAAAACGAAAGUAGACGGUAGACACACACUUACUUGAAGUUGUAUGGAAGUAGUAUGAAAUCCUUGAAUUUUUGUUUGUCUAGAAAAUUGUAUACUUUCACUAAGGUUUUGUCCGGCGCAUCCUGUACCUAUUUUUGGUUAACUAUGGAUGGAUCCAAGAAGCCAACAUGGAGGUAUGCUUCUUGUCGGCACGUCUGAAUUAGCAUCCUACAUAAAAUGGAAGAUGAAGUUAGUACGGUGACGCAUGCACAAAAAAUAAUGAUAUGAGCUAAAAUUUACAUCUAGAUAAAUGGACACUUAUAGAACCCAGGCGCUGAUCAGAGAGACGUCCAGGGCAUCAUGAUGGUACACUUCGUAUAUAUCCUUGAAUUCUAGCCACAGAACUUUCUCGCCUUCGCUAUAAAAACCUAUCAGUUUUACCUUCAGGCUGAACAUCUCCCUUGAGUUGGCGGACACCUUCUUAUACCAUUGAUGGAAUUCGUACAUCUUUGUUGAUAGCUUCAGUACCAACUCAGGCCUUACCAGAGACUUGCCUAGCUCAAAGGUCCAUCUCGGUUCAACUGGCAGUGCAGCUGGCAACUCUACUUGCCCUAGACAUUCAUUAAGUCCUAUACCUGUUUCUUCCAUGAAUUGCAAUACUUGUGCUUGUUGAUCCAAGGGCAUUGCUGCUAUCUUUUUAGCGUCUUUUUCUGGUAGAUGCCCGAGGUCGGGGACAACACCACUGGAAGAUGACUUUCCUUUUCUUUUUUUCCUCACAUCAGUCUUGACUAACGCCCGUUCGUAGUUCGAUAGUGGUGGUAUCCUCUUCUUGGCUCCUUCUUGAAUCCUGAUAAAAAAAUUUAAUUCUCUUCGAUUUACUCAUGGUGGCUCCAUCUCCCUUGCUUUUUUUUCUUCAGCCUGUUUCUUAAAACCACUCCCUAGCCUCUGCUUGGAUUUCAGCCCAGUGUUCCGCAUGAGUCAUUACCUCCUAGGGUUCCUCAUGAGUCACUUUAGGCUCCUUUGUUUUCUUCUUUUUGUGUCUUGGCUUGGGAGGCGGUGGUCGCGACUUCUUAAGUGGUGCUGCAGGUUCCUUGCUUGGGGCUACUCUUAGUCCUGGCGGCGGUGAUCGGGGAGGGGUGUUGUUGUCGUCAUCAUCACUCCCACCACCAUGAUGUGGUGGAGAUGGAGACCUUGAUCGAGCAGGAAGCGAUGGUCCUGGAGCAGGUUGUGCUGGAGAUGACGGUCUUGAACUUUCAGGAGAUGGUCACUGAUGGGGAUCUGCAGGGAGCGAUCUUGAGCUCUAAGGAGAUGGCUCCGUGCCAUGGAUGAUGAUGUAGUGUUUGCGCCAUAGAAUGAUCCCGUGAAGCGCAUCUCCUAGUGUCCUUUCCCCGUCGCCUCCCGGGAGGUCGAGCUUUGGGCCUUCAUAUUGGCUAUCAGCGAGCUGCUCUAGGCCGACUCUAGCAUAGCCAGGUGAAAUCUCCAUGCCAUGGCUGGUUUGCCCUACCAGGAUUAGUAAGGCAUUCCCGUAUGCCACCUGUACACAUAGCAGAAAUAAAGAAGUUAUUAAACUUUGAUCCUGAGGUGUGGAUCGUUUGAGAAGAUUGCAUAAAUAUUAUGUAUAAGUAUACCUUAAUGGUGAGGUUGCCGACUGGUGUAUGCAGCUCACAUGAGGUGCAUUGCAUGAUAGCAUCCACAGUGAACCGUUGCUAAUCCACAGGUAAUCUUGGUGUCUACGGAUCGGGGAGCCUUGUAGAAGCACAACUACUCCUGAGGUGUUGAGAAAGCGGAUCUGGCAACGCUCUAGAUUGGGCCAACCCCGCAACUGUGUGGGCCACUCGACGAUUGAUUUUCUCCUGCAUUUUUUACUUCUUGUGAAUGCACUUUGGAUUCUAGCAUGCGCCACCAGCUCUCAUCGAUCUGUUCCUUUCUUCGCUUUGUGGCUUCUAUACGAGGCGCUGUCACCUCGAAAAGCAAACUUCCACGAAACGACCCGAACCCUCGGCAACGUCCUGGUUGCUCGUGAUUCCCAAGGGCCAAUGUGACCUCAUCAUUUUCUUGAUAAGCCUUUCGACCUUCUGAUGUAUUGUCUCAUUGAAGUGUUUCUACAAAUUUGAAGUCUUCAAUGAAUCCCACAAAAUUUGAAGUGUUUCUACAAAUUUCUACUAAUUCCUACUAAAUUCUACCAAAUUUGAAGUGUUUAUACAAAUUUCUACUAAUUUCUAAGAAUUUCUACCAAAUUUGAAGUGUUUAUACAAAUUUCUACUAAUUUAUUGGAAUUUCUAGAAAAUUUCUACUAAUUCCUACUAAUUUUAAGAAUUUCUACCAAAUUUCUACUAAUUUUCGAAGCAUUUGUACUAAAUCAUAGUAAUGUAAUAAAAAUUAUAUUAAAUGUUACAAAAUUAGACUAAGCAUUUAUACUAAUAAGUGUUUAGCAUUUCUACAAAUUUCUUCUAAUUUUUGAAUCAUUUAUAAUAAAACAUAAUAAUUUCUAAAAGUUAUACAAAAUUAUAGUAAGCAUCUAAACUUAAUUAUACUAAUUUCCUAGUAAUCAUAGUAAUUUCUUACUGAGUUUCAACUAAUAAUAGUAAUUACCUAUAGAUUUUUUACUAAUCUACAGAUUUUUUACAAAUUUCUAUUGAUUUUGUAGCAAAAAAAAUGGGCUCUUGCGUGAGCAAGGGCCCCACCGUAUGUGCAGGAGCUAGGGCUGGUGGGGGUUAGGCGGUGGCGACGGGAGGAGGGGUCCGUAAGGCGGCCGUGGUGAUGAAGUGGCAAUGCUCGGGAUGAGGAGGCCGGGGUGGCGGCAGCGGGAAUAGAGGUGGCGGCAACGACGGGGAUAGAGGCAGCGACGAGGACAGAGGUAGCAACAAGGCGGCGCGACCGAGGCGGUGGCAACGAGGAGACGCGAUGAAGGAUGCGGUGGGCCGGUGUGACGGAGGAGGUGGCGGUCUAGGUGCGGGCGAGGUGGCUGGGGUGGCGAGUGACGGCUCUAGGGGUGAUGGGCAAUGAGGAGAACGGUGGCCGGCGAGGGAAGCGAACGGGCAGCGACGGAGCAGGUGGACGGGUGCGGAUCUUGGCAGGAGUGAAAAAAUUGCCAAAGAGUUGAAGGAUGAGUGGGCUAGAAGACGACUGUUACUUUUAUCACCCUGCCCUUUAUCCCAGUUCGUAAUUGAAUCCGGGACUGAAGGAGCCUUUUGUCCUAGGUCCAAAUAGCAACCGGGACAAAAGACCCCCCUAUCCCGGGUGCAAACCGUAACCAGGGUAAAAGGGUACGUUCCGGGCGAGAAUCGAAAAAUACCCUUUUAUCUGGGUUCCAGUUUGCAUCCGGGAUAAAAGGGGGUGCCUUUUGUCCUGGUUGCUAUUGGCACCCAGGACAAAAGGGCCUGUUUUUUGGAAAUGGAUUUUAUUUAUGUUUUUACUGGAUUUCAGGAUGCAAAAAAAUAAAACUUUACAUAUUUCAAAUAUGCAAAAAUAUAUUAAAUUAGAUAAGUUUGAAUGAGUCAUUAAUUCUAUACCAGUUCUUUUAGCUUCUAAAAUAAUUAUUUAUUGCAUCGCUAUCAUCAAGAAAUUAUUCAAUUAAAUAAUUUCAACGCGUGAAAAAUUGAAUCUAUGUAUGUGGUUAACAUUGUUCAUAUUGAUCUAAUAAAUCCUCACCUCAACUAAUUUAAACAUAGAUGAAAUCAUACAUAUGUUAAACUAAAAAUUGUAUCAAGUAGUACAUGACAUCAUAGAACUUUACAAUGUAACUUUACAUAAAGGUGAAGCAAAUUUGGUGCAUUACAAUGUAAAGUUAAAAAAAUUUCUUCUUCACAAAAGUUUCUUGAUCAUGAUCGCGGUGUAACUACGGAGCCUCUACUUCGGAUAGCAAGAUGUUUGGGUUAACUUCAACAAUGAAUGGAGGCAAGCCAUCAAACUGAUCACAAUCAUCUGAUUGGUCUGUUUCGUCCUUGACUCCCACGAUUUUUCUUUUACCUGGAAGAACUAUGUGGCGCUUUGGCUCCCAUGGCCCUUCUGGAUUUCUCUUGGGUUUGCUAGAUAUGUGCUUCACAUAGAAAACCUAAUGCACAUCAUUGGCAAGUACGAAUAGUUCAUCACUAUAUCCAGUCUUGCUCAGGUCCACUAUUAUCAUUCCGUACUGAUCUUUGUUUACACCAGUUAGCUUCACCCAUUUGCAACAAAAUAGAGGGAUGUACAGCGGUUCGUAUUCGAGUUGCCAUAUCUCCGCUAUGAAACCAUAAUAUGACUCCUUGCUACUGUUUCUGUCUAUGGCAUGUAUGCGAACACCACUAUUCUGGUUCGUGCUUUUCUGGUCUUGGGCUCUUGUGUAAAAUGUAUAACCACUUAUCUCGUAGCCUUAGAAUUUCACGAUUGUGCUAGCAGGUCCUCUGGCUAACCAAGUGAGCUGUGGGUGAAUUUCGAAGUUACCCAUAAGUUGUUGGUGCAACCAGGAAGGAAAAGUGUCCAUGUGAUGACGUGUAAGCCAGGCAUCAGAUUUUGUCGGAUUUUUGGAAACUAGGAUCUGCCUAUGUUGCUCGAUAUACGGAGCCACAAAGGAUGACUGCUGCAGAAAAUUGCAGUGUGCCUUGUCGAACAAAUCAGUAUCAUUGCUCAACUUGAUUUCCUUCCAAGGGUGCCUAUUGCUCGUAGCCUCCCCUUGUGGCGUGAAGUUGGAACCCCAAUCGAGUCAAUUGAGUCAAUAAAAUCAACACAAAACUCGAUCACCUUCUCUGUUCCAUAUCCCUUGGCAAUGCUUCCUUCUGGACGGGCACGAUUAAGAACAUAGCUUUUUAGGACUGACAUGAACCUCUCGAAAGGCCACAUAUUGUGCAGGUAUAAUGGUCCGAGAAUACCAAUCUCUUUUACUAGGUGAACCAGGAGGUGCGUCAUAAUAUUGAAGAAGGAUGGUGGAAAUACCAACUCAAAGCUGACAAGACAUCACACCACAUCAUUCUGUAGCUUUGCUAGUUUGGAUGGAUUGAUUGCCUUCUACGAAAUCGCAUUGACAAAUGCGCAUAGCUUUACGAGCGGCAAUCGGACAUUCUCUGGUAGAAAACCCCUCAGUGCAACAGGAAGCAACUGGGUCAUCAACAUGUGACAGUCAUGGGCCUUGAGAUUUGUGAACUUUUUUCUUUCAUAUUUAUUAUUCCCUUUAUAUUCGAGGAGUACCAAAUGACACCUUCAUACUACUCAAGCAUUCAAACAUGCUAUCCUUCUCUUCCUUGCUAAGAGUGUCACUGGCAGGACGUAAGUAGUGUUGUCCGUUAUCUCUCUUUUCCGGAUGUAGGUCAUCUCGUUGCCCCAUGGUUUUCAGGUCUUAUCAUGCUUCCAAUGUAUCUUUUGAGGUCCCAUAAAAACCCAUGAAGCCUAGCACAUUCACGCAAAGAUUCUUUGUCAGGUGCAUCACGUCUAUUGCAUUGCGGACCUCUAGGAUUUCCCAAUAAGGUAGCUCCCAAAAUAUUGACUUCUUCCACAUGGGUACACAUCCGUUAUUGUCGUUCGGAACAGGUUGGCUACCAAGCCCCUUUCCAAAGACUACCAUUACAUCCUUUAUCAUCUAAAAGACACGCUUUCUAUUAUGGUGUGCAGGUUUUUUACGAUUGUCUGGCGCGCCUUUGAAAUGCAUCCCGCUCUUUCUCACCUGGGGUGGGUAGGGAGAAAUCGACGAUGACCCAUAUAGAUGACCUUCUUAUAGUGCUUCAAAUAUAUGCUGUCUGUGUCAUCUAAACAGUGGGUGCAGGCCCGAUAUCCCUUGUUUGUCUAUCCCGAAAGACUACUCAGUGCAGGCCAAACAUUGAUAGUCACAAACAACAAUGCUCCUAGGUUAAAAAUCUCUUGUUUAUCAUCAUCCCACACACAUAUACCUUCUUCCUUCUAGAGCUGUAAAAGUUCAUCAAUCAACGGUCUUAGGUACACGUCAAUGUUGUUGCCGGGUUAUUUUGGGCCUUGGAUAUACGCCGGCAUCAUAAUGAACUUCCGCUUCGUGCACAGCCAAGGAGGACGGUUGAACAUACACAGGGUCACAGGCCAAGUACUAUGACUACUACUCAACUCAUAGAAUUGAUUGAAUCCAUCAGUACUUAAACCAAACCUUAUGUUUCCUGCAUCACUUUCAAAGUUCAGGAAUGCUCUAUCAAUUAAUCUCUACUGAGCCCCAUCAACAGUGUGUCUUAGCAUCUCAUCUUCCUUACAUUCUUCUUUGUGUCAUCGCAUCAAUUUAGCAUUUGCCUUGUUCCUGAACAAGCACUUCAAGCUUGGUAUUAUAGGAAAGUACCACAUCACCUUCGCGGAAACUCUCUUCUUGGGAGCCUGCCCCAUGACAUCACCAGGAUCAUCUCACCUGAUCUUAUACUGUAGCGCUUCGCACAUGGGACAAGCAUCAAGUUUCUCGUAUUCAGCACCACGAUAGAGGAUACAGUCAUUAGGGCAUGCAUGUAUCUUCUGAACCUCCAAUCCUAGAGGGAAAAUAAUAUGUUUAGCUUCAUAUGUUGUGGAUGGAAAUUCAUUAUUCUCGGGAAGAAUCUUCUUGACAAUUUUCAACAUCCCCUGAAAUUCUUUAUCGAACACACCAUUUUUGGCCUUCCAUUGCAUAAAUUCUAGUAUAGUAACCAGAUAUUUAUGGCCCUGCUAGCAAUCUGGGUAUAACAAUGUUUGGUAAUCAUCUAUCAUGUGCUACAACUUUGCUGCUUCCUUCUCAGUUUUGCAGUCUCUAUGUGAAUCCCGUGGCACCUGACCAAGGUCAUCAGUAGGGCCAUCUUCUGCAAACUCAUAUUCAUCAACCUCGCCCAUUGUAGUAUCUGCAAAAUCUUGGCCUGCAGCCUAGUCUGGAAUGUUGUCAUCAUCCUCCUCCUCUUCGCCAUCUUCCAUUACAACCCCUCUUUCGCCAUGCUUAGUCCAAACAAAUAGUUAGCCAUGAAACCAUAUCCAAACAAGUGGCUGUGAAUAGUCCCCCAGAAAGCUUGUGAAUAGUCCUUGUUACUGCAUUGGAAGUAUGGACAACAUAUGUACCCGUUCUCUGGCUUGUUCGCUUUGGCGACUUCGAGAAAAUAAUGCAAGCCAUCAAUAAACACCUUGCUUCAUUUGUCCGCAUUAUACAUCCAUUGCCGGUCCAUCUACAUCGUAUUACGCACGAAAAUAGAUUACACAUGAAAAUGGAUUACUCAUGAAAAUGGAUUACACAUUUUUUUCCUUUUUUUAUUUUUGUUGUACACAAUUAAUUUUAAUAUGAUUUUUAGCAAGCAGGUCUUUAACAUCUUGCCAACGUUAUAAAUGUUAGGUUAUAUGGUAGUUGUUUUUUUACCAAUUCAAAUAUAUUGUUUCUUCAUCCUUUAAUGAUUACAAAUAUUAGGUUCUCUUGUUGCGAAUAAGUGUGACAAUUCCAUUUCGCAUCAAAAUUCAUCUUUACGUGCCUAUUGAUGGUUAUUUGAUACGCUUUAUGACUUAUAUACAUGCUAUUCACGAUUGAAAGCAUGCCAAACUUUGUAGUGCAAAUGAUGCUGAAAGUUUAGAUAUAGAUAGAAAUACACAUAUUUAAAUUUCAGAUCCAAACAACAUGAUACACUACAACAAACCAUCCACUAAAAAUUAUCUAGGAGGACUUUAAGCAUGCUUGGGCAAUGAAAACGAAGGUUUCGCUGACCCAGCCUCAUCCUGUGGUUUAUUUGUGCCUCCUGCAAAAGUAGUACUAAGUGGACGUGAAACAUCGCGACUGGCAGUGGAGCAUAACGACCACCAAAAAGAGGUUUCUAACCCGCCGCAACAGCAUUUUCAUGACAUCUUUGAAAAUAACGAGGCAUUGCUUCCUCCCAUGUGCUCAUUUUUUUCGGCUUACCAUAAGGGCCAACUAUAGUUUUCCCCUUGCCACGAGAGGAACGACGAUCGACCCACCAUCGCCACUACCUCCAGCAGCAGAAGUCAUCUCUAUGUAAAAAAAUUCAUAUCUUAGCACUGUAGAACUUGUUAAACUUGAAGACCGUGAUCAUCUCGAUGAGCAUUUCUCCACCGGGCGGCACCGUACUUCGCAAUGGAAGAGCUCUGAUUCUAUGAGGAAGGGGACAUGAUCUUCCAUGAUGUCCAUUGCUUCUCUUCCUUGUAGAAUCGAAGCUCCUCCUUGACGUCCAUUGCCACUCGGUGGAGAACAUGCUCACCGAGAUGAACAUGGUAUGCAUGUUCAACAAGUAUGGAUUUGAAAAACCAUAUUGAAUUUGACAAGUUAAACCGUCUAGACAAGGGUAGCAUCAUUCUUAAACCGAUGCAAGAAUACAUACUAUAUAUGACACAUAUGACAUACUAAUUUUUUUCUCAUAAUUAAUAUUGAAAUCCUCUCCUUUCUACCUCACAUUUACUCUCCAUUCUAGCUCAAAAUCCUCACCAUUUUCUACUUCACAUUCUAGCAAAUAAACUAUCCAUCUCCAUUCUGCACAACAAGUUGUUUUAAGUAAUAUGAAUCAUAUAUAACAAGAAAACUAUCCACCAUAUUCUAGCUCAAAAAUAUGUAUAAAUACAAAUCCUCUUCAUUCUCCCUCUUUCUAACAAAUAAACUCAUUUUUCUUCCUCUCUAAAGCAUAAAACAAAGCAUAACAAGAGAAUGAAGUAGCUAACCUUCAGAACACUUUGGAUGAGUGAAAUCCCCAUGGAAAUGACAAAAAAAAUUUGGGAAGCACCUCCCCUAGGCUUGCUUCGGCGCCAUAGAGAGUAGGUGAAGCUCUCUAUCUUUGUGGAGUGGACUGGCUCGGGCUGGAGGAGGAAGAAAGGCCUCUGUCUCGGGAUUUAAUGGAGGAUGAGUUUUUAUCCCGGUUUGAAAUUCCAACCCAGAUAAAAAGGAAACCCUUUUGUCCCGACUGAAGUUUACUCCCAGUUGGAAACACCAACCGGGACAAAAGCGCAACCAUUCCAGCCAGGAGUAAACUUUUUAUCCUAGUUGGUAACUCCAACCGAGACAAAAGGGUUGCAUUUUUAUCCCGGUUGGUGUUUCCAACCGGGACAAAAGGGUGCCGCCGUCGGUGCUAGGAUACUAACCGUUACAACCGGGACUAAAGGGGGGCCUUUAGUCCCGGUUGUAUAUACCAACAAAGAGUAAAGCUCCGCCCCAUUCCAGUUUUCAGCCUACCGUGGUGCACCCCCUUUUAUACCGGGCCAACUAUAAACCGGGACAAAAGGGGCUGCAUGGAAGGUGAGUUCUCUAAUAGUGUACGUAUUGGACAUUGUGCCUGGCAAGACCUACCUGAUACGAAUAAUUAACGCCGGGCUAUCCUCCGAGUUCUACCUAAAGAUAGCUGGGCACAAAUUCACUGUGGUUGGUGCCGAUGUCAACUACGUCAGCCCAUACACCAUGGAUGUGAUCGCCAUGGCGCCCGGUGAGACAGUGGAUCCCUUGGUUGUUGCUGAUGCGCUCCCUGGAAGGUACUAUAUGGUUGCCCUGCCCAAUCAGGCACCAUUGCGGGACACCCAGACCCCGGAAUACACAAUUAGAGGGAUCAUGCAAUACAGCAACAGUCACAGCUCUGCCGAUGAUCCAGCAGGACUGAUGUCAGAUCAUGUUGUGGAAGAGGAAGAAGAAGAUAAAGGUUCAUCCGGUGAUGUGCCAGUAGCACCUGAGAUGCCUGAUAUACAUGACACAAUUGCAUCUUACUACUUCCACAGCAACCUGACCAAGCUGCACCAAACGGAGGUCCCUCAGCGAGUUGAUGAACGUUUGUUCAUCGUGCUCAGCCUGGGUUCAAUAUGUCAGAAUGGCCAGUGCUGCAGCAGUUCUACAGGGCGAUUUCAACCCGAUGCAUCUACAUGGUCACAACAUGAUCCUUCUUGCACAGGGGUUUGGUAACUUCGACGCCGCGAAAGAUGUUGCAAAAUACAACUUGGUGAAUCCACCGGUGAAGAACACCAUUCUUGUCCCAAAUCAUGGGUGGGCUGCCAUCCGAUUUGUUGCGAACAAUCCAGGUGUGUGUAAGAUUUAUUUGCGUUAGUUGGGUUUCAAAGUCGACGCUGUCAGAUCUAAUGCUUGUCUUAUAUGAUUUAAGGGGUAUGGUUCAUGCAUUGCCACUAUGAAUUCCAUUUGACUAUGGACAUGGCGGAAGUAUUCAUUGUAGAGGAUGGUCCGACAGUGGACACAUCUCUCCCUCCACCACCUGCUCAUUUUCCAACAUAUUGUGGUCAUGACGACAAUCUCCUUCUGGGUGAACUGUGCCUCCAAACUAAGAAGAUGCAUGAAAUCCCACGCAUAAAUGUAGUCUGAAUAAAUAUUACUGCAACCGCCGGUUAUCAAAUUAAAUAAUGGAUGGCCCACGCUAGUACCUAGAUUCAAGUAUGCAUAUUAAAACUACUGUAUCGUCUUCACUCUAUCAAUAAUGUGAGGCCAAUUAUAGGACAAUCCCCUUUUAUAUCCAUAUAUGCAUAUCUUUCUUUUUUCUAUAUUCGAUUUUACAUCCUAGUGAAUUGCAAAUUUUAUCUAUAAUUGCAUAUACUCUCUCCGUCCCAAAUUGCAGAUCGUUUUGGCAUUUCUAGCUAGAUUCAUAUCUUUUAUUAAUAGCUUUUAUAAAUACAUGUACUUACAAAUUAGACCCGUGUUCAAGUGGAAGUGACUAGAGGAAUAAUGAAUCAUGUCGAAAGUCCCCCAAACACGAUUAAAAAUGUUCAGUCACCCUUCUGACGUACAGUCCAAAGUUCAAAGCACGGGAGCUGCAAACAAUUAUUUCACCACCGUUUUACACUUAAGCCAUAUAUAUCCUUCGUACAAAGACCAGGCGGAUUACACAUAAAGAGGUCCAACUAGCUAGCUUCUCAACAUGCGACUAGUAAACCUGAAGCAAGAUCGAAAUAAUAAUCAAGAAGCCAAGCAGUUUCAAUGUCUAUUUUGUUUUGUCUACAUACAUGUAGAACGUGGUAAACUAAAACUUAUACUAUAAUCUUUUAAGAAAACACCGUUGACCUAAAAAGGAAGACAUCUAACAUUAUUUUAUAAAAAAUAAACUAGUGAACAAAGAUAUUGCAAUAAGAAAGACAUUACCAAUACAUUAGCUGGUGUCUUCUACGUAUUAAGUAAUAGAGUGCAACUAGUCGUACGUGAAGUAUUUCCCCGAUACAAAGUAUGUUUAAAAAUGAAAAUUCCGGCCUACUAUCUUUCUCUCUUCCCAUAGUUAUCUCUAUGAAUCCUAAAAUUGUAACCUUUUAAUUAGAAUACUAACUUCAUGUAUCAGUAUUGAAAUUGAUGGCACAUAUAAUAGAUAUUGAUAAGUUUUUAUUAACAAUAUAAGAUAUCGAUCACGUUUGGAUGCCCCCCCCCCCAUCCACCCACUUAGAAUUUCUAGUUCCACUACUGGUUGGGUGAUACCAUAUGAUCUUUCCUAAAAGGUUCUAGAAAGGUAGUUUACCUAGGGUAUAUGCACUUCUUAGUGGAAGGACACCAGUACCGAAGUAAGCAGUUCCAUAAUUUUUUUGGCAGCAUGCCCGAAAUUGAUUCUGCUCCAAAAUUUUUUCACCAGGGCAGUGUCUUCAAGCAAGGCACUAAAAAAAUAGGUUUAAGUACUAUUUCAUGGAAACACUUGCGGAGCAGCAGCAGUCUGGGCUAGUAUUGAUGAACCAGCCACAUCAGUGGGCCACCUAGUGAGCUAGUAUUGGAAAUGGGUUACAAUGUCAAUUCUGUUAUUUGGAUGUAGAUGAAAUUGCUACAUGGAAUCAAAUAAGAUGGCAAAUACCAAUUCAUAUUUGGAUGUUUAAAUGGUGAAAUUGAGAGAGAGAGAGAGAGAAGGGGAGCGACGGGCGGCGCAGGCACCCGCCACAGGCCACCUCUGAGCCGCACUACGCGUGGACGGCCAUUGGCUGCAACUCUGCCUAGCUUGCGUUGGUUGCAAGGAAGAUCGGAGGGGGCGCUGCCGCGUGGAAGAUGGGAGAGGGCGCCGGGCACGAUGAAGAAGGAAGGGGGCACCGCGCAUGCGGAAGAUGAGGAGGGGGACCAGGGCAGAGGGGCGGACACUUGCGCUUUUCACACUUGCGCGGACAACAUUCUAGCAGUUUGAAGAUAGAAAGUGCAUUAUGGAUGGCAACGGGUACAAAUUACCCACGUGCCCACAGGUAAAAACCCAUUAGGGUGAGGAUACGAGUACCAUUUAGUAACUACGGGCAUGGGUGCGGGUUUGAUUUUGUGCCCAUGGGUAAAAAAUUUGCGGGUAUGAAAAUACCUUACCCAUGCCCGCAAACCCGCGAACCCGCUUGAGAUGUGGGCCUGCUACACAUGUAUAUAAUAUAAGGAUUUUCUAGGGUUCCCUUAUCCCUUGUCCUCCCCCAGGCCCCAGAGGCCAAGUCCCCUACAGAGCCGCAAUCCUAGCCUCCCACAGACCGCAUGCCCGCAGCGGUGCAGCCUCCCUCCAUGGCUCCGUCCCUCGACUUCCGCCGCCAGUUCCCUCCGGCCACCGUCUGCCCUCCAGCCGCCAGCCAUCCCUUCCCUUCCCGCCGGCAGCCACCUCCCCGCCACCAUUUUUCCAUCCGCCCUCGCUGCCCCCACCACCACCGCUCUGCUCGGUGCCCGCCCACCUCCCCGCCGCCACUCGGUCAGCCGCCUGCCGCCCACUCUGGCAGCCGGCACCCGCCGCCAGCCAUCCCUUCCCACCUAGCGCCUAUAUUCCCAUCGCCGCCCCAGCCCCUAGGUCAGUCACUUUCCUCUCACUUUUUCUUCAUUCUCUAUUCAGUAGAAUGAUAGAUCCAGGAACUACACUUCUGCCUUGCCAUUGAUUAAUGAUAGAUCUAGUGAAAUGUCAUGUCUAGUUGGUGAUUUUGUGAUUGUCUAGAAUGAAUGAACUAUUUUGUGACUGAAUGAAUGAUUUGGUGAUUUUGUUGAGUGGUUGUAGUGUUCAGUAGAUAAAAUGAAUGAAUGAUUUUGUGUGAAGCAUGCAACUAUAGCUAGUUCAUAACAACUCCAUGGAUUAAAUGUAUGCAUCUACCAAUUUGAAUUGCUAUUUUCCCUAUAUACGGUCUUUAUCACAUGGUUUUGUUUGUAUUGUAUCACCAAGCAUAACAUGGUUUUGUUUGUAUUGUACCAUGACUAUAGAUUGGAUUGGUGAUGGAGACUCCUCACAGCAGUGUCCAACCUGUGCAGGUCUCGCAAGCUUCCAUCCCUAUUGACGAAGCUCUCCCUGCUAAUCAGGUUAUCAACAUUAAUGAUGGAGUUGAUGAUCACGAGGACGAAGACGGGACUGCUGGUAUAACUUAUUUACAGGGUUCACAUAGGAAGCUCACAUCUACUGUAUGGAAGGAAUUCACACGAGUUUGUGAUGAUGAUGGAGUUUGGAAGGCAAAGUGUGACCACUGUGGCAAGAAGCUUUCAGCUACAACAAGAAAUGGUACUAACCAUCUACGUACUCAUCUGAAAAUCUAUAUCUAUAUGAAGAAGCCUGGUGAGAAAGUGCAAGCAAAUUUGAGGUUUGCAUCCACUAACAAAGGUGCAGUAGCUGUUGAAAAUUAUAUGUUUGAUCAAGAUGUAGCUAGGAAAGCACUUUACACAAUGAUUACACUGCAUGAGUACCCUCUGUCCAUUGUGGAUCAUCUUGGUUUUCAUCAAUUUGUUAGUGCUUUGCAACCCUUGUUCAAGAUAAGAACUAGAAGCACUAUUAGGAAGGGCAUCCUGAAUUGCUAUGAUGUGGAGAAAAGAAAAGCUAGGAUGUUUCUUCAGAAGCUCAGUUGUCAUGUAGCCAUUACAACUGACCUAUGGACUGCUGAUAAUCAGAAAAGAGGACAUAUGGCUGUCACUGGACAUUUUAUUGAUGACUCAUGGACCCUUAGAAGCUGCAUUUUGAGGUGAUUUCUUAUUGUCCUACUUCAAUUACUUGCUGUCCUAUUUGUGUUUUACUUCAAUUACUUGCAAGUCUUAUUUGUGUUUUACUUCAAUUACUUGCUAUCCAACUUAUUUUAAUUGUCUUUUCUAGGUUUGUAUAUGUGCCAUGCCCCAUAUUGCUGAAGUUAUUUGUGAUGCACUACUUAAAUGCCUCCAGAGUUGGGAUCUUGAUUGCAGGGUGUCCACUAUGACACUUGACAAUUGCAGUGUCAAUGACAGCAUGAUUGGUCUAAUGGAAUCAAGGCUUGGGGAGGAUAAUAUGUUGCUGGGUGGAAAGCACUUGCAUACCCGUUGCUAUGCACAAAUAUUGAACCUUAUUGUACAAGAUGGAUUGGAAGUGAUCAAGAAAUCUAUUGCAAGAAUCAGAGAGAGCAUUGCUUAUUGGAUUGCUACACCAAAGAGGUAUGAAAAAUUUGUGAAAGUAGCUCAACAAUAGAAGGUUGAAUUGAAGAAAAAACUGUGUCUUGAUUGCAAAACUAGGUGGAAUUCAACUUUUGUCAUGCUUAGCACUGCUAUACCUUAUAGGAAGGUUUUUGAUCAUUUGGACACUCUUGACCAACACUUUGUUUUCCAACCAAAUUAUGAUUGGAAAUUUGCAGCUAUUGUUUGUGAGAAAUUAGAAUUGUUCUAUCAGCUCACUGAAUUGUUUUCUGGAACAAAGUAUGUGACAGCUAAUAUCUUCUUUCCUAAAGUAUGUGAGAUCAAACUUAAAAUUAACUCUUGGAAAGAAGAUGAAAAUGAGAUCAUUAGAAACAUGUCCACUGCAAUGAUAGAGAAGUAUGAUAAGUAUUGGUAUGAUAUCCAAGGUCUCAUGGCUAUUGCUGUUAUUCUUGAUCCACGCCUUAAGAUGAUCAUGCUGCAAGCUUGCUAUAUGGCUCUUUUGGGUCAAGAAGAAGUUGAUAGAUUUUUUCAAAAGAGCUAUGAAUUGCUAACUCAAUUGAUGGAUGAGUACCAAGUGCAAGUUGAUCAAGAGGUUGUGGGUGCAUCAUCUUAUGGGGCUUCAAACUCUACUGUUAGUGCUGCUGCUGUUCUGUCCAUAUUCAAAACACUUGCUACCACUAAGAAGACCUCAAGUCUUGUUAAAGCAAAGAGUGAGUUAGAUCGGUACUUGGAUGAAGAUCCUCUUCCUCAUGAUGAGAAUGAGUAUUUUGAUGUCUUGGGUUGGUGGAAGGUGGCUGGAACUCACUUCCCUACUUUGAGGUUGAUUGCUCAUGAUAUUUUGGCAAUUCCCAUAACCACAGUAGUUUCUGAAUCCGCUUUUAGCACUAGUGGAGGGUUCUAAGUGAGCAUCACAGCCGUCUUACUCCACAAAUGUUGGAAGCUUUGAUGUGCAACCAAAGUUGGUUUGGUCACAAUCUUAAAGGUAAAGAAUUAUGCUUUUGAUUCCUACAGCUUGUCAAUGUUGUCAUCUCAUUCUAAUGAUCUUAUGGCAGUAGCUUACUAAUGUCGUCUUCUUAUUCCAAUGUGCAUUUGUAGGUCAAGAUGAUGGAAAGAUUGACACCUUUUGGUUCUACCUUGAAGACAUUGAAGAAGAAAUGAAGGAAGAACCUUGCAUCUCUAUCGUCGACUCUGAUUAAGCUUGAUGUUCAUUUGUAUCUGUUAUGUGAACAAUAUUUGUGUGAUUUGAGCCAUGUGUCUGUUGUUCUAGACUUGUCACUUAUGCUUGUUGAGCCAUAUUUAUUUGGCUUGUACUCUUAGUUGUGAACUUAAUAUGUGAACUUGUGCUGUUGUAUUGUGCAUUGGAUCUAUCUUCUGUGAUCUGGCUGGCGGGUAUGGGUGUGCCCGCGGGUGACAGGCGCGGGUUCAAGUUCGUACCCGUGAUGGGUCGCGAGCGCGGGUGCGGACACAGGGUUUGCCUCACGGGUGCGGGUUUGUAAACCCUCUGCCCGUGGGUAAUGUGCCCGUUGCCAUCUAUAAAGUGCAUUCUGCAGGAUAACAUGCUAGCCCGUUAAAAAUAAGUUCUACUCCCUCCGUCCCGCAAAGAGUGUUAGUUUAGAAAAUUUCAGAUACAUUAGUAGUGAUGAGAAAUAUUUAUGUUGCCCCUAAUAACUAAUGUUAAUUGUGAUUGAAAAUCGUACUGCCUGUUUAGUUUUAUGAAUCCUGAGUAAACUCGCGUGCAUUAAACCAGAGAAAUAACAUCAAUUGAUCAUUUGAUUGGCUCUACGCGCUUCCCCAUAUGUUUUUCUUUAUUGGUGUGAGUGUUGCUUAACUAGAUGAUGUUUACUAGGAGGUAAAAGGACACUCUUUGUGGAAUAAAUUUUGGAGUCUAAAUGGACACGGGACGGAUGGAGUAUGUAUCUACAGUACAUACAGAUCUCACAUGUCAAUACUAGCAAAAAGUUGUUGCCUCGAGUUGACCACUAUUAUUCGGUUCACACAUCUCAAGAACCGAUCACAUCUUUCAUUAAGUAAAGUCCACGGUGAUGCUCAUGCCUGCAGCUCUUGUUCAAACAAAUACCUAUGCCUAAACAAACAUCAUGUGGUAGCAGUAAAAGUCUAAUGGAGACUUUUUUUAAAUAAAGUCUAAUCAGAUCAUAUCAGAUACGAAAAUAAAAUCAGAUGUUGAUGUUGAUGGAUUUACUUCUCAAUGACAGUUGGAUGGGAGAAGAAAAGUUUAGUCCAAAAACUAAUGGUCGGAAAGCAUAAGGUACAAGGUGGGCUAGCCCUCACCCAACAAUACAAUCUCGUGGGUUGAGUUAGGCUAAUAUUAUUGUUGCUUGUGUACUCGGGUGGACCUAAUCCUCGUAUGGAGAGCUGGAGUUGAUUUGUUGUGUACUCUAAGGGCCCAGUUGGCACGUGGCUUUUCUCGGCUUGGGCUUCAACUGUUGUAGCAUUGGAAUGUUACUGCAGCACAUAGCUAUUUCUCUCCCUCGCAAUAAAAUAAAUUGGGAGCCGAUGAAGUCUGGUUUCUUUGUUUUCACCGGCUCCGUCUCCUCAUGCCAUUGUAGCAUCAAAAGAAGCCCUCCUAAACGUACGCCCUAACAGUUGUGUUAGUGGAACGGCAUCCAGCAAUGCACGAAUGCAGCACUUCUGCCAAAAACAUGAGCCUGCUGUCUGUCAGAUACACAUGUACACACCCAAAUAACCUAAUCGCUGAUAAUCUUUAGCAACAAGGGGUCAAACAAGGAAUUUAGUUACUUGUACACUUCUUCCAACGAACUUCAAUGUAGCCGUAAUUAAUUCGAUCGUAUUGGAAGUCAUAAACACAUAAUUAGCACUAUGCACUUAAGAUUAUGUUGUUUCUUUGACUUGGAACAAGUAGCUAGUGAACACUUGCGCGGACAACAUGCUAGCAUGCAGUUUGAAGACAGGAAGUGCAUUCUGCAGGACAGCAUGCUAGCCCGUUAAAAAUAUGUUCUACUCCUACAGUACAUACAGAUCUCACAUGUCAAUACUAGCAAAGUCGUUGCAUUGAGGGCAGUCCCAAUGGGACAUUGAUGAUAGUUUCUAUCCCUCUUAAUUAUCAUGUCAACUAAGCAAUUUGCUGAUGUGGCAGUAGAUUUAUUAUGGAGAGAGAGAAACCAUUUCUUAGAGAGGAAACCAAGUCCUCACGCGCACCAAUGAGCUAAGAAACCAGCGAUUCUGCAUUGGGGACCCAAGUAGUUUCUUCUUAAUUACUGCAGGAUCCUUUGCGCUUGCACCGCUGCUACCCAUCACUCGAGCUCCUUUACAUGAUGCACAGAGGAUCUGGUACUAGAAGGGAGAAUGAUUGGUUGGAUUUUUAUUUAGACUCUAGAUAAAAAAGUUGCAUUGUGAAGGAUGAUUUCUUGAUACAAUAUCCUAGACUAUGGAAACUAGGUUGGUUUCUCCCAUUGGACUGCCCUAACUUGAUCACUAUUAUUCAGUUCACACUUCUCAAGAACCGAUCACAUCUUUCAUUAAGUAAAGUCCACGGGCCACGGCGAUGCUCAUGCCUGCAGCUCUUGUUCAAACAAAUACCUAUGCCUAAACAAACAUCAUGUGGUAGCAGUAAAAGUUUAAUGGAGACUUUUUUUUUGAAAUAAGUCCUAAUCAGAUCAUAUCAGAUACGAAAAUAGAAUAUACCACGAGGCAAUCGAGGUAACAAAAAGAAGGAGAAAGUUGGUGAGAUACAACGAGAGGAUUACAGGUUGGUAGGCUGACACCCAAUUAAUGGUGCGUUCUUGGAAAAACGCAUCCACUGUCAGGCUACUUACUCUAGCGGUAGCAGUACCCUUAGUUGCGUGUUAGCUGUUAGCUCAAAGUUGAUGUGAAUCCUAUGUAUAAGAUAGCUUAGGAUCUGUUUGGAUACACACUCAUAAUCUUUAGGACUUCACUUUUAGUCCACUUUUAGGACUUGUGCAUUCAAACAUAUGUCAUAAAAGUGCAUUCAUAAUAUUUAGGGUCUGUUUGGAUACACCCUCAUAAACUUUAGGACACUCAUAAAGUUUAGGAGCUAGAAAUUGGUAGUCCUAGAAUUUAUGAGUGGGCUGUUUGGAUGGAAUCAUAAUCUUUAGGAUGUUGGAGGGGAAAUGACUUUUGUACCCCUAAUUACUCCACCCCUGCUCUGUUUCUAGCGCCGUGGAGAGAGAAGGGGAGGGGCAACAGGGGUAAAGGAUGGGUUGGGGACCACUUUUAGGAGAGAAAUGACCCAUUAUGAUGGUUUGGUCCUCCUAAUGAAAACAACACUCCUAAACAUUAUGAAUGCACUUUUAUGACAUAUGUUUGGAUGCACAAGUCCUAAAAGUGGACUAAAAGUGAAGUCCCUCACUACCCACGCUUUUGUANNNNNNNNNNNNNNNNNNNNNNNNNNNNNNNNNNNNNNNNNNNNNNNNNNNNNNNNNNNNNNNNNNNNNNNNNNNNNNNNNNNNNNNNNNNNNNNNNNNNNNNNNNNNNNNNNNNNNNNNNNNNNNNNNNNNNNNNNNNNNNNNNNNNNNNNNNNNNNNNNNNNNNNNNNNNNNNNNNNNNNNNNNNNNNNNNNNNNNNNNNNNNNNNNNNNNNNNNNNNNNNNNNNNNNNNNNNNNNNNNNNNNNNNNNNNNNNNNNNNNNNNNNNNNNNNNNNNNNNNNNNNNNNNNNNNNNNNNNNNNNNNNNNNNNNNNNNNNNNNNNNNNNNNNNNNNNNNNNNNNNNNNNNNNNNNNNNNNNNNNNNNNNNNNNNNNNNNNNNNNNNNNNNNNNNNNNNNNNNNNNNNNNNNNNNNNNNNNNNNNNNNNNNNNNNNNNNNNNNNNNNNNNNNNNNNNNNNNNNNNNNNNNNNNNNUGAUGUACUGAUCGACUAUGAUAUUAGUGAUCGUCCUAACUAAUCAAAGUACUGCGUACUGAGAGACUGAUCCACUCGUAGCGUGUCGGUGGACGUUGAUUUCGAAGCCUUCCAUUGCCUCAACGCGCUCCACCGGCUUAUUCUAUAGACUGUCGUAUGGGCAAGAGCACUCGAUGGUUGACUUGACUCUCUCCAUCAUGCAUGUAUAUAUCAGAUCAAUCUAAACAGCCCACUCAUAAAUUUUAGGACUACCAAUUUCUAGCUCCUAAACUUUAUGAGUGUCCUAAAGUUUAUGAGGGUGUAUCCAAACAGGCCCUUAGAAGGUUGUGCUGUGAAAGAAAAUUACAUCAAAAACUGAGCGAGACUAGCUCUUCACUCCACGCUUGUCUCGUACAUUUUGCACUGUUCAGCUACCUCUGAACUGAAUCAUUGGAGACGCUCCUACGAUGAUACAGGCAGUAUGUUCGUUUGUGAGCUUCCUUGGUCAUGUUGUUCAAUUCUGCUGGGUGUCCACCGUGUGUUGAUUGAUCACUUUCAUGUGUGAAGUGACUCGAACAAAAAAUCGAUCACUUGCACUUUGUGUUGAUCGAUCACUUUCCGAUGUUUCGCCGGACUAGAAGGCCAGCCCCUCCGCAGGCCAGGCGCAAUGCAAGGGAGAGGAAUUCCUUCAUCUGCUCUCCGUGGACUGAACCAUAAAUUAAUUAGCAAAGGAACAUUUUACUAUAAUACCCUUGCUUAACGUAAUUACUGUGGAGGGAACCUGAGGUUUUCCUUCCAAGCACAGUAAGUAGGCUAAUUAUCAUACAUUUUCCCAGCACAAUUUCACAGUAUUUCGCACAUGCAUGUGUAGUUUUGUAGGAGUUGGCCCCAGGCCUUGCGUGUAGCAUCCUUUUGGCAUCCCUCAACCUUAAUAAGACACCGUUUGCUGGUGGCAAGGCAGCUCUUUUUCAAUUCAUAAUCUUGUUGUCUAAAUUUUUUUACAACUGUUUGGGCAUCUAUACAAUUUAAGUAAAUAAAUCAACUGGAAACUUGUACAUCUCAUAAAAAGAUCGUCUCUAUGGGGCUCCUUUCCAAGAAAGUCAUGAAUUUUUUAAACAAACCGACAUUCAAAUGUGCCAGUCUGUAAAGCUAUUGAUAAAAUAAAGUAUUAAAUUGAGUUUUAAUAUUAGAUAACAUGACUAAUCAGUAUUUGGCCAUUAUCAAUGCUCAGUUAGCUAAAAUAUUUGGCCUACCAAUCAGAUAAGGUUAGACAUUGGAGGUUGGAAAACAUUCGUCCAGCAGAGAACUGAACGAUAUUUAAUACAGUUUUGGACAGAAUGUUUUUUCUGAAAUUUUGUAAAAGUUCCGAACUGGACUAAAAUUUGACAUAACAUUUUGUUCGACCAGACGAGAACAUGUAUGUUCAAUGUGCACUAGGGUCCACUGAGUUAAAGCUUGGCCCCUAGCUGAGCGUAGGGUGGUACCGUGAGAACCUCAAGGGACAUAAGCAUCUAAUCUAAGAGUUUUUAAGCAUUGAACAUAUGUCUUUUUUUUAGAAACCAUAGGAGAUCAUAUGGUUAUUUCCAUGUGGUUUAAUCGGUGAUCAACUGCAGUCCCUAGAGACCUAGAGAUGACAUUAGCUUCGACCGUUAUAUAUAUAUAUAUAUAUAUAUAUAUAUAUAUAUAUAUAUAUAUAUAUAUAUAUAUAUAUAUAUAUAUAUAUAUAUAAAGGGUAAAGGAAAAAGAAGAGGUUGUUAUAAGUGAAGAAGAUCAAUGGGAGAUCAAUAAUAAAAUUUUAUUAGAAAGUUAUGAAGAAGAGGAUGAAGAUAUGCCCCACAUAUAUAUAUAUAUAUAUAUGGACUUCUUUUUGAGGAGUCUUUUAGAAGUUUUUCAGAAAAUUGGAUACGAUUCUCCUAGAAAACAGAAUUCCAAAACACGUUUUACACGUAUAUAUCAUGACGGCAUGCAAUUUAUAUCCAUUUUUUGAGGUUCAAGACAGCAAGUGCUAAGCGACGUAGUUGGCUUUCUCCUCCUGCAUGGCCUCCGCGAGUUUGGACCACUUUGUGCGGACGGUGACCACCAGCAAUGAGCAGGCCUGGCAUGUCAGCCCACAUAUCAGCCCCACCCACAAACCCUGCAGAAAAAAGAAUAUACAACAACAAUACAGCAAUUAAGCUGGAAAUUUGGACAGUUUCGGACAAUACAGCAAUUCAUCCAGCAGAAAACUUAUCGAUUUAAUACAGUUUUGGACAGAAAUCAUUUUUGCUGAAAUUUGGUAAAAAUUCCAAACUACACAAAAAUUGACACAACAUGUUGUUCGACCAGACGAGAACAUGUAUGUUCAAUGUGCACUAGGGUCCACUGAGUUAAAGCUUUGCCCGUAGCUGAGUACAGGGUGGUACCGUAAGACCAGUCUAAGUGCACAGUUUCAUUGUCCAGUUAUCAAGAUAGAGAACGAGGUAACUGUGUCAGCUGAGUGUUAUGGAGAUGAAACUCCUCUCUCAUCUGAUGAAACUUCUCCUCUUAAUUACCUUGGCAAGUUAGCAAUUUUGCUGAUGUGUCAUUAAAUCUAAUACCAUGAAACUCCUAUGAAACCCUCCAUUAAGACUGGUCUAAGAACCUCGAGGAACAUAAGCAUUUAAGAGUUUUUAAGCCUUGGACAUACUUUGUUUUGUUAGAAACCAUAGGAGAGGUCUGAUGGUUCUAGCCACGUGGUUUAAUCGGUGAUCAACUGCAGUCACCGGAGAUGACAUUAGCUCCUUUUUGAGGUGGAUGGUCAGAAGCUUCUUUUUGAGGAGUCUUUUAGAAUUUUUUUCAGAAGACGGGUUACUGUCACACCUGGUUUUAAAAUAAAACCAACUACUACCUAUAUGUCACACCUGGUUUUAAAAUAAAACCAACUACUACCUAUAUGUAUUUCAGAAUCUAGUUUCAUACAUAUAGUGACAUCAUAAGUGAAUAACAGUCCAGUAUCAAGUAAAUGAAUAUAAAUAAUGACUUACGGGUCUAUCAGAGAUAUACAGCUUAAUCUGAGAAACAGAGGCUCCAAACUUCACAGACAAUCUACUGGGGGUUGCGUACGCUUAGAAUUCAGCAUCAUCUUAAGAAAACUUCACACACCCUUCCUCUUCUGAGUAGCAGUAAGUAAGCGUGAGUACACUUAUGGUUGGUACUCAGUAAGGCCACAAGAAAUAGCCAGAAUAACAAUUUAAAUCCAUCUUCAAGUUUAUUAAUCAUGUGAGGGUCCAGGCCGCUCUUGACCAUGAGCACAGCUGUUAUAACAAUUUUACACUCUGCAAAGAUUGUACACUUUCACCACAAGUCGCGUAAAAGUUUAGAAGAACUUUGGAACCAACGAUGCUAUGCAAAAGUAGGCACUUAUCACACUACCGAGGUGUGACUGUAUAGGGAUGCUACGAGACCUUUACAAAGAUUUCCUAGUAAGGAUAACUCGCUAAGGUUUCAUGAUCAACGCAAUGCAUAAACCUCUCGCAAACUGCAAAGCUACCAUAGAGCAGAUCAGUUUGAGGGCCGAGCUAUAUACCAACUAUUGUCUCCCCCUUUUGCUCCUUUCAGGCAAAGCUACCACAAACUAGAGUUUCUAAUUAAUUUUCUAAGACCAAAGCCAUGUGAUUCUUAUCGUUGCACUGUUUUCCUGGGUGGUUCUCCAAUUAUGACAUGGUGGUCUUGUAAAUAAGCAUAGAUACAAGGAUAGCUAAGGACACUUGCCUUUCUCCAACGAAAAGUUACUCUUACUGCUCUUCAGCUCUUGCUCUCUUGAAACUCUUAAUCUUCAAAUCUUUUGAACAACAAUCCUUCUACUUGAAGCAAUCAUCAGGUCCCAACAUACAAAGCAAACAAACAAGUAUAAUUAAGAACAAUACACCAAUCAAAGAGAAAAGCUUUAACAGAGUGUACUAAAGAAUAGGGCUUGAUUCUACAAUAAGGAAGGCACAUAAAACACUAAGAAUAAUGAUACCGUUGAAAUAUACAUCUACCGAGAAACUUUUUGUACAGAAAAAGACAAGAGCUAUAUGCUGAAGUUAUUUUAACUAGAAAUCAUAUUUUAACUAUAAAAUAUCCUAAGUUAGAGUUGAUUCAAAUUAUAUUUUUAUCUGAAAAGAUGAUGUAAAACCUAGUAAACUUUUAUUUAUAAAUAUUCAUGUACAAAUUAUGCCAUUUAAACAUUUAACUUUGGAAAAAUAAACUAUAUGUAAUAAUAUCUAAUCAAUAACUUUAUAUGUCGCAUUGAAUAAAACAAGUUAUAAUUAGAAACUCAUUCACGUUGAUGUUAAUCAUAUUAACACUUGCUUAAAGAAAACCGUUGUAUAAACCUAAUUAGCUUUUAAUUAGAAAAAGCUAAGUAAAUAAGCAUUAAUUAAAAUUAAUACCAUACUUAUUUUCAAAAACACGAAACAUGGCGAAACAAUGUUGCUAAACUAUAGCUUAUGAUUAGAAGAGUAACACAGCAAGAACCGACUAGAAUGAAACUUUGGUCGAGAAGAUACAUUAUCAAAAGAUUUGGGUUCAUAAAAGAAAAGAAACUAUGUGCUUCAUACAUUUUAAAUGUAGAAAUCAAUGUGGAUGAUAUUUUAGAGAAAUAUCCUAUGUUAGAAUUAACUCACAUUAUAUUUAUAUUUUGAAAACAUGAAGUAAAGCUUAGUCAAAAUUUAGUUACAAAUGUCCAUGUAUAGUUUAUACUACUUUAAACAUUUAAUUUGGAAAAGAUAUCACAUGUGGGAACAUCUAAGCGCAUAACUUUAUGAUUCAUGUUGAACUAACUAAAUUAUAAUUUAAAAAUACAUUUAUAUUUAUAUUAUCCAAAUUAACAUUUAAUUAUGAAAACUCGAGAUAUAACCUAUGUAGCUUUUAUUUAUAAAACAAAUUGAGUUUAAUUUAUAAAAAUCUGAGGUAUAUCUCUAAUUAGCUUUUAAUUGAAAAACAUUUAAGAUGAAGCAUUAAUAAAAUUAACAUUUAUUAUGCAAAGCGGUGUAUAACACUAAAUACCUUUUAUUAAAGACAACAUAUUUAAUAGGUGUUAACCAAAUUAAUAUCAAAUUUAUUUUCAAAAAUAUGCAAUGAUGGAAAACAUCACCAUUGACGUGUAAUUUAUGUUGUUAUGAAUCUAACGCAACUUGAAUGGAUAGAAACGGAGCUAAAACUUGUAAUUUAUGGAUUAAACAAGGUUCUAAGGACCUAAAUAGAAUUAACUGUAGAUACCAGGGGCUAGCAGAGAAGAUUUGCAAGAUAGAGCAAACAGUGCUUGUAAAGAGGAAAAAGGUUAGGACUAUAUCUAUAAAAACUCUCAGGUAGGACUAGGGUGUAGAGAUUUUAAGGUCUUCAGGGGUUUGUCUACAAAAAAACCAAGACACAGGGAACCUUGGACUAUUUACAGAUUUCGUUAGGGGCUUCAUCGCAAAGAGCUCGAGAGGGCUUUUGGCCGGCCAAAUCGCUGGCGCUACGGGCAAUUUGGAGCUCGGCCAAGGCAGGGAAGAUGAAGAGGAGGUCGAGAGGAACUUGUAGGGUAGCUCAUCGUCGGCGGAGAGUCACGGCAUUGCCAGGAAUCUGGCGGCAGAUAGAGGAUGGCGGCCGGCUCGGGCCAUCAUGGGCGGCGAUGUUCCAGCGGUGGGAAGGUGAUGAGAACGAGCGGCAGAUGUGCAGCAUGAGGAAGGGAAGCACGAGGCGAUGUCAGCUUGCUCUAGGGAUGUCGGGAGGCGUCAAAUCGAAGCGGUGGCGGUGCUAUGCUCCUCCUACUCCAGGCGGCAACGCUCGCCCCGUUUGCUCGGAUUGCGGUGGCACUGGGCGAGGCAGCAAGGCAGUGGCAAUGCAUGCACGGCAGGGGCAUGCGGGGGUCAGGUGCUACGUUUUAUAGGGACGCGGGGCGGCCACGGCUUAGCGCGCAUGCCAAGGCUGGCCAGCGACAGCGGCAGCAUGCUGCGCUGUGGCCGUUGGCCCAGAUGGGCCUCGACUACAUCAUCCAUGUAGGCUUCUACGUUGAAGUGUAGUUGCGAUGAGAUCCUUUGGAUUUCUUGUUUUGACGACUACAUCAUCCACGUAGGCUUCUACGUUGUGCUGUAGUUGCUUCUCAAAACACAUCUGGAUUGCGCGUUGAUAUGUUUUACCUGUGUUCUUCAACCCGAAGGACAUUGUCUUGUAACAGAAAGCUCCAAACGGGGUGAUGAAGGCAGUUUUGGCUUGGUCUUCUUCCUUGAUUGCUAUCUGAUGGUAACCUGAGUAGCAAUCGAGGAAACAGAGUAGUGCACAACUAGCUGUGGAGUCGACGACUUGGUCGAUCCUGGGUAACCCGAAGGGGUGUUUGGGGCAGUGCUUAUUGAGGUCUGUGUAGUCUACACACAUCCUCCACUCAUUGUUGUUUUUCUUACGAACGAGUACUGGGUUGGCUAGCCAAUUAGGGUGGAAAACUUCCUUGAUGAAGCCAACUACGAGUAGUUUGGCUAGUUCUUUCUUGAUAGCGUCUCUCCUGUCUUGAGUAAAUCUUCGUAUCCGUUGCCAUUUAGGAGUAGGUUUGGGAUCAACAUUUAGUGAGUGCUCGAUCAGUUCCUUGGGCACACCUGGCAUAUCAGCCAAUUUCCAAGCAAAGAUGUCUCAGUUAGCCUGAAGGAAACUGAUGAGCGCGCUUUCCAAUUGGGGAUCCAGCCCUAUGCUAAUGAGGGUUGUCUUGGAUGAAUCACCAAUCUCUAGGUCAAUGGGCUUGGAAUCCUUGUUUGUUGCUAGCUUGACCUUGGCCACCCCCGCCUUGUUCUCUGGAAUCUCGAGUUCUGUUGGGGUGAGUUUUUUCGAGACUGUGAAGACUUGUUGCAUGGGACUAGGUGCUUGAGAAGUCGCAGCGAUUUCGAUGGCUUCUGCGUCGCACUCAUAGGAUCGCCUCAGGUCUCCACAUAGUGUGAGUUCACCUUUUGGUCCUGGCAUCUUGAGCAGUAGGUAUGCGUAGUGUGUUAUAGCCAUGAAUUUAGCUAGAGCUGGUCUUCCGAGGAUGGCGUGGUAAGAAGUCUCGAAGUCAGCGACCUUGAACUUAAUGUACUCGGUGCGAUAAUGUUCCUUUGUACCGAAGGUGACAGGUAAGACGACUUGCCCUAAUGGGAUAGCGGCGUUGCCUGGAACAAUUCCGUAGAAAGGAGAAUCUAUUGGAGUAAGCAUAUCAGUUAUGUCGAGGCACAUUUUCCUCGAGGUUUUGGCGAAGAUGACGUUGAGUCCACUACUAGCAUCGAUGAGUACUUUUGUUAGUCUUAAGCCUGCGAUAACUGGGUCGAGUACCAAGGGAAAAGGCCUGGCUCUGAGAAGUUGGUCCAUUGAUCCUUUCUGCUGAAAGAAAUUGGCACCUCGGACCACUUGAGUGGGGUGGGAGUCGCUGGCUCGAUGGCCAUGAUCUCUCUGAGCACUAGCAUGUUGGACCACUUCAAUGUGGUACCUGGGAUUCCGCCAAAGAUGACGUUGACAUUUUUUGAUGCGACUUAAAAUUUGUCUUCGCCAUCAUCGGUUUCGUCCACCUUGCCUUUGCCUUUGUCUCUGGAGUUUGCGGUCAAGUUUUUUUUAUUAUUUUUGGGCGGAGGAGCUUUGGGUAGUUCUUGCAUUACUCUACGGAGGCUCUAGUAGUCUAUUGCGGAGUGGUUACUGUGUGGAUGCCAUGGGCAUUGCUUCUUGAGUAAGUCGCUGAAUGAGGGGCUGUCAUUGUGUUUGUUUGCCCCUUUUUUGUUUGAGUUGGUAAGUGUUGCAACGGUGUUGUCGGGUUUGCGCUUGUGAUUCUAGUGACCCGAGGUAAUUGUUUCAGGUAUCAUUGUUGCGAUUUCUGUCUAGGUUUUGGUUGUUACCUUGGCUGUUGUUGUUGUUGCCCCCACGGUUGCGAUCAAACCUCUCACGUUCUUUGUCCUCCUCGUCUGCCCACUGCUGUACCAUGAUCUUCAAGUCUUUGACACUCGUAGGACAGUGUCUGCCAAAAUCUUGGUACAUGCGUUGGUCCUAGAGUCCAUUUUGAAAACAUUCAAUCACGUCUCCCUCUGAGAUGUCGACAAUCGUAGCCUUCUUCUCGAAGAAAUGACGUAGGUAGUCGCGCAACAAUUCGCCUUCCUGUUGUUUGACUUGGCUUAAGUCAACUUUGUUGCCUGGAUGUUGCAUUGAUCCCGUAUAGUUGUUGGUGAAAGCUGUUUUCAAUUCUUCCCACGAGUCGAUUGACUUGGGCUUGAGAGACUCGAGCCAAGUCAAUGGCGCGGGUUCCAUCCAUAUGGGAAAGUAGAUGACUUUUGUCUCGUUGUUACCCCCAGCUAUUUGGACUGCUAAUGAGUAGCAUCGGAGCCAUUGGACCGGGUCUUGUUUGCCAUCGUACUUGUUGAUUCCCAUUGGUUUGAACUUGUCGGGUAAUUUAGUAUGCAUGACUCGUGUGGUGAAGGUGGGGAAGUAGUCGGGAACAUCGGUUUCUGCUUCUCAUUCACAAUGACGGUUUCUGAUUAUGUCCCGAUCAUCGUGAUUCUGGUUGAGUACUUCCCUGAGAUCACUCAUGUAUGAAUGUUCCCGAUUGGUUCUAUGGCGAUGAGGACUUUGUGCGGAGUUGGUGUGACUAGCUUCUCCCGCACCUUUGUUUUUCUGUGGUGCUUUGGGUGCACCGCCACGUCUUGGAGCAUCUCUGCUACCAUUGUGCUGGCUAGAGUUGUGGUGUACAGAAGGGAUUGGUGACUCCUUGUCGAGCAACUGGUAAGCAUUUGCCACGAGUUGUGCUAUUAACUUGUUGCCUCUUCAUGUGAGUUGUACCGCGAGCUUGUUGUCUAUGUCCUGAGGUAUGAGGGUUGUUAAGAGAUUGAUCGAGGUGAUUGCUGUGAGUGGGGUGUUGUGCUCUCGUGCUUGUACUGCAUCGAAUGCUCGCUCGAGAUUCACAAUAGGUAUGCUUGCGAAAAGUAGUCGGCGACGUUCUACUCGAGUAGCGUUGCGAUUUCUUCUUUGAAUUCAUUGCUCACUUGUUGCAUCAUCCGGGGCAUUGGCUGAGAGCUCAUCAUCAGAGACUUCUUCAUGUUGUCCUACCCGUCGAGGUGUUCUGUGGUGCUCGUUAGUCGAGGUGUUUUGUGGUGAUGGUUACUAGUCGCGACUUCGUCGUGUGGUGACAUGACAACAAAGAGUUCCCUAUCUGAAUAGUAGCAUCCUAAGCUUGAGGUUGCAAUCUCUGUGGCGCUAUCUUCUCCUCGGAUUGGAGUAAGUGGAGUGCCCUGUUUAUAUGGGAGGGUACCCAUGUGGGCGACUAGGCAUGACUCGUAGUUUUGGGUAAGGGAUGAUGGCUUCAUCCCUGGCCAAUAAACGAAUUUGCCUUGCGAUGUGGAUGUGAUAACCAAACCUUGUGCUGGGUCUGAUGAAGGGUGUUCUUGAACGGAGUCCGAGUUGUAGUCGUAGUCCUCAACUGUUUCUUGUCCUGAUUGGACUCGAGUGAGGAGUUCUUGGUGGACCCUGGCUGCGUUUCGGAACCCGAACGGGAAUCAACUUCGAUUUGAAAUCGACUUGCAAGGUGACUUGGAUACUAACCUGCGUGGGCUAGUCCGAGUCGAGGUCGAGUCCAAGCUGUAGUCGAACUCGAUGCUGUUGACGUUGAAAUUUUGGAUUCUCUCAAUGGAAUUUUCCACUUCUUGAUGAAGAGGGUUUUCGUUCAGAUGCUUCUUCUCCAGCUUCUCGAUGAUGCAACGUUGGAAAUUUCCAAAGCCAUCAACGAUGCAGAGCAAGGAGCCGAAGAUGAAAGUUGCGCCCACCUCGAAAGCAAAUGCAGGUUUGAUGAUGGUUGGUGCCAUCGAUCUCGCGCGGAGAAAUUCGGCGACUCCCCCUACCUGGCAUGCCAGCUGUCGGUGUUUUAUACCGGUAACCCGCCUAGGGAGUACCUGAGGUGGUGUUUCGUGCGGUGGGUGUCGCCGAGAAUCAAGGAGUCGAUGGUGACACAGGAACACGAUUUACACAGGUUCAGGCCGCUAGAUCGCGUAAUACCCUACAUCCUGUGUAUGGAUUGUAUUGAUGAGUUGUGUUGCUUGCAGGGGUUCCUUGCCCACCCUUAUAUAGUCGGGGGAGCAUGGUUACAGGGUAGGAGUCCUAGUCGAACACGGUCACAGAGUCCUACUCGGUGAAGUAGUUUCCUUGUGUAUUCCGACUAGUCUUCAGGAGUCCGUGUAGGCUACGUUACCCUGCAGCGCAGCCUCAUGUCCUAAUCACGUCCAAGUACGCCCCUUGAGUGGGCUAUACAAGGCCUACUCGUGGACCCAAGGAUGUAUGCCCGACAGGGCUAGCUGGGUCGAGCCCAAGGCUCGGCCCAGAGGGAAAGGAUUUGGCUCUAGAAAAAAAUAAGAAUAAAUUAUAGAAAAAGCUGGAAAAUUUUCUCAGAAGGGUCUGGACAUCAUAUAAACGCAUAUUAAAACCUUUUGCACUCAAAAAAUACUAAGAUGCAUUGGUCUGAAUACAACACACAGAGCAACACUAUUUAAUUUAAAAAACAACCAAUUAUUUUUCCUAUACUACAUUUCCUGUCAAGAAAAUAAAUGUUGGGAAAAUUUUAAAAUUAUGAUAAAAUCAUUGUUUAAUUGUUCUUUCUAAUCACAUCCUGAAAUCCAAAAAUUUCAGGGCGUGAUAGAUACGAUUCUCCUGCAAAACAGAAUUCCAAGACACGUUUAAUUUUAUAUUUAUAUAUCGUCACGGCAUGCAAUUUCUAUCCAUUUUUUGUUUGGUCAAGAUAGCAUGUGCUAAGCGACGUAGUUGGCUUUCUCCUCCUGCAUGGCCUCCGCUAGUUUGGUCCACUUUGUGCGGACAGUGAUCACCAGCAAUGAGCAGGCCUGGCAUGUCAGCCCACAUAUCAGCCCCACCCACAAACCCUGCAGAAAAAGAAUGUAAAUGCAGCAAUUAAGCUGGAACGUUGUCGUUGGCAAGAAAUUGAUUCACUUUAAUUUUUAAUUUUUACAAGUACCUUGGUGUGGAACUUGAAUUUGAAGGAGAAAAGGAUGGCCAGCGGCAUUCCGAUUAAGUAGAACGCCACAAGGUUGGUCAUGGCCCCCAUGUGCUGCCACCCACAGCCCCUCGACACGCCUGACAGGACGCCCUGUGCAGCGUCGAGCACAAUGGAGAUCAUCAUGAGCGGGGUGAUGGCCGCGAAUUCCGAGAUGAUCCUCGAGCUCCUACUGAAGAGGCUGGCCCAUAGGUUGUGGCCGAACGCCAGCAACAGGACGAAGGAGACGGCGAGGAACACUGAGAGCUUCAACGUCACGGAUACCGCAUUCUUCGCCUUGUCCACAUUCCCCGCACCGAUCUCGUUCGACACCCGUGUGCUGCACCAAACAUUAAUCCAUGACCCAUCAUGCGUGAAAUAAACACAAUGGUACAAGAACAACUGUGGCUGAGAAGGAAGAAGCAUAUGGAAUUCGUUCAGACAGAACCGGGCUGGCAUGUGAUGUAACGCACCUUACGGUGGCACUGAACCCAACUGUGAUCAUGCACGCAAUCGCCUCAGUGCUAACGCUGCACACAAUUUGCAGGCCAUGUACGUCAUCGUUGGGCUCACGUUGUUAGUUUAAUUUGCAUAUCUGAAGAUCAAAUAAAGACUAUCGUAAUAUAAAGGUAUUUACCAUAUGGCGAUCAGCGGCGUAGCCACGGUGGGAUGGGGAAGUAAACCAGCUAUGAGCACCAGGAGCUCGAACGCCCAUAACUCCAAGCUGCAGCCGGAAUGUCUCACCGGUCAUGAUUCAUGAAUGUCACUGGCACGAGGAACACGAUACUGUAUGUCACUGGCAAGAUGUACACUUACCAGACCAUGAUGGCAGAUGGCGUUGCGAGCUUCACGGUAGGCAACACGUACAUGAAGGCGUCGGCAGAAAACCCUCUCCAUGUUUCACAGAACUCCUUGGAGAUCAGCACAUAGGCGAACAGCAUCAGGCAGCAGACCCAAAACGUUGCUGAGACCGCCGCGGAAGCGCCCGCGAGCCCCAGGCCAAACACGUUCACCAGCAGGUGCGCCAGGGCGACAUGCAGGACGAACGGCACCACGGAGCAGACGACGAGCGGUAGUACCACGGACUGCGUCUGAAGGUAUCGGAGCAGGCAAUGCACGAAGGAAAACGCAAAGAGACCGGGUAUCUGGGCCUGCACAAAAAUCCCAGCAGCGUGGGACACUUCGGGGUCCUGCCGGAGGAGAAGCAGCAGCGGCUCCGUGAAGUACCAAAGCACGGAGAUAAGCAGGGAUGCGGCAGCAGACAUGAUGAACGACGACUGCAGGUACAGGCCCAGCAUGCGGUACAGCCGGGCGCCGUACGCCUUCCCACAAAGCGUCUCCAGGGCUCCGCUCAGGCCCAUCUGGAAAAUAGCAACGGUCACAUCAUUUCGAUCAAAAUAUAUGAUUUGUUUGUUGAUUCUACAAAAUUUCAUAGUGAUAUUUUAACACCAUUACAAGUACAUGUUUUCUUCAUUUUCUUGAUUUCUGAAAACCAUUUAUCAGUAUAUAUAUGAUUUUUUUCUACCAAAUUUGUGGUCGUAAUUAAUUAAACAUGUGAGUUUUUCUAUUUAGAAUUGUUUAGAGAGAGGAUGAGAGAGAGAAUAAAGGAUUGACAUAAUUAUGUUAGGUUUAAUGCUACUAGAAAUAUAUAUUAUUUGUUUUCAUAUGAAGGUUGUGCUUGCCUUCUCAAGAAAUAGCAUGUAGUGUGUGUGCGCUAAUAACUAUUUUUUUCAUAUAUCCUAAAGAUGAAGAAAACCGCGACGCGAAAGUGCAUUAGCGAUGGAUGCUUGCCAAUCUCUUCAUAUAACUGGGCGUAGUAAGCAUGUCUAGUGAUGAAUAUAUGUAAGACAUAUANNNNNNNNNNNNNNNNNNNNNNNNNNNNNNNNNNNNNNNNNNNNNNNNNNNNNNNNNNNNNNNNNNNNNNNNNNNNNNNNNNNNNNNNNNNNNNNNNNNNUGUCCCCAAGGCACACCUCCAUUCCUACGGGCCCAUAUAUAUUAUAUAUUCGUGUUUGCGUUUGUUAUGUAAUGAGAUGGGAAAUAUAAAUUUAUAAAUUGGCAACAAAUAACUAUAUAAAAAUGGGUAGAACCAUUUGAAUAUUCAAAAUAGUGCGUCUAUUCAAAAUAGUACAAAUUGAUUUGUGCAGCGGUUGGCUUAACAGAGUAGCGACACUUAUAGAGAGACACUUAUUCGUAUCAAUUUUGGCUUAACAGAGUAGCGACACUUGUAGAGAGACACUUAUUCGUAUCAGCUCAUUAGUGCUAGCCAUAAAAAAGCCGGCACGAAUAAGUUAUUCGUGCUGGUGUCUAAUAGAGCCUUAAUGGAUAAUCCACUAUCCGUGGAGCCGGCACGGAUAAUUCUUAUUUGUGAUGCACGGAUAGUCAUCUGGAUUAUUCGUUCCGGCUCGGGUAUGGACUUCAAAAAAUUCAAACUUUUACAUAUGGACUCAGAUUGCGACAAGCUUUAUAUGGAAGUGGUAUGUUUCAACAAGAUUUAAAACUUUGUAGUUUAACGAUUUUUAAUUUGAAAUCAUUUAGAUGCCCAAAGUUAUAACUUUAGCAUACCUUUUGCGUCCAUAUCAUUUGAAUUUUGUGUUUUAUUUGGAAAUUCAUAACUUUGUGAUAUGGACUAGCAUAAAGGCAUAUUUAUAUGAAAGUUAUAGAUUUCAACCUGAUCUACAACUUUGUAGGUGAAAGUUUUCAAUUUAAAGUUGUUCAUAUGUCAAAUAAUUUCAGCUCUUGUUUCCCCCUUUAUUCUCAUCCUUCUAAGUUGAAUUUUCUAUUGUGUUUGGAAAUUUGUAACUUCUGCAUAUGGUUUCAGAUGGAGAUGAACAUUACAUGGAACUUGUAGGCUUCGAUGAGAUCUACAACCUUGUAGUUAAAAGUUUUUUAUUUAAAUUCAUUUAUGUGCCAAAAUAAUAGAUAAAAGCUUUAGGCAACACGGGUCAAAAGGAAUAGAACUUUAUUAUGCGUGCAGAUAUCUAGCGUAGGUAGAGUGGUAGAGAUGUAUCGCGCGGGUCAAAAGGAAUAGAACUUUAUUAUGCGUGCAGAUAUCUAGCGUAGGUAGAGUGGUAGAGAUGUAUCGCGCGAGAUCGGAGGUUGUGAGUUCGAAAAUCGGACACUGCACGCGCAGAUAUUUCAGGGGUGACUUGGGACCGUGAGCUUAGCUCAGGGUGCCUCAUAAACAAUAUUUUUUUUGCUAUUUUCGUUUGUAAAUUGCUAUUUCUACUACCUGCGUCGGUGUGUUAUCCCACCGACAUGUAUAAUCCAUUAUUCGUGUCUGCUUCGACAUUGCCAUGAACAACCAACCUAAUUCGCAUAGAUGUCGUGGUGCCAGUCCCAUAACCGGUACGAAUGAGGUUUUCACGCCAGCACGAAUGAGUUCUGCAGUAGCGGUCAGGCAUUCACUAGCAUAUAUCGUCAUUUGUAUAGGUUGAAGGUUGCUGGCGCAAACUGGUUUUGAUUACCGUACACAAGUAGUUUCUACAGUUGUCGACAACAAGGUUCGGUGGAAGUUGUGGUACACAGUUUCCGUGGUUGUGCCAAGAGUCUGGUAAGGAGGUUCACAUGGUGGAGGAGUAGGGCGGGAAUCUCAACAAAAGAUAUGUUGGAUCUUAAGCUACUGUAACUCGAGGCAGAUCACAUUGUAAAGCUCUACUAGAGAAAAGGACACCUGUACUCAACGAACAUGUAUUUGGACCCAGCAUUAAUGCUAGGGUCUAAAUUUGAUCAUCCCGGGAAUCCUUUCCCAACCUGUAUUAAGAUCCUGUCUGGUUCCGAGCUCCUAAAAGUUUUAGCAGCCUUCUAAAAACUCCCAAAAGAGUGUUUAGGUCCACCUCCUAAAACUGACUAAAGGUAAUAAAUGCACUCGCAAAAGGACCAUGAUGCCCCUCCCCAUGCCCCUGUCCCUGGCCGCAGCUUGUCCAGCGACGUCGGCCUCCUCUUCCUCUCCGGCGACUCAGGGUUGAAAUGCGCCGCGCCGUGCCCGUGAUGCCGCGGCUCAUGUUCUUGAUUACAUUGACAAAGAAACCAGUCACGCACGUCACCAUACAUCGAGCACAAAAAUGGUGCCCAAGAACUCGGAGACAUCGAGGAGGCUAGAGGACCCUCUCUAUCCUGCCCAUCGCCCAGUAGCUAGGCACUCUGCUGGCACCAUCACCACCGCCACGAUGGAGGCCAGACAGUUCAUCGCAGACCUCUCGCCCACCCGCAAGCUCACCCCGGUGCCGUUGCUGCCUCCGCCGGGUCUAGGCGCGAAGGGGUGGCGGAUCUGGUUGGGGAGGGCGCAGAUCGGAGGGGGAGUGAGCAGGCGCUGACACCGAGGAGGAGCGGGAGGGCCACGGCGGGCCCGUGCGGUGGUGCAAGGGAGCGGGGGCGGCAGAUCUGGCGGGCGCCGACGUGAAGGAGGGAGGGAGCGGUGGCAGGGGUGACGGAUCCGGUGGCGCGAGGGGGCGGGGGCGGCGCGAGGGGGAGUGGAGGGAGGGAGCGACAACGGGGUUGUGGAGGGAGCAGGGGCGGGCCCGUGCGGCAGCAGCGGGCAGAAUGGCGGCAGGCUGCUAGGCGGGAGGGAGGGUGGGAGAGAGAGGGGGGACAGGGCAAUAAAGGAUGGGUAGUGGGGGUUCAGGAUGGAUUUUAGGUACUUUUAGGAGGAGGUGGAGCUCCUAAAGUUUUUGGCCCUUCCUAAAGUUUUUAGGAGCUUUUAGGAGGGGGGUGUUUGGUUCUUUAGGCAAAUUUUAUCCAGAUUUUAGCUCCUAAAGUUUUUAGAGGGGUACCCAAACAGGACCUAAACCUACCAUUUCAAACCAGUUGCUAUUACCAUCCUUUACUAAUGCUCCUCGAAACUAUUACCACUUGAUGUAACCAUCUGGUAAGUACCUGUUGAUGUAAUCAAUAGAACUAAAAGAUCCUCUAGAGAUGACAUUAAAAAAAGCAUUUCUUAUCCAGGGUUGUAAAUAUUUUUUUGAUAUUUUUUACCGACUAGUACUAAAGGUGACAGAUCUGAUAUUAAAGGUCGGAACUUUUCGUCUUGGUUUUUUUGUACCGUUUCAAAAUUCAAGAGUAAAGGAGGGUUUGGAACCAAUACAUAAGCCAUAAUCUCCAAUAAUAGUGAGACCAAUAUGCUCUCCAUGCAUAUGAUGGAUGUGGUGGUGGCAUUUGCAGGGACCGAUAUUACAAGGGUGGUGGUGCAGAGGCGGCAUGAUCAUGAGAGGUAGAUUGCUUGAAUAUAAUGUUACAUAGAGAUGCAUCGGUGGUGCGAUUGUGGAUUGCGUGGUGAUAGAGGAGAAUUGUUGCGGUGGAGGUCGAUCUUAUGGGCGCUAUCGCGGCGUUAGUUGUUUUGAUGGCUCAUGUCGUGAUGGCCGACGAAGUCCACAAUGAACCUGAUGAGCAGGUUCAGGCACGCAAUGCCUAGAUGAAGCAGCUUGAUAAACUGGAUGUAUUGGUUUUUGUGUAAAUACUGCUAUGCUGUUGUUAAACUCAUAUUUUCAUAUGUGGAACAAUAGGUCAAAAAAAUUAUGCUACCCCAUCACACAAAUAUAGCUUUGUUCAGGUGAUCAUUUCCAUUCCUCCAGAGCUAAAGGUUCAUUCAGAAUUCGAUUACUUACAUUCCAAAAAUGCUAAACGCAGAGACUAAAUGGUGAGCAAUAAGCAAUUUAGUAGAAGGUAGGCUUUGUACGUACAACGAAGGCGUAGCCGGUGACGGUUGCCCAGGAGUUGCCGAGCGUGGCGCCGGCGAGGUGGACGUCGCCGAGGUGGCCGGAGAACAUCACCGACACCAGCGGAAUGCCGUAGUAGGCCAUGUUGGUGAGCACCAUCGGCACCGCGAAACGCAGCUGCGCCUGCGCCUCCUCCGUGUCAACUAUCCGGCCAAGCCAUGCUAACCAGCAUGGUAGCUGCUGCUCCCCUCCAACUUUGCCGGCGGCGAGGUCAUCGCCCUUGCAGCGGUCGCCGAGCAGCGGAGCCGACGACAUGUCGCUGGGUGACGUGGAGCUAUCGGCCGGGUAGACAGGUUCACCUCCUAGCUCGCUGAUAUUGGUAUAUAGGCUAUGGAUCAAGAAGUGCACCGUGGUUGUGUUGUGCAUUUCUAGCCGGAUGAACGUGGCGCAAAGUUGGUGGAUAGUGUGGAAUAUUUGAGAUCCGAUGGACGCAGAUUUUGUUAAUUUUUAAUUUGAAACAUUUAUGAAACUGGUCCAUGUUCAUUUAUGUCGAUUUGUGUGCGUUUGGUCUGCUGGCCAGCUAGAGCAGGUCAUUCUCACCCUUCCAUUGACCAGCAUCUCGAUCGAUCUUCUCACGUGCCUCGCAGCCAUCGCCGGUGGUUGACAGGAUUAUGGUGUCCUUAAUUAAUUGUUGUAAGUCGAUAAUCUUAAAAGAAAUAUGAAGUUGGCUGAGCUAUGUUGUUCUUGUAUACUACUCGCAAAGGAAGUCGUUUUAGACAAGGCUUGGGUCAAACAUUGGAAAUAUAAAUCAUGAAUAACUUUUAAGUUGUUGAGUUUGGAAAUGUAAAAGUCAUAUAUAUAGAUUUGUCUUGAAAAAUGCUUUCAUUAAAAUAUACAUAUAUCACUUUUUGAUAAAUAUUUUUAUAAAAAUAAAGAGUCAAAGUAAUACUUUGGAGACCGUGUUGCUGUUCAAAACGACUUCCUUUGUGAGUAUGGACGGAGUACUCACUAUGUAGAAAAUAAUAUCAUUUUGAGACAGAUUUUUAUAUAUAAGUAUAUAACGUCAGUAAAAUUUAGAGUACUUAGGCAUCUUGUAAUGUUUACAAUUAUCCGUAAGAGAUGGCAAACUGAGAUGAGACGACAUGUGGCACAAUGUGUUUACAGGGAUGGAUGAGUGAUUAAUUAGAUUUAAUUCGACCGAUAUCAUAAAAUAUUUGUUAAUUAUAAAGUACUUUCUCCGUUUCAAAUUGUAGGUUGUUUUGAAUUUUUUAGAUUCAUAGAUAUUAUUAUAUAUCUAGACAUACACUAUAUCUAGGUAUAUAUAAAAAAAAUAUGCACCUAGAAAAUCCAAAAUGAUGUACACUUUAGGAUGGACGGAGUAGGUAAUUUUAUAGUGAUUAGUGAUAAUGCUAUGAUCAUGGAGCAAUCUUGUUUAAAUAACAUAUGUGGCCAAAAGGAAAUAAGAUACCAUGGGAAGUUGAGAUACAUGAAUAGGCAAAGCAAAAUUAUAGCGGAAUGAAAACACAUAAUUGACGGAUGGUGGACUGACAAAUUUGACGAUCUCAGGCGCAACGUUGACAGACAAUGCUCGAUUGUCUCCAUGAUAUUAAUGUAGUGCCACAUGGAGUUUUGGAUGAUGUGACACUAUAUUAAAUGAGAGGUAAAGAAAAAAGAACAAAUUAGAUCUCAUGCAAGAUAUUGUUCCAACAAGAAAUUUAAAGCACUACAAACUAUUGAAUUCUAUAUUGUGGGGGACUUGUGUCUCCAUGAUUAGUGAGGCUGAAAGAUGGUUGGUGAACUGAGCUACGCUCGGAUAGUAAGGUUCGUUAUGAUGAAACAUACCGAUCAAGGUUCAUGUUCUUGACUUGGUAAUGAUGCUUACGUUUUCUUGAAUUUAUUAUAGGAUUAACCGGCGUUGUUCCAUCCACAUCUACAUUUAUUUCGAAUACGAAUAUGAUUUUGGAUAAUAAAACACAAAUUUAAAUAUAUCCAUUUAAGAUACCACAUUAAAAAACACUAGAAACGAAUGCGGAUACGGAUGUCCAUAUAUCACAUUUUUAACGGAUACGAGCUAGCGGCUAGGCAACUUAAUUAUUACCAUCCAUGAGCUCCUUCAUUGUGUGUCACUGCACCAACCGACAGUAAUUUUGUACGUGGCUAUUACGGCGCGCCGCUUAAGAAACACGUGGUCCGAUGCACUUAUCUCGGCUGCAUUGAUACUGCAGCGUGACUUCCGCACGGAGUUACCCUAGUACAGUACUCCAUGUGCGCAGAAGAGCACAAAAAAGGGAGCAGCAUUUCAACUUUGGUUAGCUGACCAAAUAUAGGAUCCUAAUUCAACAGUUCUUGGUAUGCCAAAUGUUUUCCAAAAAGUAAAGGAAUUACAAAACUCCAGGGAUUCGUACGUCACUAGUCACUUCAACAUUGAAGUAACAAUACCGUAAAUAACGUGUCUAUAACAUGCAUGGCGCAGUCUUGCUGACAAAUUUAUGACCAAUAUUUGUUCAAAUUAAACUACGCGGGGGCAACAUUUGUCUAUCAUAAUAUAAUGUUUGGGAUGGUGUUCUUAAUGAACUUUUUUUUUCACUCCACAUGUUUUUUUUGUGAUAGGACCAUCUAAGACGUACCUAAUCUUCACGGACUCUCUUUGUUUUUUAUAAACAAAAUAUAUUAAUUACAUCAGGAGAUACAUUGUUUUAUAUUGAUCUCAAGCAAAAUACAAUGGUAUUCUAGAGAUUUCAAGGCGGAAGCAGGUUGUUGGUCGAGGUUGUUGGUCGAGUGUUAGUUUGCCUGACAUGUUGGGGAUCGCCCAAACAAAUAGUCACCCUCGAGCUUAUCGUGCUCAGCGACAACAGCUCAGCCCCUUAGGAUAAUUAACCUCAGGUGAGGCCUCCUAACCUUAGACGGUGAACCUGAUACGGAAAAGUAAUCUUAGUCUCGCUAUCCUAAGUUUUAACUCGAAGCCAGGAGGCAAUUACCAAUCCCCUGACUAGCCGAGUCUAACCUCGAGCACUCGAAGCUAACCACGAGUGCCAAGUUAUUCACUGUCUUGUGCAAAGUCGCUGGUUUAGAUUGGGAAGCAGGGCACGAGGUUGAGCGCCUCUCGGACGCGAAGCUAAGGCGAUUGGAACUCCCGAAGCUAGGAUGGCUUUGGUCGCGAGGUCAAGAAGCGUGGAGGCGUUGGAAACGUGAAGGCAUGAUUUGUGGAACCAUGUGAGAGCAUGAAUUACGGAAAAGGCGUGAGAAGCAUGAUCCUAAGAGGAGACCAAGUCAUACAAGUUAUGACCUAAAAAGAUCUCUAUGUAAAGUAUAUUCUAGAAAUGUAGUAGGUGAAUGAGGGUAAUUGUGGGAUGUAAAGUGUCCUCCGAGACACUAUAAAAGUGGAGCCCUACCCCGAUGUAAACUCAUGUUCAUUUCUUAGAAUUGAAUUGCAAGUGCUGCUUUAACAUCAUUGUGUUCGAACUUCGCUGAAACUUGUUUUCCAACAUCACAGAUCGAUUGGCCAAAGUUGCUCUGUAGGAACUGAAAACGUUGUCACGUGGUUUGGCUGCAACGCAUACGACGAAUCUGGGUGGUUCAUGGCCUCGAAUUCCACGUAAAAAGGUAUAAGAAAAAGAAAUGUAGUAUCCACGUAGAAGAGAUGAAUAGUAGAUGAGAAUAGAGACAGCGAUACAAAUUAUAAAAUAAUGUUGAACUGUGGGUUGGUAGGGUGACACCGCCAACGUCGAGAUUCACAAAACCAUUACUGACUCCGACAUUGAUUAUCGUGUAGUUUAGUAAAGAAUCCAUGCUCAGGCGGCCGCAUACCUGAAAAACGUAGCUGGAGCACUCCAUCGGACAAGCAAGUGCUUCACGAAGCAAAGCAAGCAGCCAUGGUGAGCAUGGAGAGCCGGAGCCUCCUCGCUGCUGCCCCAGCUCUGGCAGUCGCCAUCAUCUUCCUCUCUACCACCGCACCGCUGGCGCGCGCGGCAUCCGUCGAGCACACAUUUGUCGUAAGUUUGCACACAAAUCGUGAAUAGACUUUCACCAAAUUCGGGCACUAUAACACACUCGCUUAUGCUUGAUUUGUUGGAAAAUAUUGUAGGUGAAUCAGACGAAGAUGACGCGCCUGUGCAAGGAGACACUGGUCACCGUGGUGAACGGGCAGCUCCCAGGGCCGACCAUUGAGGUCACAGAAGGAGACUCGGUGACUGUUCAUGUCGUCAACAGGUCACCUUACAACAUUACGAUCCACUGGUAAGCGAUGAUGGCAUAAAAAUAAGUUCAUUUCCACGGCUAGAUUAUUUAGGCACUCAUUUGGGGAAAAAAAUCAUAUGUAAUCGUUAAUGAUAUAUUCCCUUCGUUGAUUUCCUGAACUACGUAGCCUUUCCUAAAUGUUUUGUCUUUAGAAACAGAGAUCGUACACUUUAUAUAAGGAAUCAUGCAUUUAGAUAGUAGCUACACACUAUCAAGUGAUAAAUAAAAUAUACAAUAAUGAAGUUGAUCUAGGAUAUAAUGCUGACAAAGUUCACGUUGGACUUUGUAGUAAGAUAGUAAAAAAUUUAUAAACACUUACACUAGGUCAGGUUUUGCAACCUUUUUUUAUACAAAAUUGCAGAAUUGUAAGAUCCAAAAGUUUGUAAUUGACAAAUGACAACCUUUUAAUAAGUGAAGCCAUUUAUACCUAUAUAUUACAAUCAUCCUGAUUUUUGAAAAAUAUGGAUCAAAAGGAAUAAAACUCUUAUUGCUAUCAACAAAAAAAAAAGAGGACCGCAUGUGACGGGUGGAUAUGGUUGUAGGUUUGAUUCCUGGGGACACGAACGUCUGUAUUUUGCAUGAACAAACACUUGAGUAGUGACGUGCACUCUGUGAGUAGUUCGGAGGUGGUCUGUGGUUCUAGAUUUGUUUAAUAACAUUUUGAUGCUCAUAUAUUUAUUUCAAUAAACAUUUUAUCUCUAAUGAUGGUUCAACCCUCGAGCAGUGAGAGAGAGAGGAAGUUAUCGGUGUUCAAAAUAAUUGGUUUAUGACUACUUAAAAAUCUUUCACUUCUAUGGAAACUGUGACAUAUGAGAAGAGUAGUGAACCAGGAGAGAUAACACUAGUGACAUCUACGACUGAAAAGUAAAGAACAACUCAACCAAACAGCAACUCGUAUGCUAACUGACCUUGACAGCAUUAAAAGAAGGACACUUCCGAUUAAACAUAUAAUGAGCUAGUACGAUCGACACCAGGUGACACUCGUGGCAGGCAACCGAUUUACAGGAUAUCGUAGGAGCUCAAUGUUGCCCGUUGUUGUUUAUUAUGUUAGGAAAGGAUUAGUUCCUAUAUAAUCUUUAUAUGGUGGUGUUGAUCCUUUUUUUUUUUCAAUUUGGACUCUUAUUUUUAUUUGAGGUGUCCAGAUUGACUUGUAUCUCACAGUUGAUCUUCACCAUCGCAAUCUGGAUCCGCUCGAUAAACUAUGUAGAUUUGACGCAUUUCUAAUGAUUAACUUGGUAAUUUAAAGCCCCUAUGAUUAAACUUUGAGCCACCAUUUUCAGUCAACUACAAAGACAACUGUGUUUUUCAAAAAACGUAAUAUUGUUAUUAUUAUCAUUUCUGAUUACAUAAAUGCAUUUUGUGGUUCCUGAUGCAGGCAUGGAGUAAAGCAGUUUCGGAACUGCUGGGCUGAUGGGGUGCCUAUGGUCACCCAAUACCCUAUCCAGCCGAACAAAGAUUUCACUUAUCGGUUCAAUGUCGUCGGGCAGGAAGGCACUCUGUGGUGGCAUGCUCAUGUCCCCGGCCUACGGGCAACCCUCCAUGGCGCAUUCAUCAUUCGGCCAAGGCUUGGGGCUGAGUCAUAUCCAUUUCCUAAGCCUCAUAAGGAGAUCCCAGUUAUUAUAGGUUUGUGUACCUUUCUGAUAUUGAUUGCUGAUCAUCUGAGAACAUAAACGAUUUUUAGGAGCAAUUUUUAAUUGGGACCCAUUUGAGGAGAACAAAAUGUGUCAAGUCCUCUGGGAAAUGAAUUAUGCAAUUUCGCCAUGCUUGUGCAACUACCUAGUAGAUGUGAAAUGAUCCUGACGAUUACAGGGGACUGGUGGGAGGAGGACCUUGCAGAGAUGGCCCGGAACAUGACGAAGGGCAUCUUUUUGUCUUAUGCUAGUGCCUCCACAGUCAAUGGCUUGGUCGGAGAUCUCUUCAAUUGCUCCGGUAAGCAGUUAUUUAAUUGAUGUACAGUAGCCCACUGGCUCUGUUUUAAUGUCAUUUAGUGCAUUUAAACAGCUGGUUUGACCGAUAAUUCGCUAGAAGAUGGGUGAUCGACUAUUUACAAUUGUGUUAGGUGAAAAAAUACCGAUAUAUCCUUUUCUUUGGCUCUGUUUUUAUUAUAGUUCAUCUUUCAGGUGUCACAAAAGAAGGAUAUGUUCUGGAUGUGGAGCCUGGCAAGACCUACCUGCUACGAAUAAUCAAUGCCGGCCUCUUCUCUGAGUUCUAUCUUAAGAUCGCUGGGCACAAGUUCACGGUGGUUGCUGCCGACGCUAACUACGUCAGCCCGUUCACCACAGAUGUCAUCGCAAUCGCAGCUGGCGAGACAGUGGAUGCCUUGCUGAUUGCCAAUGCAGCCCCUGGCAGGUACUACAUGGUCGCCCUACCCAAUCAGGCACCAUUGCCUGACACCCAAACUCCGGAGUACGCUACAAGGGGGAUGGUGCGGUAUAAGGUCAGCCACAGCACCUGCACUAGCUCAACGACAGUGAGCUCAUGCCAGGGUACAGAAGAAGAAGAAAAAGGAUAUCGAGGUACAUCUGGUGAUGCUCCAAUAGUGCCUAAGAUGCCUGACAUACAUGACACAAUUACAUCGUUCUACUUCCAUGGCAACCUGACCAGCCUGCACCACCAAGGGCAACUUCCAGUCCAGCAACAAGUCGAUGAGCGCCUCUUCAUCGUGCUUGGCCUCGGCACCAUCUGCAAGAAAGGCCAGUUCUGUAAGAGGGGUAGCAGUGACGAGGACCUCCUAGUGGCCACGAUGAACAAUGCUUCCUUCCAGCACCCCACAGCGAUACCAACACCACUACUAGAAGCGCACUACUACCACACCGGCCUCAUCAAUGCCACGACACAAGAGCUUCCGAAGGGGCCACCGAAAUUGUUCAACUUCACCGAUGAAGCCUUAAUCCCUUUUGGACCCAAAGAGAUGCAGCUAGAGCCAACUUACAAGGCGACGUUGGUCCGGAGGUUCCGACACGGUGCUGUGGUGGAAAUAGUCUUUCAGAGCACAGCGAUCCUACAGGGAGACUCCAAUCCAAUGCACCUACAUGGGCAUGACAUGAUUGUGCUUGCACAAGGCCUUGGCAACUAUGAUCCAGCGAAGGCCGUGGCCACGUACAACCUGGUUAAUCCACUAAUAAAGAACACUGUGCUUGUCCCAAAUCUUGGGUGGAUCGCCAUCCGAUUUGUCGCCAAUAAUCCAGGUGUGUAUAAGAUUUGAAUGCUAGUUUCAUGUUGGAAAAUAUUAUGUGGAAACCCCUAUCUUGGUUUAAUCGUGGAAAGCCCUAGUGAACCUCCCUUGAAUAUAUUUUUGUAUAGGUCGUCGAUUGUUGGAAAUAGUCUUGUGAACUUGUUUAUUUGAAGUUUAGAGAAAAUCUUGCUAAAAGGUAGAAGAUUGGACUUCACUAGCAGCAUAACAUUAUGUUUGUUCCAUUUAUUAUUUUAGACCAUGAAAGUCCUCAAGACGUUCAAGUUUGCUGUUGUUAAUUAUGCGUUAUAAGGCCUAAACUGUUGUAGGAAAGGAAAAUUCUGGAACAAAAGAUGUAAGCAUAUUUCAUUUAUUUAACCUUCCAGUCAAUACAUAUUUCUAGAGCCACAAAAACAAGUCUUAUGAUAAAAUAGCGCAAAAUUUUAUCAAUAAGAAAUCAUUCAUCUUCUAGAUUUUACUUCCUUCUAUCCCAAAUAUAAGCCUAUCAAGACUCGUGUUCUUCAAUUCAGGUUUGUAUUCCAAUGACCAUAUUGAAUAAUACUCAAUUAACAAAAUUAUUACGGUGCUUUGUUCAUUUAAGCUAAAAAAUUGAUAACUUUAGAAAGGGGUCGGAUAAAAUAGGAAAGUGGAAUCAAAAUUAUGUCUCAAAGUUGUUUGACUACUAUUUGGUGCAUUGUGAGAAUGACCACUUACAUUUAUACUUGGUAUCUGAAGGAGUCAAUUUUUUAAGCAUUCCACGAGACUUCAAUAUAAUUAUCCAGAGUUGUAUUCCUAGGAAAUUAUUCAAUAAAAUUUAUUAUAGUGUUUUUCCGAUUCGCACCCAUAUUUGUUUGUCUAAGUUGCCUGCCAAAGCACCUCUUGGCGUCAAAAACUAACUUAUUGUCUUUUAUGUUGUACAGGGGCAUGGUUCAUGCAUUGCCACUAUGAGUUUCAUCUAUCAAUGGGCAUGGCAGCAGUCUUUAUUGUAGAGGAUGGACCAACAAAUGACACGUCUCUCCCUCGACUGCCAGUGAAUUUUCCGACUAUUGGUCAAGACAUCAAUCUCAUGCCCAAUGACUUAUAUCUCAAAACUAUGAAAAGUUAAAACUAGUGCACAAAGGGAGUACCUGUGUAUGUAUGAAGACAACUCCUAUUACUUAUUUUGAAUAAAUGGUUAUGAAUAAUGGAUGUGCGUCAUGAGAUAAAUGUACAUAUAUUAUUAAUGUCAAACUUUUUUGAACUGAUAAAAUGUCAUGCACCUAACCAUUUGGAUUGAAAAGAUGUCGAACUAGUCAUGGUUGCAUCGCCACCCACACAAUACCUUAUCCAUGUCGGCCAAUCAGUACCGGUCGAAAACCAGAAGGGCCAUCUACAUUGGCUGAGCAACCAACCCGCACAGGGCUUGAAAACAAUGACCAGCUUCACUGCACAAUAUUUGUAUUAGCAUGAAGAAGCCUGGCACCGAUAAUAUCCGUCUCAUCCAUACAUGCUGAGCUUCCAUUAAUAUUAGCAUUGGCACAGACAUAUAUCAUCUCUCAAGAAGCCCCUGAUAUGUAAAAGCAUGUUGUUGGCGCUACAAUUUUACUGACCACAUGCCAAGCAUAUGCAAUUACUUGGAUUCAAUGUUGAAGCAUAGUUAUAUUUUUUUCACACGAUGUCGAGAAGGAGAAGACCGCAGGCACAAUUCAGUGAAUCAUGGUCAAGUAUUGUCGAGGAGGAGGAGAAGACCGCAGGCACUCAUUUGCUGAAGGAGUUACGUUUUGCAGGCAAUGCAGCAACUUAUUCGGAAGUUCAACACACUGAAUAGUAUUGUCUUCCUUGCAAACUCUUCCACAAGCUGGAGUGCUAACUUGCAUUCCAGGAGUGGGUGAACUUUCUAGAAAGACUGACAUUUUUUUCCGCAUGUUUGGUUCGGGAACCAUGCCCCCUAAGCCCUUUCAUGCAUACUUCUCCAAUAAGAGAAUCACUCCAAGAUGAAGGAACAUCUUGCUCGGCGUCCUCGGAAUUUUGGUGCAAAAAUAUUUGUAAUAUCUUCUGGUCAUGAGCUUCUCGUCAUUCAUGAUCAUCAAAAUAUUACCGUGGUCUGUAGGCUGUAAUGCUCCACGAUUGGUUCCCCGAAAGCUAUGAGUAGAGAUGGGUAGAAUACGGAAAUUCAUGACGCCAUGCACGAUCCAUAGUCCCAGGCCUUCCAAGCACUAAUGAGCAAACACUGAUUUAGAUCUAGUGGAAUGACAUCACGAAUCAUAACAUCACCGUGUCCACAUAAUGAAAACUUCACCUUCACCUUGUGUACGUAUAAACCACGGUUAUUUAACCAUGAAAUAUCUGGCCUCGUAUGAUGCAUCCGCGACAGUCCCAAAACAUUCACAAGACAUUCACUUGCAGCAUUGAUGACAGAGAAUUGAUCCACAAUCGUAGCACUUGUACCCGCAACAACUUCACAGCGAGUGUAGCACAUGGAAAGAUCAGGAUCCACGGUUGGAUCCUGCUCAUAAUUUCGCAAUGCAGUGCCCAGAAUCAUGGUAGCAAUCAUAAAAAAAAAUCUCAAAUAGUACAGUUAACAGCAGAUAUACCGUGAUCAACUUAGCAAAACUGAUACGACCUGAUAAGGACAUGCUUGCUGUGCACAGGAUCUGUCCCAAUCUUUGACGGUACUAAUCACUUACAGAAUUUAGUCUCAAUAGUAUGGCUGUCCAAUAUAUGCUCCCUUUCUAAAUUCAGUUGUCGUGAUUAUUUGCAGACUAGGAAUGGUGAUAGACUAAUCUGAAAAUACUAGCAAAACAGAUACUGCACAAGAUAUAGCUUCUUGUACAGAGCCAAAUAACUGGAAUAUGAACAACAGCAUUCAUAGCUAUCUUCUUUUAAAUCAGGCAACAGCUGGACACUCUUACAGCCACAAGAUGGAAAUCUCCACAGACACUACCGGAAACCUUAAAUUUGCCGAGUGUUUUUUUCGGACACUUGGCAAACAAGCUCUUUGCCGAGUGCCGGGCUAAGAACACUCGGCAAAAAAAACACUCGGCAAAUGAUGGAUUUGCCGAGUGUCAGAAAAAAAACACUCGGCAAAAAGUGGGUUUGCCGAGUGUCAAAAAAACACUCGGCAAAGAGUGUGAUUUGCCGAGUGUCAAAAAAAACACUCGGCAAAACAAUAAAUUUUUUUCCUCUUUCCACCUUGAAAUUUUUUCUACUACCCACAUACAACAUGUGGUACUCCAUGUUAAAGUUUGGUAUAUUUUUGAAUUUGUUUGCUAUAUUUAUUUAAUUAAUUGUAUUUCAAGAAAAUUUUUGGUAUAAGUCAAAUUUGAACUGCAAGUGAUUCAAAUUAUAGAAUAAAAUGAGUAGAAAAAUGACCAAUUUGAGACCUGACCCAAUUUUAAUUGCAUUUCAUGUUAUUGGCCCAAUUUGAGACCUGACCCAUGAAAUAAAAAGAAAUUUCGAACAUCUUGUUCAGGAAACACGACCACGAACGUGUGGCAGUGGUAUUUUUAAAUUGUAAAAAAAACAAGCAAAGUCUGAAAAUCAUGAGAUUUCUCAUGAUGUGAUGAUAUCAUACGUGGAGGCUAUGGAAAAAAUUGAGAAGGUUUUGCAUAUUUUGUCACGUACGAUGUUUACAAACCGACGCAUCUCAAAAGAAGAAUAGUAACGUUGAGAAGGAUUGGAUAAGAUUUGGAGUCAAAAUGACAGUCGAGUUUUGAUUUGACUACAAAACUUCUUGUAUAGUCAAUAGAGAAUAUACAUUAUUUCAUGUGAAUUUUUGGCAAUUUUUUGAAAUUGUUGGAUAAUUUUAUUUUUUUUAAAAUAGCUUUGCCGAGUGUCCUAGGUUAGACACUCGGCAAAGCAACCCUUUACCGAGUGUCACACCUAGGACACUUGGUGAUUUUUUUCCCACACCGCGCAGGACAUAAAGUCCCACCAACCAGCACCGCACCCGGCCCCUCAUCUUCAUAUGUUGUGGAUGGUAAUUCAUUAUUCUCAGGAAGAAUCUUCUUGACAAUGUUCAACAUCCCCUGAAAUGCCUUAUUGGACACACCAUUUUUUGCCUUCCAUUGCACAAAUUCUAGUGUCGUACCUAGUUUUUUAUGGCCCUACUGGUAACAUGGGUACAACAAUUUUUGGUGAUCAUCUAUCAUGCGCUGCAACUUUGCUGCUUCCUUCUCAGUUUCGCAAUCUCUGUGUGCAUCUCGUAUCACCUGACCAAGGUCAUCAGUAGAGCCAUUUUCUGCAAACUCAUCUUCAUCAGCCUCGCCCAUUGUAGUAUCUGCAAAAGCUUGGCCUGCAACCCAGUCCGGAAUGCUUUCAUCUUCCUCCUCCUCCUCGCCAUCUUCCAUUACAACCCCUCGUUGACCGUGCUUGGUCCAAACCAAAUAGUUAGGCAUGAAACCGUAUUUAAACAAGUGGCUGUGAAUAGUCCCCCAGGAAUAAUUUGAAUACUCCUUCUUGUUAUUGCAUUGGAAGCAUGGACAACAUACGAACCCAUUCUCUGGCUUGUUCGCUUUGGCCACUUCGAGAAAAUAAUGCAAGCCAUCAAUAAACACCUUGCUCCACCUGUCUGCAUUAUACAUCCAUUGCCGGUCCAUCUGCAUCGUAUUACGCAUGAAAAUGGAUUACACUUGACAAUGGAUUAUGCGUGAAAAUUGAUUAAAGAUCCAAACAACAUGAUACAAUACAACAACAUGAAGAUCCAAAUAUACAUAUUUAAAUUAAAGAUCCAAACAACAUGAUACAAUACAACAAGCCAUCCACUGGUUAUUAUCUAGGAGGACUUUAAGCAUCCUUGGGCGGUGAAGACGAAGGUUCCACUGACCCAGCCUCAUCCUUAGGUUUAUUUGUGCCGCCUGAACUGGUAGUACUAAGUGGACGUGAAACACCCGGGACUGAGGGUGGAGCAUAACGACCACCAAAAGGAGGUUCCUGACCCGAGGCAACAGCUUCUUCAUGACGGUGCUGCAAAUAACAAAACAUUGCUUUUUCCAACGCGCUCAUUUUCUUCGGCUUAUGCUGAGGGCCAACUAUGAUUUUCCCCUUGCCGAAAGAGGAACCACGACCACCCCCACCAUCACCACUUCCUCCAGUAGCAGAAGCUAUCUAUGUACAAAAACUAUUACCUUAACACUGCAUAAGUUGUUGAACUUGAAGACCGUGAUCAUCUCGUGAGCAUGUCCUCAACUGGACGGCACCGCACUUCGUCAUGAAAGAGGUUCGAUUCUACGGAAAAGGGGACACAGUCACGAUGUCUGUAUCCACUCAUUCUCGUAGAAUCGAACCUCCUUCUUGACAUACGUUGCUGCUCGGCGGAGAACAUCCUCUCAGAGAUGACCAUGGUAUGCAAGUUCAACAAGUAUGGAUUUGAAAAACCAUAUUGAAUUUGAUAAGUUCAACAAGUAGCAGAAACCAUCUAUGUACAAAAAUUAUUUCCUUAGCACUGCAGAAGUUGUUAAACUUGAAGACCGUCAUCAUCUCCCGAGCAUGUUCUCAACUGGGCGGCACUGCACUUCGUCAUGAAAGAGGUUCGAUGCUACGAAAAAGGGGACACGGUCACGAUGUCCGUAUCCACUCUUUCUCGUAGAAUCGAACCUCCUUCUUGACAUACGUUGCUGCUCGGCAGAGAACAUCCUCGCAGAGAUGAACACGGUAUGCAAGUUCAACAAGUAUGGAUUUGAAAAACCUUAUUUAAUUUGAUAAGAUAAACCGUCUAGACAAGGUAGCAUCAUUCUUAAACCACUGCAAGAAUACAUACUAUAUAUGACACAUCAAUCUCUCUUACAUUCUAGCUCAAAAUACCUCACCAUUUUCUACUUCAUCACAUUCUAGCAAUUAAUCUUUCCAUCUCCAAAGCAUAAAUCAAAGCAUAACAUGAGGAUGAAGUAGCAAACCUUCACAACACUUGUGUUGGCUGAGUAAAAUUCCCAUGAAAAUGAGGGAAAAAACUUCGGGCAGCACCUCCCUUGCUUUGUCACCACCGGAGAGUAGGUGAAGCUCAGCUCUCUGUCUAUGUGCUGGACUGGCUCGGGCUGGAGGAGGAAGAAAAGCCUCUGUCUUGGUAUAUAAUGGGAAUGAGUUUUUAUCCCGGUUAAAAACUCCAACCGAGAUAAAAAGGAACACCUUUUAUCCCGGUUGAAAGUUUAGUCCCGGUUGAAAGUUUAGUCCCAGUUGGAAGCUGCAACCGGGACUAAACUUUUUGUGCUGUAAUGAAAAAAAUAUGUUGUUUAUAUUUUGUAUAAUAAAUUUACAAAUAUUUAUAUUGUGAUCCUUGCAAACACUUCCACGAGAUCGAGUGCUAACUUGCAUUCUGAGGGUAGGAGAACUUUCUAGAAAAGCCGAUCUUUUUUCAGUAUGUUUGGUUCGGGUACCAUGCCCUCUAAGCCCUUACAUGCAUUCUUCUCUGGUAAUAGAAUCACUCCAAGAUGAAAGCACAUCUUGCUUGGUGUCCUAAAAAUUUUGGCCAAAGAUAUUUGUCAUCUUCGGGUCACCUACCAUUGAUGUAAUCUUCUAUUUCUUGACACAAGCUUCUCUUCGUCGGCGAUCAUGUGGUGUGCAGGCUGUAAUGCUGAAACAUUAGUCCCCCAAAAUAUAUGAGUAGCGGUGGGCAGAAUACGGAAGCUACAUCAUGAUGCCAUGCACGAUCCAUAGUCAAGGGCCUUCCAAGCAACAAUGUGCAAACACUGGUUUCAAAUGGAAUGACAUCACAAAUCACAAAAGCACAACUCCACACGGUGAAAACUUAAACUUCACGUCAUGUUUAAUCUUAAUACCUUGCUUAUUUCACUAUAAAGUAUAUGGCCUAUGAUUCAUCCGUGAUGGUCCCAAAACUUUCACAAGACAUUCAUUUGCUGCAUUGAUGGUAGAAAAUGGAUGCACAAUCGUAGCACAUGUACCCGCACCAACUUGACAGCGAGUGUAGAACAUAGAAAGAUUAUGAUCCAAGGUUGCAACCUGUUCAUAAUUUUGCAAUGCAUCCCAAUAAACCUCAUUGUAGCUAUCACCAAAUAAAAAAUCAGAAACAAUACAAUUACUGGCAUAUGUACCAUGAUCAACCUAUCAAAACUGAUUUGACCUAAUAAGGACAUCCUUAAUUAAAUCACCACGUGUCCACGGCAUCGGCGGAGCUACUGGGUAUGCCGGGUGGGCCCUGGCAUACCCUGGGACCCAUCACUUUACCGUGAGAAAUCAAGCUGCAAAAAAUGAUUCUCAGGCCCAGCAGACGAUGCAAGGCAAAUGAUGCUCAGGCCCAGCUUUUGGCCCCCCGCUGGUUGUGACUUGCUUGCGUGGAUACGACGUGCUGUGUGCGGACUGCUUGCUUUGCUUGUCUCUAGUACAAGAUUGGCCCACGAUUUGACGCAUCACACCACAUCUCGACGAUUACAACUUCUCCGCCCGCCAGGACUCCUCCUAUCCUCUCACGGCUCCGCCGCAGCGCCGCCGGCCACCGCACCAGGCCACCAGGGACAGCGCGUCUGCGCAAGUGCGCAACUGCGUGGGGGAUUUUAUGCCCGAAAACUUCUGAUGGUCCAUAAGGAAAACUUCUCAUCGUCCACAAACCACAAGGAGGUUUAAGAUGAAUCUAUCUUCUAUUUUUUUUCUUAUUUGAAAAGACAUAUAUUCUUAAAUAUUUUUAUUUAUUUAUGUAUGAGUGCUUUUUUUAUUUCAGUUCGUGAGUUUAUUGAACAGACCGUCAAUCCAUCAACAUUCUUAACUUAAUAUCGUGUGAGGUUGUGAUUUGUAAGUUUUCUAUCCGAAAAUUUAAAACAUGAUUCUAUCGUUACAUGUUUGUUUUGCUAUAAUGUCUAGUUAGUUAUUGUACUUACAUUACAUAGACAUUGUUUUUUCAGAACAGUUGGAUUAUGAAGAGAGGCGGAGAUAUUGCAUCUCUUUUUCAGAAACAUGCAGCAAAGAAGGCAACAGCUGCUUCAAACACUAUCCCAUCUCCAGUUGAAACUUUUGUGGAAGAACAGAAUCAGGAGCAUGAUAGAGUGGUAGUUGAAGAAAUCGCGGAUCCUGUGCCCUUGCCUCCGCCACUGCAACCACCCACAUCACAGCCGCCGGUUUAUGACAUCAAUCGCCUUCCACAUGAUCCAGGUGAAAGGCAGCCCAUUGAAAGUUAUCAUGUUAAUGAUCAAGAUGCAAUUCGAAGAGCAUAUAUUAUUAAAGGUCGAUUCAAACCUGUUAAUCAUGAUUUUCCAUCAAGAAAAAUUGGAGGUAGGGAUCGCCAAUUCAAUUAUGUAUGGAUGUAUAAUCAUGAGUGGCUUGAAUAUAAUAUCAAGAAGGAUUCUGCGUUUUGCUUUAUAUGCUACUUGUUCAAGAAGGGUGCUGGGUCAAAUACAUUUAUUGUUGGAGGAUGGAAUAAUUGGAAUAUACGAAACAAAGCACUUCUCAAACAUAGUGGUUCUAUGGCACACAAUGCAGCUCAGGAGAGAUACAUUAGUUUUAUAAAUCCCAAGGUAGCAAUUGAUUAUCACAUUGAGAAGUGGACUGAUGAGGAUCUUCGUCUUUAUAAGAAAAGGUUGACAUAUUCACUUAGAUGUAUCAAGUUUCUUUUGCAUCAAGGAUUGGCAUUUCGUGGACCUGAUGAAAAUGAAGAAUCUAGCAACAGAGGAAAUUUCAUUGAACUUUUGAAGUUUCUUGCAGGAAAUAGUGAUGAAGUGAACAAGUAUGUCUUGAAUAAUGCUCCAGGUAAUUGCACCUUAACUAGCCCAGAGAUACAAAAGCAAAUUAUUCAUUGUUGUGCCAUAGAAACUAGAAAGAAAAUAAUUGAAGAACUUGAUGAUGAGCCCUAUGCAAUUUUAGCUGAUGAGUCCAGUAACAUAUCACAUAAAGAACAACUAGCUCUUUGUUUACGUUAUGUUGAUAAACUUGGAAGGCCUUGUGAACACUUUAUUGGAGUUGUUCAUGUAGAUGAUACUACCUCUUUGUCACUUAAGGAAGCUAUUGAGGGUUUACUUGUUAGUCAUGGAUUGACUAUGACUCAAAUUAGUGGUCAAGGUUAUGAUGGGGCCAGUAAUAUGAAAGGAGAUAUUAAAGGGCUAAAAACAUUGAUUAUGCAAGAAUCACCUUGUGCGUAUUAUAUUCAUUGCUUUGCACAUCAACUCCAACUAGUUCUUGUUGCUGUUGCCAAGAGAAAUACUGAUUGUAAGAGCUUUUUUGAUCAAGUAUCUAUCUUAUUGAAUAUUAUUGGAGUUUCUUGCAAGCGUCAUGGUAUGCUUCGAACUGCUAGGCUUGAGAAUAUUAAGAAAGCACUUGAGUGUGGUGAACUUGAAUCAGGGAGUGGAUUAAAUCAAGAGAUGAGUUUGCCUAGGCCUGGUGAAACUAGAUGGGGCUCUCAUUACAAAACUAUAUGCAGCAUCAUUACAAUGUAUUCCUCAAUCCAUGAUGUGCUCAUUGAUCUUGGUGAUGAUAUUUCACAUAAGGAUAAUUGGACAAAGAUACAUUUUGUGCUUGGAGCAUUUGAAACUUUUGAGUUCAUUUUCUUUGUGCACUUAAUGUUUGUUAUUCUUGGAUACACAAAUGAGUUAUCAGAGUGUUUGCAGAGAAGGGAUCAAGAUAUUCUUAAUGCAAUCUCCCUUGUUAAUGUGGCAAAGAACAAAAUGCAACAGUUAAGGUCUGAUGGUUGGGACCACUUCCUUGAGAGGGUCACUUCUUUUUGCAUUAAACAUGAUGUUGAAGUUCCUGCUAUGGAUGGUGAUUAUGUGCCGUAUGGAAAAUCAGCAAGGUAUGCCCGUGCUCGAAACCAAACAAAUGAUGAUCAUUUUAGAAGAGAAGUAUAUAUUGGUGUUAUUGAUCAAAUUAGGCAAGAGCUUGAUAAUCGGUUUGAUGAGAUCAAUAUGGAGCUACUUUCGUGUAUGUCAGCCUUCAGUCCUUCCAAUUCAUUUGCUUCGUUUGAUGCACAGAAGGUACGCAGAUUGGCUGAAUUUUAUACUAAGGACUUCUCUAACAAUGAUUUGCUAAAACUUGAAUUACAACUUGAUAAUUAUAUUGAUGACAUGCGACGAGAUGAUAGCUUCAAGGGUCUAGACAGCAUCGUUGAUCUCUCAGUUAAACUUGUUCAAACACGGAGGCACAAAGUGUAUGAUAUGGUUUACUUGCUUCUCAAAUUGAUAUUGCUUUUACCAGUGGCAACAGCGAGUGUUGAAAGGGUAUUUUCUGCCAUGGUUAAAGUGAAAACAAAGUCAAGGAAUAAGCUAAGUGACAGUGUUUUGGAUGAUUGUCUAGUCACAUUCAUUGAGCGGGAUAUUUUCUUCCAAGUGAAUGAAGAAGAUAUAAUCAAGACAUUCAUGUCAUUCAAAAAGCGGCGGGUAAACAAAGGAGACAAGUAACAUUGUAAGUUUCUUUUAUGCUAUAUUUUGAACUAUUUAUAUUGUGAUUUGUUAUUGUUUCUAGCUUAAUCUUUGAAUUUAUCGAAUUGUAAAUGGUUUUAUCGAAUUGCAUAAAAAUUUUUUUUGGCAUACCCUAUGAUAAAAUUCUAGAUCCGCCGCUGGUUCACGGUUUUCUGGUUGCUCAGCUCAUAAGCAAUUGAUCAUGCUUGAUCAUUGUUGGGCCAUUGCAUGUCCAUUGGCAAUCUUGACAGAAAUAAUUGAGCUACCAAUAAUAGUGUUGCACGUGUCUGUAACGGGAUGUACGGCGCCUGACAAUAAUAGGGCACCAUCCUUUCGAUCUGACAGACAUAUUUGUGUUACAUUCCUAGUGUUUGUAGUAUUUUUAUUUUCCGCUCAUGUCUACUGAUAAUUUUGCUAUAUAUGGUGCCAUUCUAAGUGUCCUUUUGUGGUCAGCAACUCGAGCCCCUGCUGGCCACAUCAUAGCUUGUCUGCUGGCCUGGUGCGCGUGAACCACGAGGGGAGGACCACAGUGGGCGCUCAGACAAUGUGCAUUAAGUCUGAGCUAAGCUGCCUUCUUCCUCAUCUUGUUAGUGGCCGUUUGACCCGGGACUAAAGGUCCUUAGUCCCGGGUCUAAAAACAAUCGGGACUAAAAACGCUGGAUAGGAGGUCUCUUAACCUAUCAAAACUGAUUCGACCUAAUAUGGACAUCCUUAAAUCACCACGUGUCCAUGGUUUUCUGGUUGCUCAGCUCAUAAGCAAUUGAUCAUGCUUGAUCAUUGUUGCGCCAUGUCCAUUGGCAAUCUUGACAAAAAUAAUUGAGCUACCAAUAAUAGUGUUGCACGUGUCUGUAACGGGAUGUACGGCGCCUGACAAUAAUAGGGCACCGGAACCUGCAAUAUGUCUGGCCGGAAUAUGCAAUAAAAUCCUUUCGAUCUGACAGACAUAUUUGUGUCACAUUCCUAGUAUUCGUUGUAUUUUUAUUUUCUGCUCAUGUCUACUGAUUAUUUUGCUAUGGGGCCUGAUUGGUUUGUUGCCAAAUGUGCAUGCCAAAGUUUUGCCAAGCCAAAAGUUGAGCAAGAAACUUGCUAAUAUUUUAGUAAGAUAAGUGGGAGAGAUUGCUAAAUUUUGGUAACAAACCAAACAAUGGCCAAAAUAUUAGCUUGCCAAAUCCCUGGCAUGCCAAAAUUUUGGUAGUGAACCAAUCAGGUGCCAUUCUAAGAGUCCUUUUGUGGUCAGCAACUUGAGCCCCUGCUGGCCACAUCAUAGAUUCAUAGCUUGUCUGCUGGCCCGGUGCGCGUGAACCACGAGGGGAGGACCGCAGUGGGCGCUCAGACAAUGUACAUGAAGUCUGAGCUAAGCUGCCUUCUUCCUCAUCUCAUAAGCAGUUGAUGCAUGCCUUACAGUGACUGACAUGGCCCAAUGGCACCAAUCCUGCUAACACAAAAUAAUAUUUCAAUCAUUUUUGGGAAAAAGGAGGGUCCAAUUUUGACUCCAUAUGCAAAAGUUGCGCCUGUUUUAUCGAACACUAUGCAAGUUAUAUUAGGGUUUUUUGGGUGCAUGUUUCAAUUGACAACUAAAGAUUAUCUACAACCAAGGACUCCACUAGACUGGCAAAACGGAAGUGAAAUUUUGUAGUUGAAAACCUUUUUCAUUAAAUUGAAGUCGUUUGUAUAUGUAAAUUGUGACAAAAUGUUCUGGACGGUAAUGGUUAAAAGGAAGCCAAGCAUGGGUGUAGUGGCCUGGCUAGAGGGCAUCACGCAUAGGUUUGAGGUUGGAGGUUUGAAAGACAAUCAAAACACUUGUGUUAAUGGCACCGCAAAAAUGGUUGAGGCAAGGGGUUGCAAACGAACCGACUGUACAGUCGGAUCACAAAACGUUAGUACAAAUUGUACAGAUGCUUGCUUAAAGUCGGUUCACAAACCUUCAGUAUAAAUAGUUCUGUAAUAGUGAUUUGUAGUUGUAAUAUAUCACAGGCCGAAACAUGCAGAUACAGGCAUCCCAGGACAUGCAACGAAAAGGAGAAAACAAGUGAUCAUUUUAUUGGUGUUUUAAACCGUCAUGUAACUCAUGUUUACUUUUGUUACAAGAAAUAGAAAUGCACAAAGACAUUUCUAUAAUACUAUUACUUUGCUACGUGGAAUUGGAACUUUGUAUCUGUGUCGUGGUUAGCGUCACGGUGCGGCAGAGGUAUCUCUGGAGCUGCCGAGCUAGUGCUGGUAGGAAUCUGUGUCGUUGUGGCCUUGUGGCCUUGUGGCAUGGUAGGUGCUCAGCAAUUAAUCGCACGUAUUGAAAACGUGUCUGUGGUCCUAUUGCUCAGCUCACCAAGCUCAUAUAAUGUCUUACACAGCAACGCACAGCAGCCAUGGCGAGCAUGGAGAGCCGAAGCCUCCCCAGGGCAGCAGCCACCUCAAUGGCGCAAGCUAUCGCCAUUGUCUUCCUGAUCUCAACUGUUGUCCAAGAACUUAAUAAUAUAACACCUAUGUCAAAGUUUUCAAGCAUGGCCACAAGCUCGCGCAGGCAGACCUAAUUACCAUUCCGAGGCAGUCUCAACUGUUGGCUCAAGAUCUGACGAUUGCUGCCAUUCCAAUUUCGAUUAAAAACACGUAGUGAUGACAGCUCACUGGAACCCUAACUUCACCCCUUAGGCCCUAAUUUCACUUUCCCCCUCACGUCUCCUCCUUCCUGUCUCUUUAUGUUAAUUUUUAUACUCGAAAAAUGUGAGAUUGAACUAACUGUAUCUCUAGACAUUAUGUAAAAAAAUAUGAAAAUAUCAACAAUAUAGUUUCGACAACCAUUCAUAAAUUAAAUAUUAAUAAUAUGAAAUCGGCAUGCAUGGUGUCGGGUCCAUGGUGUGCUAUCCGUGUGUUAGGCGGAGUGAGACUGAGAGAUGAUGGAGAAAGUAGAGGCCUAGUACACGUCAGUUAUUUUCUGUUACUUUCUUAAUGUUCUUUUUGUGGUUAGGCAUCUGACUGGCACAUCAUAAGUUUGUCCUGGGCUGCUCAGCUCACAUGCAAUUGAUGCUUGACAGUGACUGUCAAAACUAGUGUUGCUCGAUUUGACGGCUUAUACAUGGAUGCCUGACAAUCACAAUGAAACCUCCAUGUUCAAACACAAUCACAAUGCAAAUGCCUGCCCUUGGAUCCGACUGAUACAUUUGUGUACUGACCACUGCUGGCAACAUCAUAGCUUGUCUGCUGGCCUGGUGCGCGUCAACCACGAGGGCAGGACCAGUGACCUGGCAAGGUGAGGUGGGUCGCUCAGACAUGGUGCUUUAAGUCUGAGGUGACUCUGCUUUAUUCGUCUUUCUUUCAACAGUGUUCAACAUCCAUCGAUCAUGAUUUGUGAAGUACCUGGAUUUAUUACUUAAUAUAGCAUUUCUCAUCUAACAUUGCACAAAGACCUUCAUGAAUUCUUGAUUGCUUUUUGGAACGCGGAAAGCACAAUCGUUAUUUUCCUUUAUAAGUUCAUUAAAUGGCCAUGAACCACGAUACAUUCAUAGCUUUUACCGUGUUGGCAAUUUAUAACUAAACAUGGUCUACAAACAAGGACUCCCCUAGACCAGCAAAACGGAAGAGGAAUUUUGUAGUUGACAACCUUUUUCAAUAAUUUUAGAAUAUCUUCAUUUAUUUAUCAAUUCUAGUUUUACUAUCCGGACCAGUUUGUGUAAACGCCAGCACGGGUGCUAAUUAUAUGCGUCGGCUUCAUUAUGUUGGUAUGAUAACCGAUACAGAUGACAUUUUAGCGGUACGGAUGAGGUGCUCUCUAGUUGUAAUAAUCAACUCUUAAAAAUAUAACUUAGAAACUCGUCUUGGUCACUCGUGCUGCUUUGCAAGUUAAGCACUUUGAGUGCUAUAGUUCUUUUUAACAUGUCUACAUUGAUGGAUCGAGUGCCAUGAUUCUUUUGUGUUUACUUUGAAAAGAAGAAGAUGGCUUAGAUUCUGCAUUCAGAGUUUGAACCUACAAGUGUCAAGGGGCCAUACAUUCCUGAUUUCCUGUGUGCAUUGUUGGCUGUUGUUUGCCACUAAUAUAAUACAGACACCGUCGUACUUUCUAUUGGAUGUGGAUGUCCUAUUUUUCUGAUUCUAAUGCUUGUGCAUUUAUUAAGGAUCUAGAAACAAAAUUGACAGCGCGGCUUUCAGUUAAAAUAAUAUAAGUAAUUAGGAGUAAUGUGAUCAAUUCUCACAACUAAUAAUAAUAAUGUGUCUGAUUUUUUUCAAAAAAAAACUUAUUUGGGAACAGUGGGAUCGAGUACUCUUUUUUAGGUGCAUUUAAACUUACUUAUGCUAUUGGAUCAGGGGCGCCGGACACCACUGAAGUAUCACUAAUUAGCUAGUUCACCACGCUCCAAACCAAAAUGGAUUGAGAAAUUAAAAUGGAGCCGGAGGAGCAGUGCCUCGGAAUCGUAUCUCUUCGGCAAGCCAGGGGACAGGCUCUGGUGACGGGGCGCGUUGUAAAAGCCGCUCUUUUUGUCCGGUUCGACCUGUUCUGAAUCUAUUGCUCGAUUUGAGGGCCUAUACAUGUGCAAUGCAACAAUGGUGUUACAUCUCCAUACUCAUCUACCUAAUAGGGCACCGGCACAUGCAAUGCAAGUUCCUGCAUGCCUGCCCAUCGAUCCGACAGAGAGAUUGGUGUUAAUUAGAAUCAUAUUCGUCACUGACCAAAAUUUCCAGAUAACCAAGUCUAAUCAGUUACUGUAUAUGAUACUUUCAUGCUCAUGCCUACUGACCAUCUUACAAGUACUAUAUAUGAGUGUCCUUUUGUGGUCAGGCACUGCUGCGCGUGAACCACGAGUGGACGCCCAAUCAAAGUAACUGUGUCGUUGCGUGAGAUGCCUCCUCUCCUUGCCUCUUAAUUAUUAAGCCAUGUCCAACAACGACAACAACAAUGAUAAUAAUAAGGAACUGAGGUGAGACAGCUAUAUGCAUAAAUAUAAUUCAACAUAUGGACAAACAACAGAAUAUCUAAGACCUCCUAAUGAUCAGAGUUUUAUAUAUUUCGCUUUAUUUCAACAGUUAAACAUAAAUCGAAUAUGAUUCGUUGAGUAUCUACGAGCUUAGAACUUUUAUUAAGCGUUUAGGGCUAUGUUUGUUAGGAAUCCUUUUAUCAGUGAGUGCUGGUUGCUGAUUUGCUUCGAUCCAUGAAAAUAAGGAUAAAUUUGAAAAGAAAGCACAUAGGAAUCUUAGAGACUUUGUAGUGGGCAAUGCCUUCCAGUAGCUUCUCUUCUAAGCUAAAUUUGGCAUCAUAUGAACAAGUAGAAGCUUAGAUGGAUUAAGAGCUACAACUACAUACAAGAUGUUGAAGAAUACUCGAGUGUUUUUUCAUUGCGAAUGACCAUAAACGUUCUCUUCCUCUAGAAAUUUCUUCCAUAGAAAGAGUUUACAAAGAGACGAGCUGUGCACGGAAGACUUUGGUGCUAGCUCAAAGACGGGGCAGCUUGCUGCCUGGACGCAGCCUCGCCAUUUUGAGAACUGGUGUUAAUUACAGAGUCCCGGUAUGGAUGAGACCAAAUAUCUAAGUUGCGAGCGAUAGCCCGGAGCGUUGCAUUUGUGUCAGCAUUAUACGAGCGGAAAACCACGUUGUUGCGGCUGUUCAAAAUUCUCCACAGCACGAUCAGAAGAACAUGAUUCCAAGCGCCUUCAGAAAGGUGUGGGGGCUGCCCGCAGCUCCAUGGGUCUGCCUUUCCCGCGCCAUCAUAGGUGAUCAUCAGAGUAUCCCAAAUUGAAGCAGCAGCAGGACACUCGAAGAAGAGAUGCAUAUCGCUGAUUCCACUACCGUACCGCGCAGCCGCGAGGACAAAAGGCUUCAUCUUCCUUCAGGAUGUUUAUGUAUAUAUGUAAAUUAUCACAAAAUGUUCUGGCCGGUAAUGGUUGAAAGGAAGCAAAGCAUAGGAGGAGUGGCUAGAGUGCAUCACGUAGAGGUAGGCCUGCUAAUUGGAUUGAAAUCCAACUCUAACCCACACCAAUCCACAUCACGUUAAUUUCUUUUUUCAACCUAACUCACCCCAUAUCUAUAUUAUCUAAACCCAAACCGUUGAUAAAACUCAUGGUUUUGCUAUAUAUAUAAACCUAUGGGCUUAUAUAAAAAACUCGUAUAUAUUUGAAAUAAACGUGAGUCCACCAUGUGGGUCCUACGUGAAGAGCUAGACUCUAAAACUAAAAUGUCGUAUUCACACCUUAAAAUUUUAGCGAAAUUGAUCGAAAUUUGUUGGAGAUGACAGAGUUUGACUGCACGCUACAUUAUGCUAAAUAGUAUGGCUAAACAUACAUAGAGAAAUGAGGAAUGAGGUUGCAGGUUUGAAAGGCAAUCAAAACACUUGUGUUAAUGUCACGGAAAAAACGGUUGAGUCCAGGGGUUGCAUCACAUAUCCACCUAGGACCCUUGUGGUUGCAUCACAAUCGCACGUGUUGAAGAACGUGUGUGUGGUCCUAUAUAUUCUCCUAGAGGCACUCAGUCACCGGGGACUUCUAUUGCUCAGCUCACCAAGCUCAUAUAAUACCUAGUAGCUCGAGCACAGCAACGCACGCAGCCAUGGCGAGCAUGGAGAGCCGAAGCCUCCCCAGGGCAGCAGCCACCUCCAUGGCGCUAGCUAUCGCCAUUGUCUUCCUGAUCUACACAACCGCACGACUGGGAGAUGCGGCAUCCGUUGAGCACACGUUCAUGGUAAGUACGCAUGAUCCUGUUUCAUUCCCUUUGAUCGACUUGUCAGGCGUUAAUCGGUUAUGGUGCAACGAUAUUUACAUUGUAUUAUAGGGUGUUUUUUAAGACAAGCAUAUGCAUCGAUAAACGGUUCUAGAAAAUUAUUUUCUAAAUUAAGAUAUGCGUAAUCAACAAAGGCGUACAUUAGUGGUCACGGGUAGAAAACUCACCUUUAGUCCCAGUUGGUAGGGAGCAAAUCUCCCGAAAAUCCAUCCAGGAUAAACCAAUCGAGACAAAAGGGGGGUCUUUUGUCCUGGGUCACUCAACCGGAACUAAAGACCCCCUUUUAUCCCGGUUGGUAAUACCAACCGGGAUAAAAAGGGUCGCCACGCCAGGCGCAGCUCCCAAAAAAAACAAAGAAAUCCCGGGGACCCCCACACGUGAUUUUUCACGCGAAAUAUGCGCGUGCGUGGUGCGUAGCUUCCUUGCCAUCCCACCUACACAACACAUCUAACUAUAUAGGGAAUGCAAUCCUUUUGUAUUAACUCGUGGGGUCCCAGGCUGGAAACAUCAACAGGGACUAAAGACCCCUUUUAUCCCGAUUGGUAUUACAAACCGGGAUAAAAGGGUUCGAGGGAUUUAGUCCUUGCCAUCCGUGGGGGACCAUUUUAUCCCGGUUGGAAACACCAAUCAUGGUAAAAGAUCCCCUUUUAUCCCAGUUGGUAUUACAAACCGGGUUGGUGUUUCAAACCGGGAUAAAAGGCCUUUCAGGGCCUUUUUUUUUCCACUAGCCUUUGCAACCGGGAUAAAAGGUCCCGGUUGGUGAGCCCCCGUCAGUGACCGAGCUUUAGUCUCGAUUCGUGAACCUUUUAUCCGGUGCCAACUUUAAACCGGGAUAAAAGAGGGUGCAUGGAAGGUGAGUUCUCUACUAGUGGAUUCCCUAUGAAUUCUUAACAAUUCAACCACGAUGUAGGUAUAUAUGUAUCCAUGCUUGAUUUCUUGGAACAUGCACAUAUAUCUGUAGGUGAGCCAGGUGAAGAUGACACACUUGUGCAAGGAGACACUGGUCACCGUGGUGAAUGGGCAGCUCCCAGGACCAGCGAUAGAGGUCACGGAGGGAGACUCGGUGACUGUUCAUGUCGUGAACAAGUCACCCUACAACAUAACAAUACACUGGUAAUCAGCUGAGUUCCUACUCAAUACAAUCACUUUUCUUCCCAAGGACACUAAAAAACCUAUUAAUGUACAUUCACUUUGCAGUGGAAAUAAAAUAAUAAGAUGCUUUCCAGUAAUUCAUCAAAAUAGAAUAUUUUAUUUUAUUUCAUCUUUCGCCAUCUUUUUCUUCUGUGUUGUCUGAUGUAGGCAUGGAGUGAAGCAGUGGCUUAACUGUUGGGCUGACGGGGUGCCGAUGAUUACCCAACUCCCUAUCCAGCCAAACCAAAAUUUCACCUACCGGUUCAACGUCAUCGGGCAGGAAGGCACCUUGUGGUGGCAUGCUCACGUCCCCUUCCUCCGGGCAUCACUGCAUGGCGCCCUCAUCAUCCGGCCAAGAAAUGGGGCGAGCUCAUAUCCAUUUCCAAAGCCAGACAGGGAGGUCCCAAUCAUAAUAGGUUCGUGAAUUAUCUACAUCAUAUUCACUAGCUGUGUUACGAGAACAGAACAAACUGCACCUGAUUUUUUAUUGGAAUCUGUUUGGAAAAGAGAGAAGAAUGGACUGUUCCUAUUUGAAUUGAACUGUCUUUGACUUUGGCAGCGGACUAUUGGCAGCUAGACCUUGCACAGGCGGCAAGGAGGAUGAUGCAUGGUUUCUUGUUUUCUUUCGCCAAUGCUUCCACGAUCAAUGGCAAGCUUGGAGAUAUCUUCAAUUGCUCUGGUAAGAAAUUACUUUCUUACAGCAUUGAUGUCCGUGCCAAUGACAUAUUCCUUUUUUCUGAAAAAAGUGUCUGCUUGAAUUCAACUAUGAAGGUGUGCCGGAAGAUAACUACGUAUUGGACGUUGUGCCUGGCAAGACCUAUCUGCUACGAAUAAUUAACGCCGCGCUCUUCGCCGAGUUCUACCUAAAGAUAGCUGGGCACAAAUUCACUGUGGUUGGUGCCGAUGCCAGCUACGUCAGCCCAUACACCACGGAUGUCAUUGCCAUCGCGCCCGGCGAGACAGUGGAUGCCUUGGUUGUUGCUGAUGCGCCCCCUGGAAGGUACUACAUGGUUGCCCUGCCCAAUCAGGCGCCAUUGCCGGACACCCAGACCCCCGAAUACACAACCAGAGGGAUCAUGCAGUACAGCAACACUCACAGUUCUGCUGAUGAUCCAGCAGGACUAAUAUCAGAUCGUGGUGUGGAAGAAGAAGAAGAAGAUAAAGGUUCAUCCGGUGAUGUGCCAGUAGCACCUGAGAUGCCUGAUAUACAUGACACAAUUACAUCUUACUACUUCCACAGCAACCUGACCAACCUGUACCAAACGGUGGUCCCUCAGCGAGUUGAUGAACGUUUGUUCAUCGUGCUCAGCCUGGGUUCAAUAUGUCAGCAUGGCCAGUCCUGCAGGAGGGGUGAUCACAAUGAGACCAUCCUCAUCGCAACCAUGAACAACGUUUCCUUCCAGGAUCCCACGGGGAAGACGCCACUACUAGAAGCACACUACUACCACACUGGAAGCGUGGACUUGAUGCAAGAACUUCCGGACAGACCACCAAGGGCAUUCAACUUCACUGACGAAGCCUUAAUCCCGUAUGGGCCCAAGGAGAUGCGCUUAGAGCCAUCGUAUAAGGCCACGGUGGUGCGUAGGUUCCGGCAUGGUGCCGUAGUGGAGAUGGUGUUCCAGAGCACAGCAGUUCUACAGGGCGAUUCCAACCCGAUGCAUCUACAUGGUCACAACAUGAUCCUUCUUGCACAGGGGUUUGGUAACUUCGACGCCGCGAAAGAUGUUGCAAAAUACAACUUGGUGAAUCCACCGGUGAAGAACACUAUUCUUGUCCCAAAUCUUGGGUGGGCUGCCAUCCGAUUUGUUGCGAACAAUCCAGGUGUGUCUAAGAUUUAUUUGUGUUAGUCAGGUUUCAAAGUCGACGCUGUCAGAUCUAAUGCUUGUCUUAUAUGAUUUACAGGAGUAUGGUUCAUACAUUGCCACUAUGAAUUCCAUUUGACUAUGGGCAUGGCGGCAGUAUUCAUUGUAGAGGAUGGUCCGACAGUAGACACAUCUCUCCCUCCACCACCUGCUCAUUUUCCAACAUAUUGUGGUCAUGACGACAAUCUCCUUCCGGAUGAACUGUGCCUCCAAACUAAGAAGGAUGCAUGAAAUCCCACGUAUAAAUGUAGUCUGAAUAAAUAUUACUGCAACCGCCAGUUAUCAAAUUAAAUAAUGGAUGGCCCACGCUAGUACCUAGAUUCAAGUAUGCAUAUUAAAACUACUGUAUCGUCUUCACUCUAUCAAUAAUGCGAGGCCAAUUAUACGACAAUCUUCACUCUAUCAAUAAUGUGAGGCCAAUUAUACGACAAUCCCCUUUUAUAUCCAUAUAUGCAUAGCAUUCUUUUUUCUAUAUUAGAUUUUACAUCCUGGUGAAUUGCAAUUUUUAUCUAUAACUGCAUGUACUCCCUCCGUCCCAAAUUCUAUAUCGUUUUGGUAUUUCCAGCUACAUUCAUAUAUUUUAUUAAUAGCUUUUAUAAAUACAUGUAGACCCGUGUUAGAGUGGAAGUGACUAGACGAAUAAUUAAUCAUGUUGAAAGUCCCCCCAAACACGAUUAAAAAUUUUCAGUCACCCUUCUGUCGUACAGUCCAAAGUUUAAAGCACGGGAGCUGCAAACAAUUAUUUCACCACCGUUUUACACUUAAGCCAUAUAUAUCCUUCGUACAAAGACCAAGCGGAUUACACAUCACUAGUAGAGAAUUGGUCUUUAGUCCCGGUUGGUAGGGUGCAUAUCUCCUGAAAAUCCAUCCGGGAUAAACCAACCGGGACAAAGGGGGGUCUUUAGUCCCGGGUCUUUCAACCCGGACUAAAGACCCCUUUUAUCCCGGUUGGGAAUACCAACCGGGAUAAAAGAGUUUUCCAAAAAAAAUAGAAAAAAGCACUGGCGGGCGGAGGCCCGCCUCGGCUCCCGCACCACCACUGAGCCCCCAUCCCGCCGCCGCCGAGCCACCGCAUCCUGCCGCCACCCGCACCCCGUGUUGGAGGUAUGCCCUAGAGGCAAUCAUAGAGAUGAUGAUAUUCCAUUUGUAUCCAUGAUUUAUAUUGUGUUCCUUGAAUAUCCAUUAAAGGCUACUUGAAUUGAUUUGCAAUUAUGUGAAUUGUGUAUGAAACUCUUUACUUGUAUGGUUAUUCUAAAGUUGUCCCUAGUCGGAGUUCAUGUGAGGACAGACAUGAAUAUUAGACUAGCAUAUGUAUUAGUUGAUGACUAUGUUUCACAAGUCAUGGAUAUGGAGAUGUUGAACUAAUAAUGUGGGCACAUGUGGAGACAUGUGCUAGGACUGACCCAACACGAGAAGUAGUUCUCUCUUUAAACAACAUAUACGCUUUGUCCUUAGACCUAAGAUUGUCGCAUGUAUUCAAGAUGUGGAUCGACUUACUUAGGGGCUAUCAAACGCUACGCCGUAACAGGGUAGUUAUAAAGGUAGCUUUCGGGUUUGUCAAGAAGCAUGCUAUGAGACAUGGUCAAUCAAGAUGGGAUUUGCCCCUCUCUAAUUGAAAGUGAUAUCUCUGGGCCCCUCGAGUGAUUGGAUCCGAAAAUGCAUGGCCAUGCUACGUACGAUUAAGAGUUAACCUACAAAGGGAUUCCAAAUCAUAGGAUCGAGAAAGAGCGGUUGGCUUGAAACUAGACCAAAUAUAGUGAGGCAAAGGGAAUAGCAUGUAUAUAAUGUUGUGAUGGUUCGUCUGAUAUGAUCUUCGUGUGCGUAUAGGAGUUGGCACGUCUUGCUAGAGGCCGCUACCGACUAUUGGGCCGAGUAGGAGUACUCGGGCCAUGUCUAUACGUAUCCGAACCCAUAGGGUCACACACUUAAGGGGCUGGAAGCCCAAUUCGGAUGUGAUCCGAGUUGGAUUAGGUUUAGAAGUACUAACGGGCCUCGGACCCAGAGGCUCGUUAGGAACCUCUAUAAAUAGAGGGGUGGGGGCGCCCUAGGGUUUACACCUUUUGGCGAAACAAAUCUGUUGCGCCUCCCACGCCCUUGCCUGUUGCAACUCGCGGACCUAGCAGUCCGGCUUGCGAUGCUUCCUCCCUGCACGUGUGGAUACCUUGGAGGUGUUGCGCCUGCAGCACUUGGAUGAGCCACGACGAGCUGCCGACGAGCCACGACGAGUCGCCGACGAGCCACGACGAGCCGCGGCACGAGGGCGAUCUUGCUACACGUGGAUGAGCUGCUGAGGAGCUGCUGGACGUCGACGUGAUCGACUACGUACGACUAUGCUGAUCGACUUCGCUGCAUCGACGCGAAUCUACAUCUUCCGCAUCAUUGCGUCAAGUGGUAAUCCCGUGAUCCUUAUACGGUAGUUUUCCUGGUUUACGCAGUAGAAAGUUUUGAUUUGCGCUAGUGUAGCCUACCUUGUAUCCCAACACGCCGGCACGCCUGCUCCGGCCCCACCGCCUCCUGCUCCGCCACGCGCCGCCGCCUCCUCCGUCGCAUCCACCCGCCGCUCCUCGCCCACCGCCGCCGCCGCCCAAAACUCACCACAACAACACUGACACUGCACCGAGCUCGCCGCCGCCGCACCUCUUACUGCUGCUCCUCGCGCGCCGCCGCCACCGCCUGCAACAAAAAACAGCAAGAACUCACCACCACAACUACACUGACUUGGCCAUUGAGCUCGCCGCCAGCCGGCCACCUCUUACUGCGCUGCCCUGCACCUCGCCCCGCUGUUGCUCCUCAAUGGCAGUGAGGGGCGAGCAGAGGGGGAAGGGGAGGGUAGCAGAGGGGGCGGCAGCAGUCCAGGCUAGUAUUGAAGAACCAGCCACCGGUGGGCCGCCCACAUCAUAUGGUGAUGAUGACGCCUCCUUCAAAAAAAGAUGAUGCCAAUGUGCAUGCCGGUACUGGACGAAGCGAAUACAACAGUUGGUCAGAGUAGUGUUGGCACUACGAUAGCACAACCAUUUCCAUAGGUUCUGUAUCCAUUAAUACUCCAUGCUCAUUGCACAUUCUGGUCAGCAGAGUUGGAGAGACAAAAUAGGUUGCCCAGGGUGUUGCCAAUCCGAUUGGUGGUUUGUUUGAUGGAAAACCUAUCCCACCCCUGUAUGCAUGUGUACGAGUGCUUGAUAUCAAUCCAAACUAUGAUGAUGACGAGAUAGAUAUCCCCACUAUAGAGGGGAUCUAUUGCCUUGGACAAUGAGUCGAUAGUACCAUACUGUUGCAUAAACGAGAGAUACUACUGAUUGGUCCACAACCUUUGAUUCUUGAUGAUCCUGCCUCGCUCAAAACUUCCUCAUGUAUGAAAUCCAGACUGGGACAUGUUCUUGUUGAGCAUCCACUAGUGGAACGGACUUUGGCACCAGAACAACUAGUUCAUGGGAUAAGCAUAUCCUGCCACAUCAGCGAUCUACGCCUCUCAAACUAAGCAAUCCCAUUGGGCGAACCUUCUCUUGCACCUCCUUUCUAUCCCGUCCACCCAUCCUCCUCCUUUAUACUAUCCCUGCCUGUCAUCCAUUCCUACUUUACCUUCUCGCUCCCCCAACCUUCUUCAACCCAAGUGACUUCGGCUCGGUAUUGGUCUCAAACGAAUUUGAUACCGAACAGAUUUAAGUGUGGCUGAGGAUAGAUGUUGACAAGGGUUCUGAACCCAUAACUCGGUUGCCCGAGGUUAAGUCUGAUGCCUCAAAAUCGGAGGCUAGAGGUUGUCACGGGUUCCGAACCCAUAACUUGGUUGCCCAAGGUUAAGUCUGAUGCCUCGAAAUCGGAGCUCGAAGCUGCUAGGGCUUUAGCUGGGCUGAAAUUAAAAAAGCCUGGCAAGAAAACUGGAGUGAGAAUAGUCGAUGCUUUGGAGGAUGAUGACGAUGAAGUCGGUUUCUUGGAUGACAACUUGUCCCUGGUUUCACCUCUGCACGGUUUGCUCGAGGAUAAGGCUCACGAUGUUUCUGCUGAGAAGGAUUCGCAAUCCAAGAAUGUUGAAGAAACAUCGGAUGCUAUUGGUACUGUCCUUCCUAUUAUACUAGAUGCAAAGGAAAUUACAGAGCACGCGGUUGCUACCCACUCAGAAAGGUAAUCUUGAUAAUACAAGUCUGGCUGGUCUUAGUUUUGUGGAUGUUAGCGAGGCUUCUUCUAAAUUUUUGAUGGACUUGCAAAGCACAAUUGGCAAAGUUGGAGAGCCGUAUCAUGAACCCUCAUAUCUUUUGCAUGUAGAUCCUUUGCCCGACAGUCCUGAUCCACCUCAGGUUGUGCUAGACGACAACAAGGAUUUUGGUACAAAUAUCAAGGAGAAGUUGCUGGCUGUCCACAUUCCUGGAGCAGGUGAAGAUAAUGAUCCUUUCAAUCCUCCACUACUAUGUAGAUCGCAUGACUCACUUCGACCUGUAGGUGAAACGGCGAGGACUGUUCUGGGUGGUAAGUUUGAGGGCGAUGUUUCCUCUGAGGCUCUUGAAGAAGGCAAGCUUGCCAAAGAAGAAGAGAAAAAUCUGCAAGUUCCUGAAGCUUCGAGAGGCUUCUAUUCAGAGCGAUACCCAAGGAAGUUUCUUCGAUCUUGAGGCUUUGUAUUUUUUAUAAUGUCUUCUAUUUUUUUUUUGGUUUUUGAUGCCUUUGGUUGCUUAUAGAAUGCCCUUAUUUUGACAGAAUAUGAGAAGUCUUUGCGUUGCUAGGACCAUGAUCACUUGGUGAGGAUAACGACUACCCUCGGUCAUAAGGUAUUGCCUUUCCUGACUUACUGUUAAGAUUUUUACUAUUUGGUAUUUGUAUGAUUUUUCUCAGUUUUACUUGUUUUUCAUUUUUAGGCUGUAAUUGCUGGCAAAGUGGCCAAUGAUAGGCUUCAAGAGAAGGAGAGGGCUGCACUCAGCAGCAGCGCUAGGGUUCUUGAGCUUGAGACUGAGGUUGCGUGGCUUAAAAAGGAGAACUCAGCUUUAGAUGAUCUCAAAGCCUCACUUUCUGAGGAGAAUAUUGAGUUGAAAAAGAACAAGGAUCUUUUUGUGAAAACAUGCAGUGACCUCGUUCAGGAAGUGGAGACCUUUGAAAAGAAUUCUGAAGAUAACCUCGGAGUUUUGGAAAAACUGCGGAGUACCAUUGAGAAAUAUUUGACAACAAAUGCAGCUUUGAAGAAACAAAAUGAGGCACUUGCCAAAGCUUGCGCUGAGAAAGAUAUUAUGAUUCAUACCUUGGGAAAAAAACCUCGAGGAUCAAAAAGGUUUCAUCGAUGGUGCGGAGCAAGUGCUGAAGGCCCGUUUCUCACAGAUUCAUGAUGGGUAUAAGCUUGCACUGGUAGAGUUUGGGGCAGAACCCCUUCCUCUCUCUACUGAUAAGGGAGCCAACAAAAUAUUUGAUUGGAUGGAUCAAUAAUUUGAGUCCUUGCCCUCAGUUAUUGUGGGAGCCAGUGAUUAAGCAGCCUCCUUGUGUUGUGAGGGUAUGCUGAAGCUGCUCGAGGUGGAAAAUUGCUCAGAUUUCCUGAAAUUUGGUGCGCACGGUUACAAGUUUCCUUCUGCUUUAGAAUUCGAUGCACAGGAGACAUCAAAAAAUGUUAAGAUUGUGAAGAAGAAUUUCUUGAAGGAAUUUUGGAAGGCUUCUUGUCACGACUUUGCAAAGCUUGUUGCUCGUGGUCAUCUUUUGGAGGUUCGACUUUUCCUUUUGUCCAUUCUGCUUAAGACUGCUUUUCUUUAUCUUAUUGUGGUUGUUUGUGAUAGGCUAAAGAAUCUGAUGUGAAGGAAAAGAAGCAGAUUGGAGGCUCGGAGCAACAAGAGGUGUAGACUCUAGACUAGGUUUAAUUGGAAACUUAAUCUUUUGAUGCAUAGCUUAGGGUCGAGAACUAAAAUAGUUGUUGGUUGUAAUUUAACCUGCGCAAGUCCUAGGUGAUGGGCCUGCGCAGGACAUACUUCCUCUUCGAUUUCAUCAUGGAAACAUUGUUGCCAGUGGUCAUGCUUGGCGUCUCUUUCGUACUUUUCAUCUCGACGCUAGUUUUCAUGAUUUCUGGUGCUUUUGCUGUGAAUACUUUUCCGUGCAAAGCUUUAUGCUGGGUCACUAUUUUGAGUCCCGCGAUGGUUAUGCACUUGGUAUGAUGGAAGAAAAAAUAUUUGAAGCUUCAACGGUGAAGUCGGAGCCCCUUAGUCCGCAAAGUCAUGAGUUUGAUGAUGCCUAUGUGUGUGAUGCUGCAGAGUUUCGAGGUUCAAAACCUGGUCAUGUAAUCGAAUUGUCAUUCUGACUUAUAACGAAACUGAUUGGAAAAACAUCACCCCCCCCCCCUUGUUCCUUUUUGCGGAGAUUUUUGUUGCAAGAUGUUAUUGCGAGAAAUAUAUUGUGUUAUUUAUUUAAAGGGUUUUCUGUCUAAGUAUCAUAACCCGAGAUGACAAGGAAUAUAUGAUUUUAGUGAGAAACAUCACCCCCCCCUUCCGUUCCUUUUGGCGAGGGUUAUGCUGUUUGCGGUAUUUGGUCGAUGACAGAGGUAUCCUCGAAGCUUUCUAUCUUCCACAUUUUUCCGUGCAGUAGUUAUUGAUUUUGGAAAAAAGGUCCGGAGGUGUUUAACUUUCAUGUGGGAUUUUUAUACACCAGUUUUCUUGUAAUAAGUCAGCAAAAACUUGCUCCGAGUUUUGCGGACUUAGAAAGUUAAAUGACAAGUCGGGUCGAAUUCACAACUCUUGGUUGCUUCGACCAUAGAGCUGUAGAUCCUAUGAGGUUAGAUAGAAUUUUAGACGAGUAUGGUAAUGGCAAAAGCGAGGCUUUGCUUAUGCAAAAACACAAGAUUCGGGUAUUCUUGGAAGCAAAGUUGGUGCUGCAACUUAUUGUUGCUUCUGUCCAACGCUUGCGCAGAAACGCAAGUUUUUUCUCGCACAGAAAUGCGAGGUUUCGCUUGCACAGAAACACAAGGUUUAAGUUAUUCAAAAAGUAAAGUUGGUGCUGCAACUUGUUGCUUUCGCCCAACACUUGCACAGAAACGCAAGUUUUUUUCUCGCACAAAAAUGCGAGAUUUCACGGCAACUUGUUGUUGCUUUGGCCUCAGCAUGCACAGAAAUGCAAUGCGUUCUACUUGCACAGAAAUGCAAUGUAGUAGCCCUUUCGAGGCUUAGUAAACACGAGAUUCGGGGGAAUUGUAUUGCAUUAAAAUGUAAAGGUUUACAUGGAUCGCCUUGUUAAAAACCUUACCUCCAUUGUGGAGCCCCCUAGAUAGGAAAAGUGUACAUUCCAUUUGUAGCAAAGUAAAUGCAGGAAAGUAAAUUUUCUACCCUCGAUGUUGUUUAUAGGCUUACAGGCUGAGGGUUUUACUAUUUUGGUGACUAUGGGUAGUAUUUGCGCAAGUUAUCCACAUUCCAAGAAUGUGGUAACUCUGCUCCUAGCUGAUCUGCAAGGUAAAAGGAUCCUAGCUUGUUGAUGUGGAAUAGGGUCCCGAUCUUCCGAAAGGUUCAGUUAAUCGACGAUUUGGGCGGAGUCGCUACACAAAUCGAUCCGGCUUCCGAACAACACGUUCCGAACCCCGCAAUCGCAGCACAACGUCUCCUCAGGUUAUCGACCAGUGAUGCACGGUUGACCUCGCCAAGAAGGCUAAUCCUUGCCUGCAAAUCGAAGAACACAAGCAAGAAUAAGGAAGAAUGCAAACCAAAUUUGCGGAUGAAUGAUUAAGCUCACGAGUUGGGGUUUUACAAACCGAUGAUGGCGAAACUGUUCUUGACAGAUUAAUCUAAGCAAAACCCAAAACCUAACAAAGGUGACGGCUACUGUUAUAUAGGGGUUAGGGUCGUGGUCGACCCCCUGGACGCGCCCCUAAUGGGCUCAACAACAAUACACGGCCCAAAGGCCAAAAUAAGGCGACGCAGUGCCGGGACAGUUUCUGGACGCCAUCUUGUUUCGACAAUUUCCGUUGACUCAAGACGAAUUUAGGCAUGGGACCAGUGCCAUUGGAAAAAUAGAUGUUCUAAACUUUCCAACCAUAUAUAGAACGUCCAAAACGGAGUCCGUAUGCGGCCUGGGCGUCCAAAUCACUGUGGGCUGCUUCUGGACACCGAGGUGGACUCGAAGUCGACUUGGCUUGGGCCUCCAACUCGAGUUGUAUGUCCUUGCUGGUCCUCCAUGCCUCCCAGCCUCUCUCCACGCAUCUCCUGGUCCUCUCCUUUAUUCCUAAUCAAAAUAUAACCAUUGGAUAGCAAUUUAUUCUUAAAAUCAUAAAAUGAAUUGCUUAGGAAUGAUCUGACCUCUAAAUGCAAUUGUCGUGCGCGAGCUCUAGUGAUUGGACCUUGAAUGUCCAGCGGAGUAUCAUGUGCAUAUGGAGAAGUGAUGUCCUCAUCAUCCUCCCCUGCUUGAAAUGGAGUCAUCCUCGACUCAAGCUCAUCGUUUGCUCCCAAGUAAGGCCUCAAAUCUGAAAUGUUAAAGGUAGGACUAACCCCGAACUCGGGAGGCAACUCAAGUUUGUAUGCAUUAUCAUUAAUCUUCUCAAUUAUCUUGAAAGGACCUUCAGCUCUAGGCAUCAACUUAGACUUUCUCAAAUCUAGAAAUCUAUCCUUUCAUAGGUGCAACCAAACUAGAUCACCCGGUUCAAGUUUAACUUCCUUUCUACCUUUACUACCAGCAAUUCGAUACUUUUCGUUCAUUUUUUCAAUGUUGUGCUUAGUUGUUUCAUGCAUUUGCAAAAUAAAAUCAGCGCGUUCUUUGGCAUCCGUAUGAAUCCUCUCGCUAGUAGGCAAAGGCAAAAUAUCAAUAGGAGCACGGGGGUUGAAUCCAUACACUACUUGAAAAGGACUUACUUUUGUGGUUGAAUGUGUUGCCUAAUUGUAUGCAAACUCCACAUGAGGCAAACAUUCUUCCCACAUCUUCAAUUUUUUCUUCAAAACAGCCCUCAACAUGGUGCCUAAAGUGCGGUUCACCACCUCUGUUUGCCCAUCAGUUUGUGGAUGACAAGUGGUAGAAAAUAAUAAUUUUGUACCCAACUUGUUCCACAAAGUACGCCAAAAGUGACUCAAAAAUUUUGCAUCGUGAUCUGAAACAAUAGUAGAAGGCAUACCAUGCAAACGUACAAUCUCUUUGAAAAAGAGGUCAGCAAUAUGAACAGCAUCAUCACUUUUAUGACACAGUAUAAAAUGUGCCAUCUUUGAAAAACGAUCCACAACAACAAAAAUGCUAUCCCUCCCCCUCUUAGUCCUAGGUAAUCCCAACACAAAGUCCAUAGAAAUAUCCACCCAAGGAAUAGAAGGAACAGGUAGCGGCAUGUAUAAACCAUGUGGAUUCAAACGAGACUUAGCUUUUUGACAUGUUGUGCAGCGAGCAACGAACCUCUCAACGUCUCUCCUCAUUUGUGGCCAAAAGAAAUGUGAGGCCAAAGCGUCCACCAUCUUCUUGGCACCAAAAUGCCCCAUCAAUCCUCCUCCAUGCGCUUCCUGCAUCAACAAAAGACGAACGGAACCAACUGGAAUGCAUAGGCGGUUAGCUCUAAACACAAAGCCAUCAUUGAUCACAAACUUAUUCCAUGUACGUCCCUCUUUACAAUUGAGCAACACAUCCUUAAAGUCAGGGUCAAGCGCAUAUUGUUCCUUAAUUGAUUCAAGUCUAAAAAUACGACAAUCAAGUUGGGACAGCAAAGUAUAUCUUCUAGACAAAGCAUCGGCAAUCACAUUAUCCUUCCCUUCCUUAUGUUUGAUGAUAUAAGGAAAAGAUUCAAUAAAUUCAACCCAUUUAGCAUGUCUACGGUUCAAAUUGUUUUGAGAGCGAAGAUACUUAAGCGAUUCAUGAUCAGAAUGAAUAACAAAUUCCUUAGGCCACAAAUAAUGAUGCCACGUUUGUAAGGAACGUAUAAGAGCGUACAAUUCCUUAUCAUACGUAGAGUAAUUCAGAACAGGACCAUGCAAUUUCUCGCUAAAGUAUGCAACGGGUUUACCAUCUUGCAUCGAAACACCACCAAUGCCAACUCCACUAGCAUCACAUUCAAGCUCAAAGGUCUUACCAAGGUUUGGAAGUUGCAGCAAUGGCGCACGCGUAAGCUUGGCCUUCAAAGUGGCAAAGGACUCAUCUUGUGCUUUUCCCCAACGAAACACCACACCUUUCUUCGUCAACUCGUGCAAUAGCGCAGCAAUGGUGCUGAAAUCUUUGACGAAGCGGCGAUAGAAACCUGCAAGACCAAGAAAACUCCUCACCUGUGUGAUGCUUUGGGGCAGCGGCCAGCUCUCAAUGGCUUCAAUUUCCGUUCCAUCCACCUCAAUUCCCUGUGGAGUAACAACAUAUCCAAGGAACGAAACUCUAUCGGUGCAAAAGAUGCACGUUUGUUUGCUAAGCACUUCUCAAGGUUAGCAAACAAACGUGCAUCUCUCAAAGCCUCAAAAACAGCACACAAAUGCUCCCUAUGUUCAUCCAAAGAUUUGUUGUAAAUUAAUAUAUCAUCAAAGUAAACCACCACAAAUCGACCAAUAAAAGCCCUCAAAACCUCAUUCAUCAAACGCAUGAAAGUACUCGAUGCAUUAGUUAAACCAAAAGGCAUGACUAACCACUCAUACAACCCGAAUUUGGUCUUAAAAGCUGUUUUCCAUUCAUCUCCAAGUUUCAUUCUUAUUUGGUGGUAACCACUAUGCAAGUCAAUCUUUGUGAAAAUUAUAGAACCACACAACUCAUCAAGCAUGUCGUCUAACCUAGGAGUAGGAUGUCGAUAUCGAAUGGUAAUAUUAUUGAUGGCUCUACAAUCAACACACAUACGCCAAGUACCAUUUUUCUUUGGAACCAAAAGCACNNNNNNNNNNNNNNNNNNNNNNNNNNNNNNNNNNNNNNNNNNNNNNNNNNNNNNNNNNNNNNNNNNNNNNNNNNNNNNNNNNNNNNNNNNNNNNNNNNNNGCACUUUGUGCAGGAACCUGCAAAGAAUUUUUACCUGAACCCGAAGGUUUGGCAUUGUAGAAACUCCAGAGUCUGCUGGUCGCGUGCUCACCGGUAGGGGCGUGCGAAAAGAGGAGGACUUAGUCAGCCCCAAAGAUGGCGUCGUACACUGGUAUGAGUUACCAACCUUACUCUUGCCCUGCAACUCACGCCCCUGUAAUUCCUUUUCUGCAAACAUAGCCAACUGAAACAACUGGUUGACAGAGUUGAAAUCCUUAUAAUCAACUAUGUCCUGAAUUUCGCGCCACAAACCGGAAUAAAAACGGCAAAUAGCAUCCUCAUUGUCCUCAACUAUGCCACAAUGCAUCAAACCCUUCUGAAGCUCACCAAAAUAUUCAUGCACAGAUUUAUCUCCCUGAUCUAAGCGCAUCAAAUUCUUACGCAGUUCUCUAUGGUAAGAAGGUGGAACAAAUCUAUCACGCAUAGCAACCUUAAGUUGUUCCCAAGUAGUAGGUGCAACACCCGCAGCAACUAAUCCAGUCCACCAAAUGAUAGCAAAAUCUUUAAACUCACUAGUGGCUUGUCGAACUCUAUGUUGCUCAGGCACAAGGUGGGCACUAAAUUUUUGUUCAAUUGUCAUCUCCCAAUCAAGAUAUCCCUCAGCAUCAUAAUGUCCAGAGAAUGAAGGUAUAGUAAAUUUAAUCUUAGCAUAAGGAUCAUCGGGAGCACGAUUAGCACCUGCGUUCACACGAACACGUCGUCGUAUACGUACCUCUCGUGUAGCUACUUGGUCUAUGUUACCAUGGGCAUCAUACACCACAUCUUCAUCGGCUAGUGGUGGUGGUGGUGGUGGUGGUGGUGGACGGGCUUCCAACACAGCAACCCUGUCAGCUAUUGUGGUUAUCCGUCCAUUCACCUCCCUAAAAAUGUCAGCAAGCCUGAGUCCAUUGAUGGAGUCGGUGACGGCCUUGGCGACCACCUCUGUUAUCCUGGUCUGUGUGGCAUCCAUAAAAGCUUGCAACUAUCCUUGGCUGACACACUCGUUGAAGUCCUUGGGAGUGCCUCCAUCGUUAUCUGCAGCCAUUGUAGAUAGAAAACAGGAAUAAACGGUGAAGGUUAACCCUAAUAAUCUCCUACGCAGGUGUGGUGGUGUCUCUCAAAUCAAACAACACAGCAAAAGGAAACACAUUACCAAGCUCUUACAAGGUUCUUACCAUCAAGGCAAAGGAUACCUGGAAGGCGUAGACCGCGAUUGCAAGGGUCAAGAACCUGUGCUGCGCAGAAGUAAUAUGUGGAGCUAUAGGAAGGCCAAAGAUAUGUGAGUGGAACACAAUUCACUAGCAGAUAGCAAUGCUAAACAAAUGUCCAAAGCUACUUGUCCCUAGUUGCUAGCCUACCCGUGUCCUUAGAACAGUAGUGUCAACAAAUGAGGAACAAGGAUGGAUAUGAAGAGCAACAAUGAUACAAGAUCAGCAAGUAUCCAGCUGCACAAUAUCAGCAAACAAGUGGUUCCUCUCUACGUCCCUCCUGUUGUUUUGUCUUUUAGAACUAGUAGAAAUCAAAUUGUUUUUCUUUUUUCUUUUCUUUUUUUGAUACUUUUUCCUCAGCCAGGAGCACAAAAAUAGGAACACCACAAAGUAUCAGCUCAAUCCGAUGUAAGGUGUGAUCGGUAGAAAAUCACGAGCGUUUCACAAAACCGAUGCUGGAACUUGGGAACUCGAAUCGAUCCCCUUCUGAAUUUUUUUUGAAUUUUUUAAUUUCGGCAUGACUGGCAAAGCUGUGAAUCGUAUGUGCAAAAAUUCGAUAGCUUUCUGGGAAAAAAAAGAACGCCUCAAUCGGAGUUCCGAGCGAAAAGUUAUGCCUGUUUUAGGGAGGACCCUCCGAUGUAGGGUUUUGUGGCGGUCGAGAUGGAAUCGGGUGGGGAGAAAAAGAUGGGAUGAUGGCAGUGGAGUAUGGAUCACACAACCGAACUAAAACACGAUCUAAACCAGCAACAAUGACAUGAACGAGGACACAAACUCAACACUACGGACUCUGAAAAGAAUUAUGCAAAAGGCUACACACGGUGUUGGACUGGGAAAUGUUUUUGGCUUUUCUGUGGACUCUAGGAUGAAUGCGAAAAUAAAUCUAACUAGGGUAAGGGUGAACCUGACGGUAUACCUGAAGCUCUGAUACCUCUUGAUGUGGACUAGGGUCUCGAUCUUCCGAAAGGUUCAGUUAAUCGACGAUUUUGGCGGAGUCGCUACACAAAUCGAUCCGGCUUCCGAACAACACAUUCCGAACCCCGCAAUCGCAGCACAACGUCUUCUCAGGUUAUCGACCGGUGAUGCACGGUCGACCUCGCCAAGAAGGCUAAUCCUUGCCUGUGAAUCGAAGAACACAAGCAAGAAUAAGGAAGAAUGCAAACCAAAUUUGCGGAUGAAUGAUUAAGCUCACGAGUUGGGGUUUUACAAACCAAUGACGGCAAAACUGUUCUUGACAGAUUAAUCUAAGCAAAACCCAAAACCUAACAAAGGUGACGGCUACUGUUAUAUAGGGGUUAGGGUCGUGGUCGACCCGCUGGACGCGCCCCUAAUGGGCCCAACGACGAUACACGGCCCAAAGGCCAAAAUAAGGCGACGCAGCGCCGGGACAGAUUCUGGACGCCAUCUUGUUUCGACGAUUUCCGUUGACUCAGGACGAAUUUAGGUAUGGGACCAGUACCAUUGGAAAAGAGAUCUUCUAAACUUUCCAACCAUAUAUAGAACAUCCAAAACGGAGUCUGUAUGCAGCCUGGGCGUCCAAAUCAUUGUGGGCUGCUCCUGGACACCGAGGUGGACUCGAAGUCGACUUGGCUUGGGCCUCCAACUCGAGUUGUAUGUCCUUGCUGGUCCUCCACGCCUCCCAGCCUCUCUCCACGCAUCUCCUGGUCGUCUCCUUUAUUCCUAAUCCAAAUAUAAUCAUUGGAUAGCAAUCUAUUCUUAAAAUCAUAAAAUGAAUUGCUUAGGAACGAUCUCACCUCUAAAUGCAAUUGUCGUGCGCGAGCUCUAGUGAUUGGACCUUGAAUGUCUAGUGGAGUAUCAUGUGCAUCCGAAGAAGUGAUGUCCUCAUCACCUGUUGCUUCGAGUGACAAUGUAAGGCCCUUCCCAAGUUUCUUGUAAUGGCUAGGUUGGUGGUAUGAGUUGUCUGGCAGCGAGGUUGUUUUUUGCUGGUUAGUUGUCUUUUAACAAGCCUCGCAAGUUCUUACUAAGCUUCGGGCAUCUAGGAUUGUUGUUGGCCAGAAAAAACCCUGUCUCACGGCUAUAUCUACUAGGGCUCUAGUUUUGAUGUGAGAACUACAAAACCCAUUGUGGACUUCUGCUAACAAUUCCUUCCCACUCUCCGAAGUUAUACAGUGUAGCCAAGGAGCUGAGAUAUUUGUACAGCUCACCGUCGACCAUGGCGUAGCCCCUAGCCCUUUGCUUCAUUCUAUUUAGUUCAGCCUCAUUGUAAGUCUUGUAGUGUCCUCUGAGGUAGGACAUGGUUGGAGCCCUCCAAUUGAAUCUAGUGAUUGCAUUUACGACUCUCGGAGCUAGCUCUCUAGUUUAUGGGGAGUGUUUGACCUCAUAGAAUAGAUCAGGUGGCAUGGUUUGAUUUCCGUAGCUGCUUUUACCAAUUUGUCUGCAUCAUCAUUUUCUACCCUUGGGAUGUGCUGAACGGUGAACCUUUUGAAAUAUUUUUCCAUGGCUCUUACUGCGGCUAGGUACUUCAUAAACUCUAGCUCUCUGGCCUCGCUUUCUUUUUCUAUGUGCUCUUGAAUCACUUAGGAAUCUUAUUUUACUAUAAAUACUUGCUGACCCAAUGCCCUCAUUUUCCUUAGCCCCAGACGCAGUGCUUCAUAUUCUGUUGUGUUGUUAGUGGACCUUGCCUUGCCCUUGAAAUCAAGUCUUGCGGCAUAUCUGAUUUUACACCCAAGGGUGACGUGAUAAUUAGUGACACUCCUACCCCCUUGUCACACCAAGCCCCGUCGCAAUGUAUGACCAAUGGAACCUCAAUCUCAUCAGUUUCAAUGUUGCAUGGUGAUGUCCAGUUGACUAUGAAAUCAUCUAGGACUUGUGAUUUGAUUGCACUUCUUCUCUCAAAGUCCACUAGGUUUUCGGAAAAUUCUGAUGCCAAUUUUAUGAUUCUCCCCGAGGCUUCUCUGGUUGUGAGAAGAUCAUGAAGUGGCUGGUUGGUGAUCACCACUAUCCUGUGACCCUCAAAGUAAUGACUUAGCUUGCGCACUUCCAUAAUUACAGCAUAAGUGAUUUUUUCUAGCUCGGAGUAGAACAGUUUUGACCCCGAUAAUGCUUCUAAGGCGAAGUAUACUGAAGUUUGUCUUGGUUUGCCCUUGAUUUUCUUUUCUUGCACUAAGGCAGCACUGACUACAGAGCUCGAGGCUGACAAGUAUAGCAACAAGGGAGAUUUUGGUUCAAGUGGGAAUAGUUUAAUCAGGCUUGUCAGAUAAUCUCUUAGUUCUGCAAAAGCUUUGCUUUGCUGCUCUCCCCAUUCAAACUUUUGGGAGUUUCGUAGUACUUGGAAGAAAGGUAGACUUCUUUCGGCUGCUGUCUAGAUGAAUCUGUUAAGGGCUGUUAUUCUCCUGUCAGCUUUUGCACAUCUUUCACUAAAACAGACUCUUUCAUGUUGACCAGAGCUUGGAUUUUGUCUGGAUUAGUCUCGAUGCCCUUGGUUGAGACCAAGCAUCCUAGCACCUUGCCUUGUUGAAUUCUGAAUACGCAUUUUUCUCCAUUCAGCUUCAGGUUUGUUGUCCUCAGGUUGGUGAAAGUUUUUGCGAGGUCAUGAAUGUGAUCUUUUCGUUUGACACUUUUCACCACAAUAUCAUCCACAUAGGCUAGGAUGUUCCUUCGAAGCUGUGUGCUUAGGACUAUUGCUAUCAUUAUUGAGAAAGUUGACCUCGCAUUCUUUAGCCCCUCGGGCAUUCUGAUGAAACAGUAGGUCCCGAAUGGAAUGAUGAAACCAGUCUUCUCCUCAUCUUCUUUUUUCAUUUGUACUUGAUGCUAACCUAAAAAUAUAUCUAGUAGUGACAAAAUUUCGCUAUUUGCAGCGUCAUCUACCACAUUGUCAACCCUUUCUAAUGGAAAGUCAUCUUUUGGGCAUGCCUUGUUGAGGUCGGUGAAAUCUAUGCACAUUCUCCAUUUGCCAUUUUUCUUCUUGACCGGAACCGUGUUUCCCAACCAUUCAGGAUACAUAAUUGCGCGUAUUAUGUUGGCAUCGGCUAGCCUUUGGUCUCACACCUUUGCUUAUUUCUAACUUGUGCUCUAUUAUAUCUCUGUCUCACAUGUAGACCAUGUGAAGUCAUCCUUGCUCUUGUUGAGGAACUCGAUCAGUUGCUUUUCUUCAUCGGGCUUGAGUUCAGCAUUGAUGAUUACAGCUCUAUCGAGGACAUGUUCGUCUAGCAGUACUCUUUUUGUUUUGCCAUCUACACUCAUUUUUACUUUUUCUUUAUCUCUUUUUGACUUGACAUAUGGUUUUUUCAUCUCCGAGGGUUCAACCUCGCUUGAACUUGCUAAGUGGUGUACAUUUUUCAAACCCGAGUUUGCACCUUUUUCAACAUCCGUGGCUAUUUGUUGGUCACCAUAUAUUGUGAUAACUCCUUUCAGAGCUGGGAUCUUCAUACAUAAGAACAACUGCCUUAUGCAACAUCGAACUUGUUGAUGAAUCCCCUUCCAAAGAUAGCAAAUUAUGGAUAGUACAUUUCCACAAUGUUGAACAUUAUGUAUUCCAUUCUGGCAUUGUCUAGGUUUCCAAAUGAUACUGGUAAUGUAAUUUUCCCCAAGGCUCGCUUUGGCUUUCCACCAAAACCAAGUAAUGGUCUUUCUGCUAGCUAUAGUGCUUUCCCAAUUGUCCAUCCUACAACAAUAGCCUUGAUUACCAUCGGAUCAUUAUGCGAGGAUUUUUUGAGUUUGAAGUCUUCUUUAGUAAAGGAGAUUGGCAUGUGUGCCAAUUCUAGCUUGGCUGGUGGCCCAUCACGGAUGAUCGAAUGGAUUUGUCUGAAGUAAUUUUGCCUUUGCUUCUGUUUCUCAAAUUCUAGCGAAGAUCCACUUGCUAUUGGCAUGGUCAUGCCAUAGGUGGGCAAAAUGUUGGACUUGGUGUUUUGGGCAUUUUCAAACUCUUGUGAGGAGCCCCCUGAUAUUGGCAUGAUCAUGUCGUAGGUGGGUAGGGCUUUGGGAUCACUGUUUUGGACAAUCUUUGGUUCAACCUUAGGUAUUUGAUUUGGUAGGUUUGGCAGAGGUAGUGGUAUUUCUUGCAGAGGCUGAGGUGGUGGGAAUCUUGCAGGUUGCAUAGCUAGCUUACUUUGAGAUUGAAACUACGGCAAUGGUUGCCACAUCAUGGUGGGUUGGUAAUUGAAAGAAGGGUUCGUAAAUGAACUUGGGAGGGUAGAUGUAUGAAUGGUGUUGGGGUUUAUUUGUGAGUAAACUUGGCAGUAUGGCUGUUGUGGCCAGAAAGAAGUGUGAGGAAUGGUUUUUGGCGCUGCUGUUGUAGCUGCGGCUUCUCUUUUUUUCCUCUGCUAUCCUUUCGAAGGUCUUUUUUUGUUUCUGGAUAGAAAUCGAUUGCGUGGUCUAGUUAUUUGCCGUGAAAUGUGCAAUAGGACAUUCAAGGCUGGUUGUUUUGAUUGUGUGGCCUAGGAGGUCCUCUGCCUCGGCCCCUUCCUCUGCCUAAGUGGCCUCCUCUCUACCCAUUGCCAUGAUUUGUCUGUUGUUGUGGUGGUUGCCCAUUCUGAUUUUGGCUUUGUUGUUGUGAGGGUUGAGCACCCUCGAUCGGUAGCACAUGUUGAGCUGUAUAUGGCUGUUGAUGUUGUGUGAAAUUGUAUUUUAGGGCUAGCCAGUUUUGAUCUUUCUAGGUUGGCCUUUGGCGAUUCCUCUCCAUUACUCUUUCCCUAUGGUCCUCAUCUGACCUGCAAUAUUUUCCAACUCGACGAACGAGCUUCCAUGGUUUUGGAUUUUUCUCUUGUUAGGUGUGAGGCUGUCGGGGAUAGUGUUAGCCCUUUUAUGCAAGCUGAUAUGGCUACGCUUUCAUGCACAUCUAAGGUUUAUGACUUCAAUUGUACAAAUCUUUUGACAUAAUUGGCUAGAGGUGCUGGAUGCAAUGGAACAAGUCUCCCGAGUCUAUUGUUGCACGAUGGAAACCUUGGAAGUCUUGUAACAACUUUGUUUUGAGAUCGAUCCUGCUAUAUACUAACUGCAGUGGGAGUAAUGAGUACCAGUUCAGCGCGGCACCCUCACAGGCUAUGAUUAGGGACUUGGCUAAGACUACGUCAUCUCCUCUAGCUAAUGCUACUGCGGCCUCAUAGCUCAUGAGGAUUUGACGAGGGUCAUUUUGCCCAUUGAACUUUGGCAGUGAGACUAUCUUGUAGUUUGGAGGCCAUAGAGCUGUUUGUAGGCCUAUAGAUAAUGGAGAGCUUUGGUCAAUUGCUAUGUAGGGACCUAUCAUCACUAGCAUGUUGUGUCCAGCGAGGUUUGGAUCCAUUUGCAGAAUGUUUUCUGUGUUCAUGACAUGUUACUAUCUCGAAGGUGGUGGUUGUUGUUGUGGUUGCGUGUUUCAUUAAUAUUGCAACUCAUCCAACUCUUCUUGCAAUUCUGCCAGCUGUUGUUUUGCUUGAUUUAGUUUUGAUAUUUUUUGGGCUGCUAGAUGUUGGGCUUCUAGUUCAUGAGCAAACUUCUGUUUUUCUUGUUUUAGAGCUUCGAGUUGCCUUAGCACCAAGGCCAACUCCUUUUCUGUUGCACCGACUUGAUCGUUUCUUAUGCUUGACUAGGGUUAUGCUAGAUUUGCUACUUCUGCCUUGGCUCUUUUUUUCACUUCUUGUUCUUAAGUUAGCCUCGACUCUCUUUAACUUCUCUAUAGUAUCUAUGUUAUUCUGAUCAACAAGGACAAGUAUUCUCUCUUGAGCCACAUGAUUCUCUCUUUCACCCUCGGCGGCUCCCUGUGGUGUGGUCUUCUUUUUCUUCGUUUGUCGCAUCGUGGGUUGUUUUACGGCUAAAACCACGGUGGGUGCCCUAUUGGUCUCAAACGAAUUUGAUACCGAACAGAUUUAGGAUUACAAAGAGAACAAUGUACACUUCUCAAUUGGAAAAACCGAUCUCCCUUUAUAAUGGGGUAGGGCUCCCCUUUUAUUGUGACUCAUGGCCUACUUUGUAUUCCGUAAGUACCCUCGUUCAACCACUAUAUUCUUAGGAUAUGCCGUACAUAAAGGUCAUUGGGGAACAUGUGUACAAAUUGAACUUCUCCACAUGUUCACAUUUAUCAUGUCUUCCGCCUGUUAACCUCGAGACUUCAAUUGCAUCCUGAGACAGUCAUCUAGCCUUCAAGCUUCAUUCGCAUCCCGAGCUGGGCCCGUAGCCUCGAGGCUUCAGCUUCUCAAAGUCAUGAUGAAAGGUCUUAACCUUGAGCAAUUCCUCCUCGAGCAUCAUUCCUGAGUAAAGAGUAAAAAGAUGAAAGCUCGGUGUCCAGAACCAACUCCAAACACUCGAGGGUUAAUCCAAUGGAAGUUAGUCAUUAUUGUUGUCGAUCGCUACACUCGAGACCUUCCAGGGGUAGAGGCAACGCGAGGAUACAAGAUUUACUUUGAGGUGCCUCGCACAGAACAUGCAAGGUCAAAGGGGCUCCGCUUUCCUUGCUACCGAUGCGCAACUUGCGAGGUUAGGCUUGGAAUCUCCUACCGACAUUCGAGGGUUGCUGAGUUUUUAAGGAUCUCCAACACUCGGCCUUCUUCUUUAUACUAUAUAUCCCUACCCAUCCUCCUUUAUAAUAUCCCUGCAUGCAGCCUGCAUAGGGAGACUCUCCUUUAUACUAUCCCUGCCCAUCCAUAUAUUCUUAUUGUACCUUCUCUCUCCUUGUCACACCCGGUUUUUAAAACAAAAUCAAGUAUUAACUAUAUGUAUGCCAGGAUCAAGUUUCAUACAUAUAGUGACGCCAUAAGUGAAUAACAGGAACAGUAUCACGUAAAAAGAUACAAAAAGACUUACAAGACUAUCAGAGACACACCUUAAACCUUGGAAACGAAGGCUCCAAACAUCACAGGCACUCGACUGGGGGUUGCGUACGCCUAGAACUCAGCAGCAUCUUUAGAACUUCACACCUUCUUCUUCUGAGCAGCAGUUAGCAAGGGUGAGUACACUUAUGGUUGGUACUCAGCAAGGCCAUAGGAACUAACCGGAAUUAACGAUUUAAGUCCAUCUUCAAGUUUAAUUAAUCAUGUGAUGGUCCAAGCCGCUCUUAACCGUGAGCACAGCUGAUAUAUCAGUUUACACUCUGCAAAGGUUGUACACUUUACCCACAACUCAUGGUCCCCCAUGUCGCCCGGGUUUGCAAAGCCCUUAAACACUUCCCUUGGUGAGUGGCUGGGGGUUCCACUACGAAGCUUUUACAAAGACAUAUAGACAACUAGUAGCCCGCUAGAGUUUCAGUAGCGAUGUGGGUCACAACCCAUUGUAAUGAGUCAGCACCUUAGAAGGCUACAGCUCCGGGUCAUACCCCCAACACCUUCCCCCUCCUUGCCCUUUUGGUAAGGCCACUAGUCAACCAUAUGCCUAAUUAGUCGGCUAAGAUCAGAGCCAUGUGAUGUUGUGGUUGUACUGUUUUCUUAGGUGGUUCUCCAUGUUCCAAUUAACAUUCUCAUGGUAUUGUGAAUAAAGCAUAGGUAGAAGGAUGGUUAGGGACACUUGCCUUUCUCCAACGUCAAGUUACACUUAUUGCUCUUCAGUUAUUGCUAUCUUGAAACUCUUUAUCUUCAAAGUUUCGAACGAUGAUCCUUCUAAUCGAAGCAAACAUCGGCAACAAACAAUAAGAGCAACUAAGAACAAUACACCAAAACAAAAGAAAGACUUAAAACAGCGUACUAAAGGACAAGGCUCGAUCUAAGGAUCACGCAAACGCUUAAAAUGAACUAUCGAGAGAUUUGAUGUAUAAAAGAAAAGACAAGAGCUACUUGCUUCAUUUAUUUUAGUUGAGAAAACAAUUUAAAGAUAUUUCGGAGAAAUACCUUUAGUUGGAAUUAAUCAAGUCAUAUUUAUAUUUAUCUAAGAAAGACGAUGUAGUGCCUAGUCAAACUUUAUUUAUAAAUAUUUAUGUACAAAUUAUGCAAAUUAAAUAUUUAAUUUUAUAAGAAACAUGUAAAAGCAUCUAAGCGUAUAACUUUAUAUUUCGAGUUCAACUAAGCAUAUUAUAUUAAAAACACAUUUAUAUUUAUAUUAGCCAAAUUAACAUUUAUUUAUGAAAGUUCGGGUUAUAACCUAUAUAGCUUUUAUUUAGAAGACAAAUUGAAUAAUUAUUAAUCAAAUUAAAUUUAAUUUAAGAAAAGUUGAGGUUUAACUCUAAAUAGCUUUUAAUUGUAAGAAUUAUUCAAAUAAGUGUUAAUCAAAUUAUCUUCGGUUUAUGAUAAACCGGUGUAUAUCCUAAUUGGCUUUUAUUUUGGAAAGGUUAUGAAAUAAGCAUUAAUCAAAUUAAUGUUUAUUAUGAAAAACAGUGGAUAACGCUUGGUAACUUUUAUUUAGAGAAACACAUGUUCAUUAGGUAUUAAUAAAAUUAAUAUUAAAUUUAUUUUCAAAUACAUGAAAUGUAGGAUGACAUCAAUACUAACGUGUACUUCAUGUGUGUACUUCAUGUUGUUAUGAACCUAACGCAACUUGAACGGAUUAAAACGGAACUAAAACGCAAAAACUACGGACUAAACAAGAUCUAGUGACCUAAACGCAAUUAACCGUAGAUCUCAGGGGUUAGCAGAGAAGAUUACCAAGACACAGGAAACAAGGCCCACGAAAAGAUGAAAACCAAGGGUUAGAUCUGCAAAAGAGUAAGGGUUGAAUUAGAUUGAAGGAAUCUCAAUGAUUCAGGGUGUUUUCUGUGAAAGGUACAAGACACAAGAACAGGUACUGGGAUUAAAAGAUUCUUCAGGGGUUUCAAUGCAAAGUCACCUUAUCUCUUCUGCUGUCUCUCAUCUUUCUCUGGUUUCUUCCGUCCGUUCACAAUGGUGACCGGGAGGGUGCUUCCGGCCGGCGGCGACCAGGCGGGCAGCGACGGCGGCCGGGCCAGGGAGGCAGGGCGCGCGCGGCUGAUGCGGUUGAGGCGCACCGGGCCAGGGAAGCGGCGCGAGGCAACGGUUGGCGGAGAUGCGGCGGCGGUUGGACGGCGUGGUGCANNNNNNNNNNNNNNNNNNNNNNNNNNNNNNNNNNNNNNNNNNNNNNNNNNNNNNNNNNNNNNNNNNNNNNNNNNNNNNNNNNNNNNNNNNNNNNNNNNNNUCAGGUUGGGCUGGUGGAAAGGAGAGAUCCUGGGCGGGUUCGUGGGCUCGGCCCGUUUAGAAAGAUUUUGAUUAAAUAAUUUCAGUGCAAAAACAAAUCUAGAAACUCCAGAUGAUGUUUUUAGAGCACGAACAAUAUUUAGAAAAUUCCAAAAAUUCUGGGAAAAAUCCAUAGAUUGGGACAUAAGGAAUCCAAAUAAAAUAUUUGGAGCUUAUGAAAAGAAUUUGAGAACCAUCCGGAAAAUUGGAUUUAGCUCAAGGAUUAGAAAAAUUGGAAAAUUCUUAGAAGGGUCUAAUCAACGUCUAAACGCAUUCUAAAACUUUUUCACUCAUGAAACACCAAAUGCAUCGGCAUGAAUGCAUAGACAGAGAACACAUUAUUUAAUUUAAAAAAUAAAUAAUUAUUUUUCCUAUACUAAAUUUCUUGUAAAUAAAAUAAAUGUUGGAAAAAUUUAAAAAUUAUGAGAAAAUUAUUUUUUAAUUAUUUAUUUUAGUCACAUCCUGAAAUUUUUGAAUUUCCGGAUGUGACACUCCCCACAGCCUUCGACGCUAGGUCCCUCCUUGGUGGCGUUUGGCCUGUGUGUGCAAUGUGCGUGGGCCCACAAUGCUGGAGGACAUUGCGGCCCAGCUUUUUUUUAUUUUUUAAUCAGUUUUCAGUGCAGGGUGACGAGGUAUCCCGCCUCUGCAACCGUCAGCUUGUUCGGCUGGCUGCUGCUGCUCGGCUCUCUGCCGCAGUAGCUGCAGCACACAGCAGCUCUCUGCCGCAGCAACCAGCCAGCCGAACGAGCUGUGUAUUUAUUAGGCUGGACUGAGUCCUGCCCUACAGAUGCCUCAUAAAUGCAAUUUUACCUGGUGGUAAAAACGUUUUUUUUUUAUGUAGUGGUGGCGCUCUCGAGUCUCCACAAAUGCAAUGAACAUGCUGCGCCUCCCCUCGAUCCGACAGAUAUAUUAGUGUUGUUACAAAUCCUAUUUUUGUGACCAAAAGUUGCAAACGGUCAAGCACAUUUUAGUUAUUUUAUUUUACUUUCUUAGUGUCAUUUUUUUGUUGUUAGGCAUCUGAGUGGCACAUCGUAAGCUUGUCCUGGUUGCUCAGCUCAUAAGCAAUAAUUGAUGCCUGACAGUGACUGUCGUUGUUUGACCUGUCUCCACUGCUCGCUUGUGAAUUAUUGGGCCAUGUCCAAUGGCAGUCUUGCAGCUGAUUAGGUGAGGCAGCAAUCUUUUUGAGGGCCUAUAUGUUUAUGGACCAUUCUAAUUAAGUGUCCUUUUGUGGUCAGCCAUCUGAGCCACUGCUGCACAUAAUAACCACGAGGGCAGGCCCAGUGGACGCUCAGGCGCGUGCGUUAUGUCCGACUAGCUAGCUAUGGACAAAGGUCAAGUGAAUAUAUUUAUUUAUUUUUAACAUUACAAAUAUUAGACAUUUCAUGUUUUUUUGGUACCAAAAAGUUUUCAAGCAAGGGCACACAGCUCACCUGGAAUCCUAACUUCACCCUUUGGGCCCUAAUUUCACUUUCCCUCUCAUAUCUCUCCCUUUUCAAUCUCUUUGUGUUAAUUUUUAUCUGAAAAACGUGAGAUUGAACUAACUGUACAUCUCAAGACGUGUGAAUUUAAGAUAGAAUAUUUCAAAAAAAAAUAUAAAAAUAGAUCUUCAAUUAUGUAUAAAAAUAUUAACAAUAUAGUUUCAACAACCAUUCAUAAAUUAAAUAUUAAUAACAUGAAAUCGAAAUGCAAGGUGUCGGGUCCCUGGUGUGCUAUCGCUGUGUGAGGCGGAGAGAGACUGAGAAAGGAUGGAGAAUAUAGAGGACGGAAUGCAUUGUGAAAGCGACAUGUGAUUUUUUGCCCAUAGCCCCUGCAUGCUACUCUCACUGUCCAAUGAAAGAGUGCAAUUUUUCCAGAUAGAGGUGGUGUGAAAAGACACUCACAACCACAUUUAUUGACCAACUCAUAACCACAUUUAUUAACCCCAUGCAGGAAGUUUUGGCAUGCAAAUCAAAUAUAGGUAGUUACAUCUAAUUCUUAGAAUUGCACUCUUUUAUGGGAUUCUUUUCAAACGCUAGAACGACACAUAUGAUGGAGUAUAUACGUGCGCCUCAUGCCGUCACGUGGUGUGUGCUGACUAGACUAGGUGCCGGGGCCGUUUUGGGCAAGGUUUUAAGAUUGAUAAAGUCGAAAUAGAUGCUUCACCAUAGACGACGGUCACCUAGGUAAGAUACGUAUAUACGAAUGCACCACGUCAAUGCAAGACCAGUGAUGUACACGUUUUGAGCUAGCAACAAUGGCCUUUGUACACGUUUUGUCUGUGGCGGGAUGUAGGGCGCCCGUGUGUGAGCACACGCAAAUGCCUCCCCUUGGAUCCGACUAGUAGAUUUGUGUACUGACCACUGAUGGCAUAUCAUAGCUUGUCUGCUUGCCACAUCAUAGCGCGUGAACCACGAGGGCAGGACCAGUGACCUGGCCAGGUAAGGUGGGCGCUCAGACAUCGUGCAUUAAGUCUGAGGUGACGACUCUCUGCUUUAUUCCUAUUCGAGUGAAUUUUCAAAGAGAUCAUUUGAGUCCUUCAGCUUUUAAAGUGGUUCAUUUCACGUGUAAAUUCAGGUCCGUGGUUGGACCUCGAGUAAACAGUGGUUCAUUUCACUCUUUCUGUCAACAGUUAAACAUGCAUCCAUCGGUCAUGCUUUUGUUAAGUACCUGGAUUUAUUACAUAAUGUAGCAUUUCUCAUUUAACUAUUAACAUAAGGUUUCCAUACACUGCACAAGACCUUCAUUAACUCUUGAUUGCUUUUUGAAACGCCGAAUGCACGAUCGUUAUUAACAAUGAGAUAUUUGUUAGUUCCGGUGCUAACAAGUAGGCCUAACCAUGAUACAGGCCCAAGCAGGAGAUAAAAGGAAUAAGAAAAAUAGAAGAAAUGGGUAUUUCCUACUGGCAUAAAUUCAGAUAGAUGAUACAAAAGAUAUGUUAACCCUGAAUAAAUCCAGGAACAAUGAUAAGAAAUUAUGCUAAGCAACCAAAAGUUAUAUGCAGCAGCAUGAAUGUAACAUACAAAAAUAUAACAUAUGAUUCUUUGAAUUUAAUUUAGAAAACAAUUAUUUUACUACACUAAAUAUCUUGAUAAUACUAUAAUUUUUCUAGAAUUAAAUAAAAAUAGAAAAUAUUGCAUUAAUUUACCGUUAUCAUUCACAUUCCAAAAUAAUAAAUUUUGGGUUGUGACACUAACACAUCUGACGUUGCUGCAAAUUAUGAUAAUGAUGCACCAUGUCAUACAUUGCUUUGCAGAGAUACUUUCUUUUGACGUGGUCCUAUAUAUGUCUUGCCAUUUGCUUCGGCUGUCACCAACUUUGUUUAGGAAAGGAAUGAUGAUAUGGAGUUGAGAGGGCAACUGCAAUUCAAAAGAAAGGGAGAAUGAUGAGAACAUCAAGCUACGCAUGAUCCUGCAUCAGUGUAUACCGUUGGUGCUUGCCGUUAUUUUGCCAUUGUAAAAGUGAACCGUGGGCGCUUGUGUUACAAAGCCUAUUUGGCAGGGAGCAAAAGUUGCAAACAGUCAAGUACACGUCAUUUAUUUUCUUUUACAUUCUUAGUGUCUUUUUCUAUGGUGAGGCAUCUGAAUGGCUAUAGUGAAUGAGGCCCAUUAGAUCAUAAUUUAUGAUUUCGGUGAUUGAGUGACAACAUAGUCAAGGAACUAAUAGUUUGUAAAGCAUGUGUCAGUCCCAAGUGUGCAAAUCAAAUAAUGGCAAGGUCCAAAUCAUGUUAUUCAAGUAUCCAAGCUAUGGUAUUCAAGUGACCAAGCCAUGAGGAUACUUAGAUUGGUACUAACUUGAGAGUUUCAGAUUUUUCUAGAAAAUCCUCCGGAAUAUUUCGAAGUUUACAGAGUUUCGGGAGCAGUUUUGGAGGUCCAGAGUUUUUCAAAAAGUUUUUGGGAAGAAUCCGAAGGUUCUGGAAGUUUCCGGAAAAAGUUCCGAAAAAUUCCGGAACUUAACCCCCAAUGGCUAAUUUUGGGGUGAAGGGGUAUAAAUAUCCCCUCACCCCCUCCCAUAGUCUCUCUCUCGACCUAACAUUGCGCUGAGCCUCUAAAUAUCAUUCUAGUCCCCCUCUUUAAUCCCGUUGGUAUUCUUAGUGAGAUUUGGUGGGGAUUUAAUGAGGGAUUCAAGGGAGAGCAAAGGGAAAGUGCUAGUGAGCUGAUUUUCCAUCUCUUGAGCACCUUGUUUUUCGUCAAGCUGGUGGUUCCGCGUUUGUUACUCUUGGAGCUUCAAGCUCCUAGCUGGCUAGGCGUUGCCCAUGGAACAUCCAAGGAGUGUGGUUGCCUAUAGGAAGUUUGUAUUACCCCGACGAUUGAGUAAGUGACUCUAGCUUGAUCUUUGUGGUCGCUAGAGGGAGGAAAUUUGCUUAGGAGUGAAAAGUCCACCCGUCGUGGAUCCUCAACGGAGACCUAGGCUUCAAGGUGUGAAGCAGAACUUCGGAAAACAAAUCCUUCUAUCUUUUGUGCUUGUUGUUCUUAAAUUGAUUCAUAUUCAAGCAUAGACCAUAUUUCUAGGGUUUGUGCUUGAUUUACAGUUCUAGCAAGUUUCCAGCUGUUCUAUCUUGUGCCAAAGGCCUAGAAUAACCUACUACUUAACCUAUUUUUGACGAUUUACUUUUCAGCAAGUUUUUUCAAAAGAUUGUAGUUUAAAUCCUCUAAUCUCCGGCGAUCUGAAGAUUUCUCCGAAAGUUCCAAAAGUUUCAAAAUUUCCGGAACAAUCUUCGGAAGUCGCUAAUAAACUUGUUCAAAGUUGUAAAAAAUUUUAGGUUCGACUAUUCACCCCCCCUCUAGUCGACAUACUAGAUCCUUUCAAUUUGUAUCAGAGCUUUUGUUUCCGGAUUAAAGCUUAACCGCUUGGAGUAUCGAGAUGUCGACAUUGGGAAGUCAAGAGGUGCGUCAAGGAGGUGAUGUCUCAAAUCCAAAUAUCACUCAACAACCCGUGGUGCCACAAGGAGCACAAACAGGUGCUCAAGGAGGACGUGUCCGUGGAGCAAGCACAAGUGCAAGAAGGCAUCAAGAAAGCAAAGAUUCCUCCGAUGACGACUCCGAGUAUGAUGAUGCAAGAUCAACCCGCUCCGGACUUUCUGGUCCACGAAGGGAGUUUCACCAAAUCCCUUUCAAUUAUUGUCGCUUCAAUUUUAACACCUCAUCCGGGUCUAUCAACUUGGGAAAGCCUCCUCGCUUCGAGGGGAAAGAGAAGUCGUCUUUAAGUCGUACUAUCCCCCAGCUUGGGGAUCUACCAGAUAAAGAUGCUCAAACUAUAGCAGCAAUGCGCUUAGAACAACAAAUCCAUGUCAUUGGAUUUAUGAAAGAUACAGGUAUGUCUCUUGCUGAAGUUCUAGGGCAAGUUGAACCACCAGCUCCAGUGCCAGUUGUAGCUAGAUGGACCUUUGAGCUAGGCAAGCCUCUAGUAAGGCAUGAGUUGGUACGGAAACUAUCCAUGAAGAUGUAUGAUUUCCAUGAAUGGUACAUAAAGCAGUCUGCCAACGAGAGGCAAAUGUUCGGUCUUUGAGUUAAACCGAUAGAUUUUUUUAGCGAAGGUGACAAAGUCUUGUGGAUGGAAUUCAAGGAUAUAUAUGAAGUGUACCAUUAGGAUGCCCUUGACGUCUCUCUCAUCAGCGCCUGGCUUCUAUAAGUGUCUGUUUAUCUACAUGUAAAUUUUAGCUCAUAUCAUUAUUUUUUGUGCGUGUGUCGCCUACUAACUUCGUCUUCCAUUUUAUGUAGGAUGCUAAUCUAGAGCUGCCACAGAGAAUCGUACUUCAAUGUUGGCUUCAUGGAUCCAUCACUUGUUAACCAAAAGCAGAUACGGGAUUAGCUAGACAAAACAUUGGAGGCAGUAUACAAUUUCAUGGACAAACAACAUUACAAGAGUUACAUACUACUGCCAUACAACUUUGAGUAAGUGUGGGUACCGUAUAUUUUUAUUUUCUUUUUCCUUACCUAAUUAAUGUUAGUUACCUCUAAUAUGAAGAUUUAACUACAUAGUUUCCACUGGAUCCUCAUAAUAAUUGAGAUUGAUAGAAGCCACGUCAUUGUGUUCGAUUCGUUGAGGAAACCACCGAAGAAGUACCAGGACAUUCAAGGCAUGAUAAACUCGUAAUAAUUCUUGACCUUUAUCUCUAUGCAAAAGUUUGUUUCCUAAACUUUCAUGUAACACUGUAUCAUUCAUUAUUUUAAUUCGCAGCGUAUGGAAAUUAUUCCUUACGAAACACCAUGGUCCAUUCAGAGAAAAACUUUCAUUCAGAACAGACUUCUCGGUAGGUACGAAGUUUGCACAUUUUGUACAUUCUAUAACACGAAUAUUUCAUAACUUGUUUUUUCCCACUAAAGUGUUUAAGGCAGGAAUCCGGGAAUAAUCUAUGUGGAUAUUACGACUGUGAGCACCUGCACAAUUUUGUGGGACCCAAGGUGCUGACGUAGCAUGAUAUGAAAGUACGUAAAAUCAAACUAUUAAUAAUUAAUUAUUUUCUAGCUCCUUAUAUUUAAUUGUUCGUGUAACAUUCACAUAUUUCCAAUUACAGAUGUGGAAUAUUCAACAUAGCAUCUUGGAGAAGGAGAGAAUAGGGGCAAUAUGUGAAGGAUUCCUAGUGGACCGGGUGAUAAAUCCAGAGGGAGAAUUUCAUUACAAUGGACAUUUAGUAGACGCACCGAGCAACACCACGAAAGUGGAUCCUAGGAAUGAAGUGGACAAAUUUUUGUAUAUAUAGUAAUUGUAUAAAUACUAGUUUGAUUUGUAUAAUACGCUAAUAAUUGUAUAUACAUAUAUAUACACACACCACUGCAUGCACACAUGCAAACCAACCGGGACUAAAGGGGCCCGUGCUGCACCUAGCGUGGCCCCCCUUUAGUCCCCAUUGAGUGACCCGGGACUAAAACCCCCCCUCGUCUCGAAUAGUUUAUCCCGGAUGGAUUUUCGAGAGAGUUGAGGCCUACCAACCGGGACUAAUGCUCAGUUUUCUACCAGUGCAAGGUACAAAAGAAUAGCAGGCCCAAACAGAAAUUCAAAUCUCUAAAGCAAAAGAUAUGUUAACCCUGAAUAAAUUCUGGAACAAUCAUAAUAAGCAACCAAAAAAUUAUAUGGAGAAGCGUGAAUGCAACAAACAUAAUAUAACAUAUGAUUAUUUGAAUUUAAUUUAGGAAACAAUUAUUAUAAAAUACUGGAAGACUGAGCAUUGAUCCUAGCCCUUAAUACCGGUUGGUUUUUGACCCAAUACUUAUGUGAGCAUUAGUACCGAGUCUAACGGCUAGUUCCCCAGGAGCCCCCUAUGAUCCCCUUUAGAACCGGUUAGGGGCUCCAACCGGUACUACACCGGUACUAAAGGUCACCCAUUAGUACCGGGUGGCUCCACCCAGUACUAAUGUGUCUGAGGGUCUUUAGUACCGGGUGAAACCUCCAGGUGAUAUUUUUGUGAGAACUUUCAAGGCCGGCGCCCUCCUCACCCACCUUACCCGCAGCCUGCCCUCAGUCCCUCCUCCCCCGAGCCUUAUCUGCUCACUCCCUCCCCGUCCGCUCCCCUACCCCACCGCUCCUCCUCUACCUCCUUCCCCACCUCCGCUCCCCUCCGCCUCCCUUUCUCCUCCUGUGUCUCCCUCCCCAUCGGAGCUCCCUCUCGCCCCGACCCCCUCUCACUCUCCCUCUCCCGCUGGAACUCCCUCUCCCGCUGUCCCUCCCCUCCCUCUUUCACGCGUCCCUCACUCAUGGCAGUGACGAGCGGCGGCGGGGCGAAGAGUGGUGGCAGCGCACGGGGCUGCAGCGGCGCACAGGGCUCGUGUGGAUGUGGCGGUGGUGGGUGGAUGCGGUGGUGACAGUGAGCCCCCCUCACUCUCUCUCUGAUCUAGAGGCGGAUCCAGCCGGUGCGGUCGAGCUCUGGCGGGUCAUGCUACUGGGGCGUGUGGCGACACGAGGCCGGGGCACGCGGCAGGGGUGGCAGUGGUGGGGCCUGUCUCCAGCGAGGGGCCAAGUGUCCGGCAGGGGCGUGAGGCCCAAGGGUGGCAAAGGGGGCAAGGGCGGUGGCCGGUGGGAUGCAGCUCGCCCCACAGCGGCGGGGUGUGGCUCGAGCUCGGGCUGGGUGCGGCGGGUGCGGCUCGGGCGGGAUUUUUUUUUGAACUUUUUAAUACCCUUUAGUACCGAUCAUUUGAAGGCGUUUUCCCCAGCAGUGAUACUACACUAAAUAUCUUGAUAAUACUACAAUUUUGUAAAAUUAAAUAAAAUUAGAAAAGCAUCGCAUUAAUUUACCGUUAUCCAUUCACAUCCCAAAAUAAUAAAUUGUUGCUGCAAAUUAUGAUAUUAGUGCAUCAUACAUCUGGCACUUUUCGUCCUGCUGUCACUAGCCUUCUUUUUCAGUACGAUGGAGGACGACUGCAAUUUAUGGAACGAGUACGGUCCUGUUUAGUUGCCCGAUUUUGGACAACCAAAAUCACUAUGCUAGCACUGUAGCAUACUGUAGCAUUUCGUUUGUAUUUAUGAAUUAUUGUCCAAACAUUGACUAAUUAGGCUUAAAAAAUUCGUCUCGCAAAGUAUAACAAAACUGUGCAAUUUGUUUUUGAUUUCGUCUAUAUUUAGGUUCCGUUUGGAUACCUCGUGCUAAAGUUUAGCACAUGUCACAUCAGAUGUUUGGAUGCUAAUUAGGAGUAUUAAACAUAGGAUAAUUAAAAAACUAAUUGCACAGAUGGAGUCUAAUUCGCAAGACGAAUCUAUUAAGCCUAAUUAAAUUAGGCUUAAUAGAUUUAUCUCGCGAAUUAGCACAGGGAUUUGCAAUUAGUUUUAUGAUUAGCUCAUGUUUAGUCCUCCUAAUUAGCAUCCGAACAUCCGAUGUGAUACUGCUAAAGUUUAGCACCUAAUAUCCAAACGCCCUUUUAGUACUCCAUGUAUGUACCACAAGUUUGAUGUGAUGGGGAAUCUUCCUUUUGCAUAUUGUCAAAGUUGGAAUUUUGGGAACUAAGCAAGGCCUACAUCAGCACGCUGGAUACAGACUGAGCCUGCCUCAGUGCAUGCCGUCAGUGCUUGCCACUCUGCCAUUGUCCAAGUGCAACGUGGGCGCUUGUGAGUGUCCACAUGCAAUGCAAGAUGCUGCGUGCCUAUUUGGCAGUGAGCAAAAGUAGCAAACAGUCAAGUACACGUCAGUUCUUUUCUUUUACUGUGGUCAGGCAUCUGUGUGGCACAUGGUAAGCCUGUCCUGGUUGCUCAGCUCAUAAUUAAGCAAUUGAUGCUUGACAAUGACUGUCAUUGUGUGAGCUGUCAAUAACAGUGUUGCUCGAUUUGAGGGCUUAUACAUGCACCACGUGCAUUGCACGUCAAAAGAAAAAAAAAUAAAGGAUGCCUGCUGGUAUUAGAUGUGUGCAGCACUCAAAUAUUGAGCCUUGUACGUUUUGUCAGAGUCUCUGACAGGCGCCCGUGUCUUAGCACAUCCAAUGCCUGGCCGACACUUGUAGACGACUCUGCUUUUAUUCCUAUUUCUUUCAACAGUUAAACAUCCAUCGGUCAUGAUUUGUUAAGUACCUGGAGUUAAACAGUGGGCAUGGUAGGUGCUCACUGCUCAGCCAUCGCACGUGUUGAAGAACGUGUGUGGUCUUAGCUAGUCUCCUAGAGGCAAUAUUUUAAUCAGUCACCGGAAACUUUUAUUGCUCAGCUCAGCAAGCUCAUCUUGUUUGCCAACAAGUAGAGCAAGCGAGCACAGCGCGACGCACACAGCCAUGGCGAGCAUGGAGAGCCGAAGCCUCCCCAUGGCAGCAGCCACCUCCAUGUCGGUAGCUAUCGCCAUUGUCUUCCUGAUCAACACAGCCGCACCAGUGGGAGACGCGGCAUCCGUCGAGCACACGUUCAUUGUAAAUAUGCAUGAUGCUGUUUCGUUCCGUUUGAUCGACCUCUCUAGCGUCGAUCGUAUCUAUAACAACCAUUCAUGCGCCAUUAUCCACGCACUUAUGCUUGAUUUCCUUGAUCGUGUACACAUGUAGGUGAAUCAGACGAAGAUGACGCGCCUGUGCAAGGAGACACAGGUCACCGUGGUGAACGGGCAGCUCCCAGGGCCAACCAUUGAGAUCACAGAAGGAGACACGGUGACUGUUCAUGUCAUCAACAGGUCACCUUACAACAUGACAAUCCACUGGUAAGCUACGAUGGCAUACCAAUAAGUUCAUCCAUUUCAGAGGAUAAAGCUAUAUAUGGCACUGCUUAUAAGAAACAGCUAAGGUGGACCGUGCAUUUUGACGUCUAGAUUUUUUGUACGAUUGUCACCCGUUUUUCAAAAAUAUGGCUUCAAUUCUAGGAGUAUAUGUUAGACAAGAAAUCAAAAUAUUUGAUGAUAAUUACACGAUGAAAUUAUAAAAUAUAUGAAGUGCAUCAAGGAUAAAGCUGCGAAGGAUCACGUUUACUUCGUAGUAAGAUAUUUAAAAUUUAUGAGCACUUAUAAUUAUUCAGAUUGUAAAACGUUUUUUAAACAAAAUUGCAGCACUCCACACCUUUAUAGUUGACAACCUUUUGUGAUGUAUACGACAGAUAAAAUAGAGGAUAGUCUUGGAGGAGUGAGCAUUCGGGUUACUCGACAUGUUCGGGUUGGGUAAUUUGAGGUUUCAAAAGUUCGGAUUGCUCAAAUCCCUACUCAAGAUGUACCAUGGGAGAACAGUACCUGAAGUUUCACGCCUCGUUCGGCUGGCUGGCUGCUGCGGCAGAGAGCUGUUGCGUGCUGCAGCUGCUGCGGCAGAGAGCCGAGCAGCAGAAGCCCUGCAAAGCAGCCAGCCGAACGAGCUGUCAGUACCCAAAAUGUCGGGUUCGGGUGUCAAGAAAAUUUGAGAGAGGAACAAGAACAAGAACCCGAUGAACAAGAACAAAUCCAAGAGAAAGGAAAAUUUGAGAAGAAAAAUUAGGAGAACAGGUAACGAAACUUAGCAGCGUGUCAAAAAAAUUUAUUGUCGGUCCUCGCUUUGCAUCCACAUCAGGUUCCAAAAAGGAAAAGCAAUAACCAAUAGCACUCGCAUCUCGAUUCCCUCGAAUCCUCUAUAAGGUUCCAGCAUCUUCGAUUCCCUGGAGUAGGACGUAGCAUUAGCAGGGAUGUCAACUGCUAGUGAACCAGGAUCAGGGAGAUGGGACCUCGACGGCGCCGCGCUUUCCUCCACCAGCGCUGCGCCGGUCUCUUCCUGCCGCGCGCUCGCACACGCCGGCCGCCGGCACGGUCGUGCCAGGUUUGGAAUAUACUACUAGAAUAUGAGCAUUCUAGUUGAUUUUUGUACCGGAUGGUAUUUCGUCCGGUAAUAACGUUUGAAAUUGGUGCUGGAUACAAAUUUUUGAUCCUCGGAGAUAUUUUAGUACCAGACAAUAACACUAACCGGUACUAAAUGUGGUGUUAUUGCCCGGUAGUCUAGAUCAUUUAGUACUCGACAAUAACACCAGUACCUCGUGGAGUACCAUUUAGUACCGGUCAAUAACACCAACAGGUACUAAAUGUCUUGGUAUUAUUGACGGGAACUAAAAGCCUCUCCAUGAGUUACUUCAAAAUGACAGUAUUUCUAACUCAAUCACAUGUGCUACGUAGAUGAGAUGGUAAGGAAGGUUCACGUGAGUCUUGAGGUCGUGGGUUCGAAUCCCACAGACCGUGCACGCGCAUAUUACGCGAUACCGGUCAGGCGCCCGGUACUAGAGGGGGUUACUGAUCAGUACUAAAGGUCGGUUCUCCAGUAGUGAUAAGACUCUGUAGGGCAACUGGAUAAUUGUAAGCCGGACGGUGCAGGUUCCAUGGGAAAUAAUGAAGGUGGAUCUUGCAGCAAGAUUUCUUGCUCUGAUAGAUUUUUAACAUUCCGCUCUAAAAUCUGCUUACAACCUAACUCCUCACGUGGAACGGAGGUGCUAUAUUUUGAAUGAUAAGGAUUAUAAGAUGAUCCUCCUCACCUCUCCAAACUUACAAUGUGAUAAACCCACCACACUACAACCACAAUUAAACCACAUGAACCAACAACUACAGUACUAGAAGAUAUUGGGCUGGGGUAGAGUUUUUAUCUUUUCUGAGAACACAAAAGUAUUUGUGGUUUGUGAUGCAGGCACGGAGUGAAGCAGUUUCGGAACUGCUGGGCUGAUGGGGUGCCAAUGCUCACCCAAUGCCCUAUCCUGCCGAACAAAAAUUUCACCUACCAGUUCAAUGUCGUUGGGCAGGAAGGCACCCUGUGGUGGCAUGCUCACGUCCCCGGACUACGGGCAACUGUCCAUGGCGCAUUCAUUAUUCGGCCAAGGCAUGGAGCUGAGUCAUAUCCAUUUCCUCAGCCUCAUAAGGAGAUCCCAGUUAUUAUAGGUUUGUGAACCUUUCAGAUUUUUAUUGUUUAGGAUAUGAGAACCUUAACUUCGUGCAAAUUUAAUUGGUCCCCAUUUUGAGAAAAUAAAAUAUGUCAUGUCCUAUGGGAUUUAAAUUGUGCGCAAUUUUGCAAUGGUUUUGCAAGUAUCUAGUAGAUGUGAAAUGAUCCUGAUGAUUACAGGGGACUGGUGGGAGAAGGACCUUGCAGAGAUGGCCAGGAAUAUGACGAAGAGCAUCUUUCUGUCUUAUGCUAGUGCAUCCACAAUCAAUGGCUUGGUCGGAGAUCUCUUCAAUUGCUCAGGUAAGCAAUUAUACGAUUCUAAACAGCCAUUUAGCACAAUUAAACUCUAUUUAAUUACUGCACAGUAGCCAGCUGAUUAAAUUCUCAGUCUUAAUGGUCUUGAGUUUUAGCCCGUACAAAUGGCCGUUUAGCAUAAUUAAACAGCCAUUUUGGUGAAAACUGUAUACAAUUGUGCGUUUGGUGAAAACUAUAUUGGAUAUUUGUCCAUGUCGAAACUGAUAUACACUACGGGAAAGCUAAAAAUUGCCGAGUGUAUUUUUUUUGCCGAGUGUUUUUUUCAAGCACUUGGCAAACAAGCUCUUUGCCGAGUGCCAAGCUAAAAACACUCGGCAAAGAAAAAACACUCGGCAAAGAAAAAACACUCGGCAAAUCGGGGCUUUGCCGAGUGUCAAAUAAAAAACACUCGGCAAGCCACCCUCUUUGCCAAGUGUCUUAAAAAAUACUCGGCAAAGAGGGGGCUUUGCCGAGUGUCAAAAAAGACACUCGGCAAAGAGGGGGGGUUUGCCGAGUGUUUUUUUUGACACUCGGCAAAAAAAUAAUUUUUUUUCCUCUUUUCACCUUGAAAUUUUUUCUACUCCUCACAUACAACAUGUGGUACUCCAUGUUAAAGUUUAGUAUAUUUUUGAAUUUAUUUGCUAUAUUUAUUUAAUUAAUUGCAUUUCAAGGGAUAUUUUGGUAUAAGUCAAAUUUGAACUGCAAGUGAUUCAAAUUAUGGAACAAAAUAAGUAUAAAAAUGAUAUUCAUGUUAUUUGGCCCAAUUUGAGACCUGACCCAUGAAAUGAAAAGAAAUUUCGAACAUCUUGUUCAGGAAACACGAACAUGAACCUGUGGCAGUAGUAUUUUUAAAUUGUAAAAAAAACAAGCAAAAUCUGAAAAUCAAGAGAUUUGUCAUGAUGUGAUGAUAUAAUAUGUGGAGGCUGUGGAAAAAAGUGAGAAAGUUUUUCACAUUUCAUCAUGUAUGAUGAUUACAAACCGAAGCAUCUCAGAAGAAGAAUAGUAACUUUGAGAAGGAUUCGAUAAAAUUUAGAGUCGAAGUGACGGUCGAGUUCGGUUUGACUACAAAACUUUUUAUAUAGUCAGUAGAGAACAUAUAUUAUUUCGUGUGAAAAUUUGGUAUUUUUUUUGAAACUGCUAGAUAUUUUUUAAUUUUUUUUAAAAAAAUUUGUUGAGUGUCCUAGGGUGGACACUCGACAAAGAAACCCUUUACCGAGUGUCCACACUGGACACUCGGUGACGUUUUUUUCCCUGUACCGGCCAGGCCUGCCUCCUCUCACCGCCCCCGCCCACCCCCCCUCGAGACACCCCCUGCCCCCACUCCCCACGAUAUCAAGGAGAGUCCGCUCNNNNNNNNNNNNNNNNNNNNNNNNNNNNNNNNNNNNNNNNNNNNNNNNNNNNNNNNNNNNNNNNNNNNNNNNNNNNNNNNNNNNNNNNNNNNNNNNNNNNNNNNNNNNNNNNNNNNNNNNNNNNNNNNNNNNNNNNNNNNNNNNNNNNNNNNNNNNNNNNNNNNNNNNNNNNNNNNNNNNNNNNNNNNNNNNNNNNNNNNNNNNNNNNNNNNNNNNNNNNNNNNNNNNNNNNNNNNNNNNNNNNNNNNNNNNNNNNNNNNNNNNNNNNNNNNNNNNNNNNNNNNNNNNNNNNNNNNNNNNNNNNNNNNNNNNNNNNNNNNNNNNNNNNNNNNNNNNNNNNNNNNNNNNNNNNNNNNNNNNNNNNNNNNNNNNNNNNNNNNNNNNNNNNNNNNNNNNNNNNNNNNNNNNNNNUUGGUCCCACAUCUCUAAACCAAUGGCCCGGCAUGGAUGCACCAUAUCAGUGUUGAUUCUCAAAAAGUCCCUGAUACGUUUAGUAUCCAUCUCAAGAUUCCUCUAGCAUUGGGCACAGAUACCGUCUACACAUAUCUGUGGGAAAUUUUUGUAAUCUCAACAUAACAACUUAGAUUACAACUUCUCACUUAUGUGUCCCUCCUACGUAUGUGAUUAGGACUUAGGUGCUGUGAUAUGCAAGCACAUCUAAACGUAACAUUCUAGGACUCAGCCCCAAUCCUUGGUGCGACGUAUAUGAAUUGGAGGGGUGCCCCGUGCAUCAACCUAAUCUCGGCAUUAGGCUAAACACCAAUCAAUUACAGCACUGGGGGGAUAAGAAGUACGAGAUCCAUCUACUGUGUGUAGCUGAUCUUCACCAAUCAAGAACCUGUUCUUGAGAGGUGAAUCAGUUCUACGUCAAACUCUUAAUCAACCAGGAGUGAGAAGUUCCUGAUCUGGUGAAGAUAAGACCUACUUCAUCUACAGUAACACAUCUACUACUAUCGGUGGCAUCANNNNNNNNNNNNNNNNNNNNNNNNNNNNNNNNNNNNNNNNNNNNNNNNNNNNNNNNNNNNNNNNNNNNNNNNNNNNNNNNNNNNNNNNNNNNNNNNNNNNNNNNNNNNNNNNNNNNNNNNNNNNNNNNNNNNNNNNNNNNNNNNNNNNNNNNNNNNNNNNNNNNNNNNNNNNNNNNNNNNNNNNNNNNNNNNNNNNNNNNNNNNNNNNNNNNNNNNNNNNNNNNNNNNNNNNNNNNNNNNNNNNNNNNNNNNNNNNNNNNNNNNNNNNNNNNNNNNNNNNNNNNNNNNNNNNNNNNNNNNNNNNNNNNNNNNNNNNNNNNNNNNNNNNNNNNNNNNNNNNNNNNNNNNNNNNNNNNNNNNNNNNNNNNNNNNNNNNNNNNNNNNNNNNNNNNNNNNNNNNNNNNNNNNNNNNNNNNNNNNNNNNNNNNNNNNNNNNNNNNNNNNNNNNNNNNNNNNNNNNNNNNNNNNNNNNNNNNNNNNNNNNNNNNNNNNNNNNNNNNNNNNNNNNNNNNNNNNNNNNNNNNNNNNNNNNNNNNNNNNNNNNNNNNNNNNNNNNNNNNNNNNNNNNNNNNNGGAUGUUGGCAGCAGUUAGCACGCCAGUUUGAACCACAAGCCCAUGGAUUAGUUGUAACUCUUUCCUCAUAAUAUUCGUCUAAGAUUUAUCAAUCCGUGGAACUUAUAUUGCAAGAUCAGCUAAUGUUUUCAACAUGAUUUAAGUUUAUAUAUGAUUCAGAUCUAAUCUAGCAUGUACAGACAGAUAGCAGAUUUGAGUAAGUUUAUAAAGGAUUAAGAUGCUGCCUCCCCUUCGACCCCGACAGAUAGAUUCGUCUUGCAAAUCCUAUUCAUCAGUGACAAAAUGUUGCAAACCUUCGAGUCCACAUCAGUUAUGUUCCUCACCUUUCUGNNNNNNNNNNNNNNNNNNNNNNNNNNNNNNNNNNNNNNNNNNNNNNNNNNNNNNNNNNNNNNNNNNNNNNNNNNNNNNNNNNNNNNNNNNNNNNNNNNNNUCUGUUACAUGUGCAGGAGGAGAAUAUUAAAUUGUGGAAACCACUAUCUCAGUCUAGUCGUAUAAACACUAAAAACCAUUGCCCCCCAAAAAUAGUUUAGUCGCUAUGAAGAUACGCAAAAAUAUACUAAAAUAGAAAAGUCUCUAUGAAGACAGCAUAACAUCCUGCUAGAACAAUGAGUGGACCCUAACAAGAUAUUAACAGAGUCUAGUGAAUUAAGUUUAGACAAUAUCUUGCUAAAAAUGAGAAGUUUGGGCCUCAUUGACAGCAUAAGAUUAUGUCAGUUCCUUUCAUUGCUAAACAAUGAGAUUCAUCAGUACGUUCAGGUUUCUUCCAUUAAUUGUUAUGCUGUGCAACAUCAUGCUUAAACUGGGUCUAGUGGGACAUGAAAAAUCUGAAACAAAAAAAAUGUACAUGAGCGUACUUAAUUUUUUAAUCUUCCAGUGAACAUAUAUAUUUGUAGAGUCAGAAAAACAAGUAUUAUAUGAUAAAACGGUGCAAAAUUGAUAUCCAUAACAAAUCAUUUAUAUUCUGCUGAUUACCAUAUUAAUUAACCUUCAAUCAGUAUCAUUCUUAAAGUGCUUGGUUUAUUUACAGUAAUUAUACUCCAUACCUUUAGAUAUGGAUAAAAUAGGAAAGUGGCGAAAAAUAUGUCUCGAAGUUGCUGGACUUACGUUUGGUGUAUUGUAAGAACAGCCACAUACAAUUUGAUACCUUUACUCCAUUAGAUAGGGACAAAAUGGGAAAGUGGAAGCAAAGACAUGUCCUGAAGUUGUUGCACUUCUAUUUAGUGCACUUCUAUUUAGACACCUUUACACACGGAUCUCAAGGAGUGAAUAAUUAAGUAUACCGCAAUCCUUCAACAAAACUAGAACCAGAGUUUUUUCCUAUAAAUAUUUGAUCAUAUUUAUUAUCUUAAUUUCAUAAGAUGUGCUGCCCAUAUUUUUUUAUCCUAGUUUGAUGCCCAUGUACGACCUCCAAGAACUAAUUCUCGAUCUUCUAUGGUGUAUACAGGUGUUUGGUUCAUGCACUGCCACUAUGAGUUUCAUCUUUCGAUGGGCAUGGCGGCAGUGUUCAUAGUAGAGAAUGGGCCAACAAUGGACACAUCUCUCCUUCCACCACCUGUGAACUUUCCAACUUGUAGCCAUGACAAUAGUCUCAUCCAAACUAUAUGAAAAGUGAAAUCUAGCUAAUAAAUGGAGCAAGUACAAAGAUAACUCCGACCACUUGUUUUAAAAUAUGUCAUUAUGAAUAAUGAAGGUGCGGUAUGAGAUAAAAUGUAUCCGUAUUAUUUAUGUUAACAAAUCGAACCUGGUUUGCAGCAGAUGAAUUAUCCUGCAUCUGUAUGAUUUGAACAUAUUACGAUUUACUUGUGGUUGAAUCACCACUGUGAACACCUUACCCAUGUUAGCCCUGCCGUGCCGACCCAAAACACACCGGUACGGACGGUUCGUCCACAUCUCUAAAACAAUGACCGGCAUGGAUGCACAAUAUCAGUGUUGAUUCUCAAAAAGUCCUGAUACGUUUAGUAUCCAUCUCAAGAUUCCUCUAGCAUUGGCACAGAUACUGUCUACACAUAUCUGUGGGAUAUUUUUGUAAUCUCAACAUAACAACUUAGAUUACAACUUCUCACUUAUGUGUCCCUCCUACGUAUGUGAUUAGGACUUAGGUGCUGUGAUAUGCAAGCACAUCUAAACGUAACAUUCUAGGACUCAGCCCCAAUCCUUGGUGCGACGUAUAUGAAUUGGAGGGGUGCCCCGUGCAUCAACCUAAUCUCGGCAUUAGGCUAAACACCAAUCAAUUACAGCACUGGGGGGAUAAGAAGUACGAGAUCCAUCUACUGUGUGUAGCUGAUCUUCACCAAUCAAGAACCUGUUCUUGAGAGGUGAAUCAGUUCUACGUCAAACUCUUAAUCAACCAGGAGUGAGAAGUUCCUGAUCUGGUGAAGAUAAGACCUACUUCAUCUACAGUAACACAUCUACUACUAUCGGUGGCAUCAUAUAUCUAACUAUGGUGAUACAAAGAUAACUUCCUGGAAGGAGUGAUAACUAGUGCAACCUAGCAAAUAAAACUCGAAGGCAACCACCGUCUUCAGCCAGCAAUCUAAAUCGAGGAUUCACCCAACCACACUCACAAAUAACAAACCAACACAACUUAGAAUCAAACGGAUCAGAACCACCUGGAAUCUAACUUCUUUGAUACAAGGAUUCAUUACACUAGGGCCUCCAUAUAUAACUCAUUGUUGUCUAAUUCCUUAGAUAACCUUUAUUGGGAAGUCAACUAAAACAAAAAAAUAUUUUUAGGAUCGGAUUAAAACGUGGCGUGCCAGCACCUAUUUAGGAGCAAACGAACCUAUAGCCCAUGCAUAGAAAUAGAUUUUCAAAGACAAGUAAGGGGCGAGCCACCCCUAGAAAUAGGGUUGUUUCCAGGUGUGGAUGAUGGAAUGACUCGCCCCUGAAAAUAAUUUUAUGAGGUGGCUUGGCCCAUGACCCAUCCCUGUAAAUUAAUCUUUAGGUGCUGGUAGGAUGCUACAGUAGUAUGUUCUUUUUGUGGAAGCAGGGAACUUGUCGCCGGAUGUUGGCAGCAGUUAGCACGCCAGUUUGAACCACAAGCCCAUGGAUUAGUUGUAACUCUUUCCUCAUAAUAUUCGUCUAAGAUUUAUCAAUCCGUGGAACUUAUAUUGCAAGAUCAGCUAAUGUUUUCAACAUGAUUUAAGUUUAUAUAUGAUUCAGAUCUAAUCUAGCAUGUACAGACAGAUAGCAGAUUUGAGUAAGUUUAUAAAGGAUUAAGAUGCUGCCUCCCCUUCGACCCCGACAGAUAGAUUCGUCUUGCAAAUCCUAUUCAUCAGUGACAAAAUGUUGCAAACCUUCGAGUCCACAUCAGUUAUGUUCCUCACCUUUCUUAGUCCACAUCCGAGUACUACUUUUUUAGAUAAAGGAUAAUGUUCUAGCCUCUGCGACGGCAUAAAACCAACUUUUAACAAUGUUCUCAUCCCACAGGCAGAUUAUGAAUAGAAGGGUAAGGGCACACAAAUGGUAGGAAGGAAUCAAAAGCAAACUCUAUUAUUAUUUCUCUAUCCAUUCUUGGCAGUACAAAUAUCCAAUGAGAUGACUUCCAAUGCCUUAUUUGCUAAAAGAACAGUCUUUCUUGUGUUCUCACGCUAUACAAGGGACUAAGAUCGCAUCAGUAUGCUCCCCGGAAAACAGUCUAUAUAAAAGAGGUAAAACUUUUUUGUCAAAAAUCAAAUCAUUACGUAUACACCAGAUGCAUCUGGCCCACGUAAGAGCUGCAUCCCAAAAUCCUUAUUUCUUAUGGUCAUUAACAUUAUUUUUCGAAGGAUGUGCGCUAUUGACUUUGGUUGGGUUUGCUGCUUGCUCAGCUAAUAAGCAAUUGAUGCCUGACAGUGACUGUCGUUGUGUGAGAUGUAUUAUCCUCUGAAAAAUAAUAGUUGCGUCGCAAAAGCAGCUCUUUUUGUCCGGUUGAAAAUAAGAAGAAAAAACCAAGGAUGCCAGUUGGCAGUCAGCAAUAUGAGCUAGCAAUACUAGUGUUAAACGUUUGUCUAUAACGGGAUGUACGGUGCCUGACAAUCACAAUAAAAUCUCCAUUAUCACCUACCGGAACAUGCAAUAUGUCUGGCCGAAAUAUACAAUAAAAUCCCUUCGACCCCACAGAUAGAUUUGUGUUACAUUCCUAGUAUUCCUAGUAUUUUUAUUUUCUGCCCAUGACCACUGACAAUUUUGCUAUACACGGUACAAUUCUAAGUGUCCUUUUGUGGUCAACAAUCUGAGCCACUGCUGGCCCUAUUAAAAGAUUGACUGCUGGCCGCGUGAACCACGAGGGCAGGACCACAGUCUGAGUUGAGCUGCCUUCCUCCUCAGCUCAUCAUAAGCAAAGUGAUGCCUUACAGUGACUGACAUGGGCCAAUGGCAACUAUGCAAACACAAAAUCACAUUUGGAAUCAUUUUGGAAAAAAAAGAGCGUCCAAUUUUGACUUCAUAUGCAAAAGUUGCGCCUGUUUUAUUGAACACUAUGCAAGUCAGUUAUGCAAAAGCCGCUGACCGAAGCUUGCAGACUGCCGAGUACAAGUCAGUUAUUUAAUUUUCUCCUCAUGCACUCCUAACUAGUUUAUUCUUUCCGUUCCAAAUUGUAGAUUUUUCUAGAUACAUAGCAAACAUGUAUAAACCUAGAAAAAAUCAAAACCAAAACGGAGGAAACACUACACAUGCUACCUUUCUGUGUGUCCUUUUUAAUUUGCUGGCCGCAUAAUAGCUUGUCUGCUGGCCACAUAGUACCACGAGGGCAGGCCCAAUGGGCUCUCAGACAAGGUGCAUUAAGUCAGAGCUGAUAAGCAGUUGAUGCCCUACAGUGACUGACAUGGCCCAAUGGCAAUCUUGAUUGCAAAAAUAACAGUAGUAGCACCACGCGCAAUGUGAGGAAAAAAGUGUGCAAAAUGUGCGGCACUCGAUCGAUAAUUGAGCUAGCAACAUGUACUUACGCUUGUCUGUGAGGGAUGCAUUGUGCCUGACAAUGACAAUGGCAUGCAUCUCUCUCAGUGCUCACCUACCUUCUGACAUCUCUCUCAGUGACAUCUCUCUCAGUGCCCACCUGCCUUCUGACAUCUCUUUCAGUGCUCACCUACAUGUCAGUGUCUACUGACCACAUAGCUUGUCUACUUGCCUGGUGCGCGUGAACCACGAGGGCAGGACCAGUGGUCGUGCACUACUAGGAAUUGAUGGCGCGGCGUGGCUUCUAAGGCGGUGUUUGGAAACAUCCUGCUAAACUUUAGCACCUAUCACAUUAGAUAUUUGAAUACUAAUUAGAAGUAUUAAAUAUAGUCUAAUUAUAAAACUAAUUGCAUAGAUAGAGUCUAAUUUGCAAGACGAAUCUAUUAAGCCUAAUUAGUUCAUGAUUUGAUAAUGUGGUACUACAAUAACCAUUUGCUAAUGAUGGAUUAAUUACCUUUAAUAGAUUCGUCUCGCGAAUUAGACUCCAUUUGUGCAAUUAGAUUUGUAAUUAGCUCAUGUUUAGUCCUCCUAAUUAGCAUCCGAACAUCUGAUGUGACCCUGCUAAAGUUUAGCACCUCGUAUCCAAACACCAUAGUAUAUGUAUUUUCUUCAAUCGUGUCAUCACCCAUUAGUUGUCGUCGCUGAAAUCAAGAGGCGAAAGUGUCAAUGUGAUGAAGUGUAAUCUAGGCCUCAGUCUUCCCCUAGUUUGAGGACCGUAUAAUGGUCAAGUGCUCCUUCGUAUAUGGAGCGACUAGGGAUGAUUGUUGCAGGACUGUGAAGUGUGCAUUACAAAAAGUAUCCUCAUCGAUCUCCAUCCGAGCUUUCCUCCCUAGUGUGCCCUUUCCCUUCAGUCUCCCCUCGUGGCGUGAUACAAGGACUCUAAUCGAACUCAAGUCAUCAAUAAAAUCAACACAAAACUCAAUGAUCUCCUCUCUUCCAUAUACCUUUGCGAUGCUUCCUUCUAGACGGGCACGAUUAUGAAUAUACUUCUUUAAAAUUACCAUAAACCUCUCAAAAGGGAACAUAUUGUUUAGAAAUAUAGGAUCGAGAACAAAAACCUCUUCAACAAGGUGGACUAGAAGGUGGGUCAUGAUAUUAAAGAAGGAAGGUGGAAAGACCGUCUCAAAGCUGACAAGGCAUUGCCCACGUCAUUCUGCAGCUUUAGUAGAUUGUCUGGAUGGAUUGCCUUCUGAGAAAUUUUGUUGAGGAAUGCACAUAGCUUCAUGAUUGCCAUUCUCACAUUCUCCGGUUGAAUACCCCUAAGUGCAACAGGCAGCAAUUGUGUCAUCAGGACAUGGCUGUCAUGGGCCUUUAGAUUUUAGAAUUUUUCUCGUUAAUAUUUAUUAUUCCCUGUAUAUUUGAGGAGUAGCGCAAUGGGACCUUGAUACUAUUUAAGCACUCAAACAUGCUUUCCUUCUCUUCUUUGCUGAGAGUGUAACUAGCAGGAUGCAAGUAAUGUCCAUCAUCUCCCUUUUCCGGAUGUAGGACAUUUCGUUGUUUCAUACAUUUCAAGUCCCGACAUGCUUCAAUUGUAUCCUUUACCUUUCCAUAUGUACCGAGGAAGCCAAGCACAUUCACACAAAGUUUUUUCAUCAGGUGCAUCACAUCAAUUGUAUUACAGACAUCAAGGAUUUCCCAAUAAGGUAGCUCCCAAAAUAUAGACUUUUUCUUCCACAUGGGUGCAUGUUCAUCCUCAUCGUUCAGAAUAGGUUGGCUACCAGAGCCCUUGCUAAAGACUACCCUCACAUCCUUUAUCAUAGAAAAUACACACUUACCAUUAUGGUGAAUGGGCUUAGAACAUUUUUCUUUCUCCCCUUCAAAAUGCUUCCCUUUCUUUCUUAAUGGGUGCUUAGCAGAAAGAAAUUGACGAUGUCCCAUAUACAUGACCUUCCGAUAAUGUUUCAAAUACAUACUGCAAGUAUCAUCUAAACAGUGUGUGCAGGCUUGAUGUCCCUUGUUUGUCUGUGCUAAUAGAUUACCAAAUGCGGGCUAAUUAAUUAUGGUUACGGACAGCAAUGCUCAUAGAUUAAAAUUCUCCCUUUUGUCCUCAUCCCACACACGUACACCUUCUUCCUUCCAUAACAGUAAAAGUUCACCAACCAACGGUCUUAGGUAAACAUCAAUGUCAUGGCCAGGUUGUUUUGGGUCUUGGAUAAUACCAGCAUCAUAAUGAACUUCUACUUCAUGCACAUUCAAGAUGGAAGGUUGAACAUAGAUAAGGUCAUAGGCCAAGUGCUAUGACCACUACUAAACUCACUAAAUGGAUUGAAUCCAUCCGUACUUAAACCAAGCCUUAUGUCCCUUGCAUCCUUUUCAAACUCGGAAAAUUCUCUGUGUACUGUUCUCCACUGAGACCCAUCAGCAUGCAUAUCUAGGGCGAAAGGUUGAACAUACAUAAAGUCAUAGGCCAAGUGCUAUAACUAGUACUGAACUCACAAAAUGGAUUAAAUCCAUCCGUACUUAAACCAAACCUUAUAUUCCUUGCAUCCAUUUCAAACUCAGGAAAUUCUAGUCAACUAUUCUCUAAUGGGACCGAUCAGUGGGGUGUGUGAUCAUUUCAUCUUACUUACUUUCUUCUUUGUGCCAAUACAUCAACUUUGCAUGUGCCUUGUUUUGGAACAAACACUUAAAGCGUGGUACUAUAGGGAAAUACCACAUUACCUUCGCAGGAACUUUCUUCUUGCUAGCCUAGCCCUCAACAUUACUAGGGUCAUCUCUUCUGAUCUUAUAACGCAGCGCUUUGCAUGCAGGAUAAGCCUCCAAUUUGUCGCAUUCCUCACCACGAUAGAGGAUACAAUUAUAAGGACAUGCAUGUAUCUUUUGUACCUCCAAACCUAAAGGGCAAACAACCUUUUUCGCUUUGUACGUUGAGGACGACAAUUCGUUCCCCUUAAGAAGCAUGUUCUUUAUGAUUUUGAUUAACUCAUCAAUACCCUUGUCAGAAACUUCAUUUUUUUUGCCUUCCAUUACACCAUUUCCAGUGUGGUACCUAACUUUUUGUGCUCCUGUUUGCAAUCUGGGUACAACAAUUUCUUAUGAUCAUCUAACAUACGCUCAAACUUCUUUGACUCCUUCACAUUCUCGUAGUCUUCCUUUGCAUCUCGCAACACUUGACCUAGAUCAUUGAUAGGAUCUUCUACCUCGCCCAUCUCUUCUUCAGCCUCGCCCAUUAGAGCAUCUACAAAGACACCUCCUUGAGUCCAGUCAGGAACGUUGUCAUCUUCUUCUUCAUCAUCAUCUUCCAUCAUAACUCCUCUUUCCCCGUGCUUAGUCUAAACAAAAUAGUUAGGUAUGAAUCCAGAACUGUAUAUGUGGGCGUGAAUAGUCUUCCUUGAUGAGUAAUCUUUCCCAAUUUUGAAAUUUCUGCGUGGACAACAAAUGAAAUCAGAUGGUGGCUUGUUGGAUUUUGCCUGAUCGAGAAAACCACGCAAGGCAUUAAUGUACUCCAUGGAGCGUUUGGCUGUGUUGUACAUUCAUUGCCGAUCCAUCUACAAAGUAUUAUCGAACCAUUAAGAUAUAAUGAUCAUGCAUAUAAUUAUAAGCAUAUACAAAUUUCAUAAAACUUAAAUAUUGCUGAAAGUUUAGAUAGAAAUACACAAAUUUAAAGUUCAAACCCAAACAACAUGAUACACUACGACAAACUCAAAUGUUCCUUAAAGUUUAGAUAGAAAUACACAAAUUUAAAUUUUAAAUCCAAACAACAUGAUACACUACGACGAACCAUCCACUUGAGUACUAUCUAGGAGGACUUUAAGUAUCCUUGGGCAGCGGAGACGAAGGUUUAGCUGACCUAGCCUCAUCCUGUUGAUUAUUUGUGCCUCCUAUGGGUAGUAUUCAGUUGACUUGAAAACAUCGGGACUGGCGGUGGAGCAUAACGACUACCAAAAAGAGGUUCCUGACCCACUGCAAUAGCAUCUUCAUGACAUCUUUCCAAAUAACGAAGCAUUGCUCUCUCCCACGUGGUUAUUUUCUUCAGCUUAUCAUGAGGGCCAACUGUGGUUCUCACCUAGCCGCAAGAGGAACGAUGAUGGGGCCCACUAUCGCCACUCCCUCUAGCAGUAGUAGCCAUCUCUAUGUACCAUAAUUUAUUUUGCUCAUAUUUGCAAAUGACUAAACUAUGAACAAACUAUAUUUUCCCCACAAUUUAAUCUUAUUAUCUCUAUGUACCACAAUUUAUUCCACAUAUUUGUAAAGGACUAAACUAUGAAAUUAUUCCUCUAACCUCAUAUUAAUCAUAGCAUCCAAAAAUUUGUAGCUCAAACAUAAAUAACACAUGCAUAAAAUUUCUCCAUUGUAGCUUUUUCUAAAGAUAACAAAUUACUCUAGCUCUAAAGCAUAAAAUUUAGUAUACUAACCAUGUAUCAAGGGAGAUGGAGUUUCUAACCUUUAGAACACUUGAAUGGGUGAAAUCCCCACGAAAUGGUCAAAAAUCUGGCAGCACCUCCCCUAUUUCGCCAUGAGUGGAUGAUGCCCGAACUGGAGGAAAUGGCUUGGGCAGGAGGAAGAAGACGCCUGAUUUAUAGGAGGAAAGUUAGUAUCAAGUGGAGGCUUCACCCGGUACUAAAGGUUGCCAAUUAGUACCGGGUGAAGUCUCCACCCGGUACUGAAGGUCCUUAGGCACAUUAGUACCGGUUGGAGGCUUCAACUGAUACUAAUGGAUGACCUUUAGUACAGGGUGAAACCUCCACCCGUUACUAAAGGGGGUCACGGGGCACUACUGGGGAACUAGCUGUUAGACUCGGGACUAAUACUCACAUUAGUACCAGGUCAAAAAACCAACCGGUACUAAGUCUCGAGGUGAAUGCUGAGGUUUCCAGUAGUGGAGCCAACCUAUAUUACAACACAAUCAAUCAAUAAAUGCAGUGCGCAUUGCGAGGGACAUCGAUCGGUGAAGGGGAAUAGCAACACCAGCUCUCGUAGGCAAACCAUCGUGCACAUGGCGUGCAUGCAUCUCCUGUGUCCUUUCUAUACCUACGUGGAGCUGGAACUUGGAAGUAUGUAUCGGUGUCGUGAUUAGCGUCAUGGCGUGGCAGAGGCAUCUCUGGAGAUGCUGAGCUAGCGCUGCCACAAGGCAAAUUGGCCGGCAUGUGCUUGAGGAAUCUGUGUCGUUGUGGCCUUGUGGCUUGUGGGUAGCCUGGUACGUGCUCAACCAUCGCAUGUGUUGAACGUGUAUGUGGUCCUAGUCUCCGAUAGGCACUCAAGUCUCCGUGCUCAGCGAUCUACCUAGUAGAGCGAGCACAAGCAAGUUGCUACCUCCAAAUGUUGUAUUUGUGUCCGCUGAGCCCUAUAUCACAAAACGUUUUCUUUUGACUGUGUCUGCUACAGAAAACCUAAUUGUUUUAUACAUGUUUGAAGGGCACCUAAUUUUUCCAUCACUACUGUUAGCCAUAAAAUGAUAUAAAAAUAAAAUGGCAGUCAUAUUUAUUAUGGCAAAUAUUAAUAGCAGUGUGUUGUUGCAAGCGGAGAUAACUAGUGCAACCUGACAGAUAAAACUUGAAGUCAACCUCGAUCUUUAACCAGCAACCUUAAUUGAGGAUUCUCCCAACCACAAUAUCAAAGAACCAACCAACACAACCUAGAAUUAAAAGUACCAGGAGCACCAAUUGGAAGCUGAUGACGCAACCGCUUCCAUAACCCCUCAAGGAAAUUGCAAGAGAAAAGGGGUGGAGAUCACUCUCCUAAUUUGUUAGCACACAUCUAAACAAAAGGGGUUACAUUCAAUUAUCAAAGUCUUGUCUAAAUAUUUGGAUACAAUGAUUUUUUAUACUAGGAACAACCCUCUUAGUUGGGUCUGAAUGGACCUUGGAGUUUCUAGAGUUAUGCUAACUCGAAGGUCACCAUGAACAGAAAUCUCAAAAGAGACUCGCGUGGCUGUUGGCGUUGUAUGCAGUCUCCACUAAAUCGAUUAUAACUCUUGUUUGGAAAGUCCACAUGAAAUGCAGUCUAUGCAGUCUCCACGAAAUUGACCUUAGUUUCGUGGAUUUUGUUUAGUUCUAAUUUUUCAUUGAGAAACACAAUCAUUCAUUAUAACUAUAUAUGGCGACAAGUUCGUUUAGUAUGAUUCAGAACAGUUGUUCUUGUUCUUCUCGAUUGUGGUAAUUUAUCCUUUUGUGUUAAGAGCUUGAACCUCAUUUUCAGAUUCGCUUCAUAUACAUAUACAAUUUCAUAUUACAUUUUUUUCACUUUCUUUCUUGUGUUCUUCGAUUUGCUUUAUGGGGAAAGUCUUAUUGGCGAGGUCAAUUGAAUUGUACUUAGUUGAUAACCAACAGAGUAGUGGUGUAGCAGUUGCAACAGUUUGAAUCACGUCAAGCUUCAUCUCAUCCAAUUUAUCAUAUACCUAUCAGAAGAUCAGGCCAAUGCAAUAUAAGCUAGGCACGCAGCAUAGCCAUGUACCAAGGGUGUGGUUCUGGGAGUUUUCUCCAUAUGUAGUGAGCUAAGCAGGGUCCAUCCCUUAAGAUGAGGUGAAUAAAAUAUCCAGCAAAAUAUAAUCUACUAGUUGUUUUUGGCCCAUGUGGUUAGUUAUGGUUCUAAUUGGUGGGUUUAGUACCACCUUGGAAGUUUUGAGGUCGGGUGAGGGCAAGUUUAUAAUCCUUGUCGCUCCAAAGAAGCACCUUUGGGUUAACCCUUUUAUAUGAAGCGAGGAUGUAAGUGUAAGAGACUUGAUAUGCGUAUGCAAGUCCAUUCCAUGUGAGUAGUUAGGCUGUUAUAUUAGUAGACUUUGGAGUGGGGUUUUACAGAAGGUUUUCAGAGCAUGAAUCCUCACUUCACGUGCGUGCGCAGUCAUGUACCGAGGUGUGUUUCUAGGAUUCUACUGCGUUGUGGUGAGCUGUCCAGGGCAUCUGCCUAUAAUGUGGGGUCCUAACUCAAUAUCUCAUGUGGUCUAGUUGUGUUUGUAGUUGGUGAGUUUAGUACAACCUUCGAAGUUUAGUAAGGUGAUGGCUACAUUAUAAUCUUAUUGUUCCAAACACAACAUCUUCAGAUUAAUCCUUUUACUCGAAAUGAGAACGAUAGUGUAAUAGAGGUGCUCUGCGUACGUAGGCCUGUUCCACGUGAGGCGCGUGUCUUAAAAGAAGAUAAACAAAGCAUGAGUGUGUGGGAUCCUUGGCAUCCACAUUAUUGUCAAUGCAGCCACACUUUACCUAUAUGUAGUACUACUUAAGAGGCACAUUGCAGAGCACAUUGAGCUAGCUAGCCAAAUCUCAUACCAUGGACAGCCGGAGCCUUCCAGUGGCAGCCACCGCUGCUCUCAUCUUCUUCUCUGUCAUAGCCCUGUCAGCGGGUACAGCCAUCGUCGAGCACACCUUUGUUGUAAGCAUGCUGCUCUUUCAUGAUUUUAGUUCCAACCACUGAUCCGUUCUUAAUUUGGACAUUUAUAUGUAUAUUCAUUUACUGAUGUUGAAGCAUGUACAUAUGCAGGUGACCCAGGUGACUAUGACUCACUUGUGCAAGGAUACGCUGGUCACCGUGGUGAAUGGGCAGUUGCCCGGGCCGGCGAUCGAGGUCACAGAGGGAGACUCCAUCGCCGUCCAUGUUGUCAACAAGUCACCCUUCAACUUAACAAUCCACUGGUAAUAAAUUAUGCACUAGUCAAUUGUUCAGUUGAUUCAUGUGUUCCAGAGAAAAGACCCUACCAGUAACACUCCAAGGUCCAGAAAUUUCAGCACUAAUACAGAUCCAAUUGGUGUGUUUCAAGUUCCUGAAACCGUAUUGAUUCUAGCGCCGCCAAUGAUGACAUUAGUAAAAAUUAGUUAGUUUCCAUCACUUCAAAAUGUCACUGAUGGAUGAACAGAAAAAUCGGUCACUGCAUAAUGACAUAGAUUUUCUUUUUGCAUUGAUCUUUUGGAAUUCAUUGUUUCGAGUUUUCCUCUUGUAGGCAUGGAGUGAGGCAGCUGCUCAACUGCUGGGCGGAUGGCGUGCCGAUGAUUACCCAGCGCCCCAUCCUUCCAGACCAUAACUUUACCUACCGUUUCGAUGCUUCCGGGCAGGAAGGAACCCUAUGGUGGCAUGCUCAUGUCCCCUGCCUCCGUGCAACAAUACAUGGCAUCUUGAUCAUCCGGCCGAGGCAUGGAGCCAUCUCCUAUCCAUUUCCUAAGCCUCAUAAGGAGAUCCCCAUCAUUAUAGGUAUGUGAAUUUUCACCAUUUGACAGCCUCAUAAAAUAAAAUCAAAAUUGCACACUGUUUUCAUACUGGACGCAGUCGUUCCCCACUGGCAGCUAGCGCGCAAAUUCCAUGGGCGCCGUAGGACGGGACGAUGGCAUACUGUUCCGGCUCCGGGAGGCAAUCCGACGUCAGGACGAGCCGCCGGCGCGUCCGAGGGACUUCCUUUUCAGUUUUCCUUUGUUGAUUUGCCCCGUUCCAAAAUUGCUGCUCAGUCUCGUCAAUUCUCCUCCGUAUCGGCGUAUUUAGCUUCUUGCGUUCCCACGAUUCUAUAGGUGUUCAUUACCAUCAUUAAGCAUUAAGCUAUGGCAGGUUCGCGUCUAGGAUCCUAGGCCAUCGUCCAAAAAUGCAUUCUCUUCAUGGUCAUCGGCAUGGUCCUUGCCUCCUCAUCUUCCUCGUGGCUUCCAGCAACGCGGCAGGUGCCUCUGUUAGCUCUGGGCCUUAGAUGCAGCGUUGCACAGGCACACGCGCGCACACCAUGCCACGCAGCAGUAUACAGGUCCGGCGCGGCGUCACGCGUAGCGUUCGAGGAGGCCCGCGGCAUCCGGCCCGGCCACAGCGUGAGCCAGAACGGUACGGUGAUCUAUACCACCGGGACCUGCUGUGGAUCCAUAACCUCGACCACGACCCGCUCGAUGAAAUGUGCCAACCCCGAGCUGUCGAGCGAAGCCAAGUCAUCCAGCCACUUCAGCGCUAGGAGCUGAUGUGGGGAACGGUGCACCAAUUAACCAAAGAUGCAUUUUAAGAGUUCGUGCAGCUAGAUGGCACGAAGGGACAAGUAGAAGUACCGCCGGGCGUAUUUUACUCUAAAAAUUUCAUUAGAAAAAGGAUUUGGCUCCGGCCUGUGCAACUGCUGGCAGCCAUAUAUAUGCCAACAACAUUCUCAGCACAUUAGCCGAUCCAAAAUAACAAGGCAAAUAGUGCACAAAGAGAAUCAAAUAAUUAUAAAGCAAAGUCGGAAAUCUAGCUGGCAUACGUUCUAUACUUUUAUUUCACAAUGCUGUGGCUGAACUAUUUACUGUUGUGUUCCUGGUAAUGACAGGGGAGUGGUGGGACCUAGAGGACCUUGGACAGGUGGACAGGCACUUGAGGCAUUAUGUGGCUGACGAUUACUUCAAAGCGUCCACAAUCAAUGCCAAGCUUGGAGAUCUCUACAACUGCUCUGGUAAUCAAACUAGUAUUAGACUAAUUCAUGUCCACGUUGAAAUAUUAUGUUUUAUCUCACUGAAGUUUCAUGAUUCAACUUUGAAGGCGUCGUCGAAGAAGCCUACAAGCUGGACCUGGAGCCCGGCAAGACCUACCUGCUCCGAGUACUCAAUGCUGCGCUCUUCUCUGAGUACUACCUCAAGAUAGCUGGGCACAAGUUCAUAGUGGUUGCUGGCGAUGCCAACUACGUUAGCCCCUAUACGACGGACACCAUCGCGAUCGCUCCCGGCCAGACAUUCGACGCCCUCGUGGUCGCCGAUGCGUCUCCUGGAAGAUACUACAUGGUCGCCAUGCCCAACCAGCCUCCAAAGCCCGACUAUCAGAGCCCAGUCUUGCCCACUAGAGGCGUACUGCAGUAUAGCAACGGAGCAGGAGGAAAUCAGCCCGGUGAUGUUCCAAUGUCACCAGAGAUGCCUGACAACCACAACCAUAUGCUAUCGUUCUACUUCCAUGGCAACCUUACCAGCUUGCACCACCCAAGACACCUACCAGUGCCGAAGCGAAUCGAUGAACGCCUAUUCAUAACGCUCGGGCUUGGCUCCGUUUGUCGGCAAGGCCAGUCCUGCGAGAGAGGAGCAGAGAGCGACGAGGUCAUCGUUGUGGCAACCAUGAAUAAUAUAUCAUACGAGCUCCCCACCGUGUCGAGACCACUGCUAGAAGCCCACUACCAGAACCCCAGCAACAUUGACUGGCUGCAAGAACUCCCUGAUGUACCACCGCGGGUGUUCAACUUCACUGACAAUUCCUUGAUCCCAACAGGACCCAAGGAGGAACAGCUAGAGCCGACGUCCAAGGCUGCGUUGGCACGGCGAUUCCGGUAUGGAGCUGUUGUUGAUGUGGUGUUCCAGAGCACGUCAAUGUUGCAGAGCGAGUCCAACCCGAUGCACCUGCACGGACAUGACAUGUUCGUGCUGGCACAGGGGAGCGGCAACUAUGACAUGGAAAGGGAUGUGGCGAAGUACAACCUAGUUAAUCCUCCACUUGUGAACACCGUGCUUGUACCACGGCUUGGAUGGGUGGCUGUCCGGUUUAUUGC
Molecule: long non-coding RNA, 159182 nt
Filed under: Setaria italica (foxtail millet)
Lineage: Eukaryota; Viridiplantae; Streptophyta; Magnoliopsida; Poales; Poaceae
Description: long non-coding RNA (SITA_LNC006220)
Source: RNAcentral